Molecule: long non-coding RNA, 102091 nt
Filed under: Volvox carteri
Lineage: Eukaryota; Viridiplantae; Chlorophyta; Chlorophyceae; Chlamydomonadales; Volvocaceae
Description: long non-coding RNA (VCAR_LNC001819)
Source: RNAcentral
GGCUGGCAGAGGUUAAGGCCUGACUUCUGCUCCCAGUCGACCCAGUCGACCCGGGUUCAAAUCCGCCUGCCGGCUCCUCGGGUGUUUGAGGAGUGAUGAAAUGGGAGGUGUCCCCCCAUCUUAUGGACGGUGUAGGACGUGAUAAUAUCAACUUGCGAGCUGACCAGGAACUAAGUUGAUGCGCCGUUGAUCCGCUAGAUUUGGUUGGAUGCUGGUGGUGAGUUGCCGAACCCAACGAAUACAUUCUGAAGUCGGAUGGGGUGACGGAUUAGGGUGCCCCUCUAGCAGGGGAGAGCAGGGACUGCCCCGGGAAAGGGGGCCGCUGGCGAAGUUAACCACCCUGUAACAACAUACAUAGCGUAUGUAUGUAUGCAUGUCUGUCUACCUUUGCAAAGGCCAUGACCUUGGCCGCAUGUAGCUCGUCCACGCUGUCCGGACCCCGUACGGCCAUGAAGCCAUCCGAAUCCCGGGUCAUAAGGCCCCCCGCCACCAUGUAACAGUCUGGAAAGUGUACGGGAGGGGAAACAAUGCAUACACAUAUACACGUACAUACACGCACAUCACGGUAUGGGAUGAAAUUGCGGAUUGGCGUGUGUGUAUGUGUGUAUGUGUGUGUAUGUGUGUAUGUGCAUGUGUGUGUGUUGUCAGGGACGACACCCAAGGAGAAUGAAGAACACGCUGCCCCCCUAGAUAUUUUUUUAAAUUUCAUCUAACAAUCUCAAAAAAGGCAUGAUGGCAUAAUAAGUAAGUACGCAGUAAGGCACGAAAAGUCUCUUUACCUUUCCACCGUGGCGUACGGCCGACCACGGCAGACAGGCAUGGACUGAGUUUGACUCGCGUCAGGUGGCCACCCCCCCCCCGCUUCCUCAACAUCAACAAUACACGCGACACGCCAGCCCCCCUCCCUCUUUACCGCGGCGGAUAUGUUUGUAUGUAUGCCCGAAUAUACCCGAGUGAACUUCCCCUUCCUACCACGCGUUUCACCCCUUCACCCCCCGCCCCCAUGCACUACACGUACGUGUGUGUAUGUGUACUACACACGCCGUACACAGGUGGUACAAGUCCCGCCUGAUGGCCACCUCUUUCCCCCCCCCCUCGGGGCUCUCACCGCCGAUGGUCUCCACUUUAUACACGCCGUACACAUCCAGCAGUGUGUCUGCCCAUACCAGAAAGAUGGAGGGGGGGAAAGGGAGUGAAGGGGAGUGAAGGGGAAAGGAGGAGAGGUAUGUCUGUCUAUCUGUCUGUCUGUCUGUCUGUCUGUCUGUCUGUCUGUCUGUCUGUCUGUCUGUCUGUCUGUCUGUCUGUACAAGUAGUGGGAUAAGACCACGGCAUCGCGCAAGGAUACAGCGCCCACGGGCAUAUCACGGUUACCGGUUGGCUGUCACAAAGCUUCCCCCUUCCCACCCUCCCCACCCUNNNNNNNNNNNNNNNNNNNNNNNNNNNNNNNNNNNNNNNNNNNNNNNNNNNNNNNNNNCCCCCCACACACACACACAAUCCCCCACCUAGCCUGGAGUACAGGUGGUUGAGGAAGUGCAUGACCCUUGUGGGGGGUAUUUGGUGACACAGGCUCGUGAAGCCCUUGAUGUCGGCGAACAACACAGUCACCUGCCCGGGGGGAGGAGGUGGAGGAGGUGGGGGGGGGGAUCUUAGACAAGAAGCUCAGAAAUUAAGUGCCGGGGAGGAGGGAAGGGGAAGGGAGAGGAGGGGAGGGGUAGCAAGGGAACCACCCACCCACCCACUACCACCCACCCACUACCAAACCCCCACCCACUACCACCCACCCACUACCACCCACCCUCCUACUACCAAACCCCCACCCACCCACUACUACCGCACCAUGGGAUGGUAGGUGGCUGUGGAGGCGCUGUUCUGCGGCAGGGGCAGCUGGGUCAGGCGGUACCUGGCGGCGCACCCCCUCCCCGACCGGGGCCCACCACCACCCCGGUUGCGGUUGGGGCCAGCGCCCGUACUGCUCCUGAUGACGCUGCAUCUGUUCUUGCUGCAGCUGUUGUUGUUGUUGUUGUUAUUGCUAGUCCGCACCGAGGCGGCUGCGAGCUCCAACACGUGCCUGGCUCCAUCAGCACAACGGCGCAAGGGCGGGAGGGGCAAGGGCGGGAGGGGGAGAAUUUCACGGCGGGGUGAGCGGGGGGUUGAGGGGGGGGGUGAGCGGGGGGAUGGGGUGGGUUAAGACGAACCACUGUGGAGCGGGGGAGGGGAGGAGGUUGGAAGCGAGAAGGAGAAGCAAAAGUAAAAAGAAACGUCCCUGGCGAGUUGUCGAAGAAUGCCGCCGCUGGUGGGGAUGGGACUCAUCCUUCCUUUCAGUCGUACACCUCCGAUGUGUGCGAAGCGCAAGUGGUGAUGUCCCUACCUAACUACCUAACUACCUGCCUACCUAAAUCCUUAGUAACUAAUACCCAACUACUACCUACCUAACAACCUACACACACAAGUGCACACAUAUCACCCACGCCAGCCGCUAAAGCCGAGCCCCAAAGCGCACCUCUCAACAGACAGGACAACCACAAAACCGACAACCGACAGAAAACUGAAAAAACUGAAAAAAUGCGUAAACCCGGAGCAGAUGGAGAUGGAGAACACCGCCCAACCCAACCCAACCCAACCCGUGGACAGCAAAGACGGGACAGGGACGGAGCAAGACCAAAAAGGCGGCCCCCCAAGGCUCCCCCCUCCAAAUCGUUCAGUCUACUCUUCCCCCCCCCCACCACCACGCUCUCUAGCCCCGUUAUCCCCUCGCCUUCAUCUUUACUUUCCUUACACCCCCUUCUGUCGAAGGUCAGCCAGUUUGCGAUCCCUAACUCCCCCACCCGCCAAAACCCCACCCGGCAGUUGCUGUAGGGGGGGUGUCGAUGCAACUGCUUCUUUGUGACCACUUUUUGUUCUCAUGAUUUCUCCCCCCCACACACACCCGAGGUCACGGUCUUCACGGACGCCUUUCGGUCAGUUCUACGUUUGUUACUCUCUUGCCCUGGCAGCAGCUUCAAUCGUGUGUGGUUCGUCUUUCCCCCCCCCCACCACCACCCGAACGCCAUCCCUCGGAACUUUGUUACGGGGUGGGAGGCUUCUGGGCCCCACUUGAACACAUCUUGUCAUUUCUACGGUUUAUCACACCAUACAGCAUUACCAUCCACCAGAUCUGACAUGUGUUGCGUAACAUACACAACACAAACACACACAAAACACACACGCACAAACAUACGCACAAAAUACACAAUUACACAAAUACGCAAAUGUGCAAAAACAAAAGCACAAGCAUUCAAAAAACACAUACGUACGUGCAAAAUGAAAAACGUGUCCCCUCUCUCACCUGGGGAAGAUGGACUCCAGCAGCUGGUGCUCCGCCUCCAGGACUCGCGCAAUGCGCCGCUCCGCACGUACCCGGGCAGUAACGUCCGUCUGAGUGUACGACACAUGUACGGCAGCGCAGUACGGCAUGGUAUGAAUGUAUGAGGGCGAUAUGUAUGCACAAGGGGGUCACCGAACCCCGAGGUAUGUGGAUAACCUGCGACCAGCGCCGUUCCCAUGCCCUGUCAUCAUACACAUUCCCACAUGCACACAGGGAUUUAUCCGUACAUUCGUACAAUUUUCCGUACAUAGCAUCUUGGAUGCCGUACUGCACCACGCAUACCUGCAUCAGCAACAGCAGGGGCAUGCCCACACCGCCGCCACCAUCGCAACCACCACCCGCCGUCGCCGUUGUCGCCGCCGCCGCCAUCUCGCCCUCCCCCUCCAGCAGCGUCAACGUCACCUCAUGCCAACAGCCACUACUGCUAGAGCUGCUGCCGCCGCUGCCGCCGCUCUCCCCAUCGCUAAAUUCGUCGCCAUCCUGCUCGAUAACACUACCGCCGCCGCCGCCGCCGUCGCCGUCGCCGCCGCCGUCGCCGCAGCCGCCAAUGCUGUUUCGGGCCCCUGCUGCACAGCCACCCCUGGCAGCCAUUCCCAGUGCGCCAGUGCCGUCGGUCUCCCACUCCCUGUCCAUGGAGACCCGUAGCGCUGCCGCCGCUGCCGCUGCCGCUGCCGCCUCGCCCGCCUUCUCCCUCCCCCCAUCCUCUUCCUGCAAUUCCUGCUCCUCCUGCGUCUUUUCCUGCUUGUCCUCCUCCUCCUCCUCCUCCUCCUGCUGUUGCUGCUGCUGCUGCUGCUCCUGCUGCUGCGUCUCCUCCGCCCCCUGGUCAGCACGCGAGGCCGCUGAUGACACUUCGGGAGCCCCCUCCUCCCUCAACACCAGAAGCGCGCGCACCCCAUCCACCAGACCUCCUGCUGCUGUAGUUUCCGCUGCUACUGCUACUGCUGCUACUGCUACAGCUGACAAUCCUGCUACUGCGUCCCCGUUCUCGUCCUCCUCUUCGUUGAUCUUACCUGGCUGUAGCGGCUGCUGCCUCUGCAGCCCAUGCUGCCACCGCAUCGGCGACUGCUGCUGCUGCUGCGGCGGCGGCGGCGGCGACUGCUGCUGCAUCAGCUCUUGUGUCCCCUCCUGUACCUGAGUGCUAUCCCCGGCGCCUGCAGGGCCGGAUGUAACAAGGCGGUGGGCGCUGGGCAGCCGAACAGACCGCGAACAGACCCGCGUCGAUGCCGCCGACGUCGACGCGGAUGCAAGCGUCGACGUCGACGUUGACGCCGACUGACCCCCGUGGCCUGAUGCCGUAACGCCGCCGCCGGCAGCUGCUUCACCACACAAGACGGCCCCGCCGCCGCCGUCACCAUUGCGAGUCCAGGAAGCGGCAGUUGUUGCGGCAAAACCGGCCCCGUUGCCGAUUGUCUUCUGAAGCGUACGACGAGGACUCCCGGUGGUACCUAGCGCCAGCGGCGGCGGAGGUGGCGGCGGCGGUGUCCACGUGGAAUACCCUCGUUCGGACGCUUCGACGUCGACGUCGACGUCGGCAGCGGCGGCGGUGGGUGCGUGCAGACUGCUCAACGGCCCGGACCCUUCAAUCCCACCUAGAACUCGUUGUACGACAAUGACAUCGACCAUGAGAGCCUGUCGGCUGGCGCCCACCUGGCGCCGCCGCCGCAAUGCGCCGUCAGCGCCAACAUCAUCCUCAAUCUCAGCUGCUAACCCGGACGCCUCUGGCGCCGCCGCCGGUGACGGCGGCCGCGGCGUAGCUCCUGACUCGGAUCGGCUGGAGCGCACAUCGCUGACGGCUCCUCCCCCUCGAGCACCGGCAGCGCCGCCGGUGGACGGCCGUACGGGGGCGGCGGCGGCGGCGGUCGGGUGGCGGCGGAGGGCACCACCAUGCCGGUGCUGCUGCACGAGCCACGUACUCGCGACGUUCCCCCGCCGCCNNNNNNNNNNNNNNNNNNNNNNNNNNNNNNNNNNNNNNNNNNNNNNNNNNNNNNNNNNNNNNNNNNNNNNNNNNNNNNNNNNNNNNNNNNNNNNNNNNNNNNNNNNNNNNNNNNNNNNNNNNNNNNNNNNNNNNNNNNNNNNNNNNNNNNNNNNNNNNNNNNNNNNNNNNNNNNNNNNNNNNNNNNNNNNNNNNNNNNNNNNNNNNNNNNNNNNNNNNNNNNNNNNNNNNNNNNNNNNNNNNNNNNNNNNNNNNNNNNNNNNNNNNNNNNNNNNNNNNNNNNNNNNNNNNNNNNNNNNNNNNNNNNNNNNNNNNNNNNNNNNNNNNNNNNNNNNNNNNNNNNNNNNNNNNNNNNNNNNNNNNNNNNNNNNNNNNNNNNNNNNNNNNNNNNNNNNNNNNNNNNNNNNNNNNNNNNNNNNNNNNNNNNNNNNNNNNNNNNNNNNNNNNNNNNNNNNNNNNNNNNNNNNNNNNNNNNNNNNNNNNNNNNNNNNNNNNNNNNNNNNNNNNNNNNNNNNNNNNNNNNNNNNNNNNNNNNNNNNNNNNNNNNNNNNNNNNNNNNNNNNNNNNNNNNNNNNNNNNNNNNNNNNNNNNNNNNNNNNNNNNNNNNNNNNNNNNNGCCGCCCAGCGCCCCCAGAACACCUUCCCCUCGGACUUCCCCCAACAGAGGUCAACCCCCUCGGCAACUCCCACCGCCAUACACCAUACGCCGUACACGGAAGAUAAGACGCACCGAAGCGCUUGGCCGCCACCGCCGGCGCUGCAGCUCGCAUCCGUCAAUAAGGCCCACGUGCUGGUGCUGAGAGGAUUCUCGGCGGCGGCGGCGGCGGCGGCGCCAAUUCCGCCACCUCCGCCUCCGCCGCUACAUGUAUGUGUACGACACAGCCCAAGCGCGUUCCGUCGGAGCUCGAUCGACUGCCGUACCGACUGGCUCAUCACGCGACCGGUGGGGCUUAUGCAACCGUCGCCAACGCCGCCGGAGCCGCCGCCGCCGCCGCCGGGGAACCCCACUCCGACAGCGCCCAACGUGAGAGACGAACGUUGGGUUUGGCGGUUAUGGUGGUUGCGGUGGUUGGAGGUUCCCGGGUGGUUGGAGUAAGGCGUUGAAAGGGCGCCGAUUCCGGCCCAUCGCGAAAAUUCCGACGAAGUUGCGCCACCAGCGGCCGAGGAAGAUUCGCAAGCCGCGUCGACCUGACUGGCCUCCAAGACAGAGGUAGUUGCGAAGACAGUAGCAGCAGUAGCAGCGGCAGUAGCGGUGAUGGUGGCGGUUGUGGUAGUUGUGGUGGUUGCGGCAAUGACGGAUGCGGUUCGAGACGUUUGCUGAACCCUUCCAGAAGCCCCCGGCAGCCUGUGGUGUUGUCGUACGCACGUUGUACGAUAUUGUACGGCAUAACACAGCGUAGAAUGACGUUAGCAUGGAGUUUAGCAUAUUAUUGAAUGACAUGGCCCAGCAUAUCACCAAUGCAUGAUAUGUGUGGAAAGCGCAAUACGCAAUACGUGUUAUUGACUUCCCAGACGCAGAAGUAGAGCACCGUAGGGGCAGUGCAGUGCAACACCGCACACACAGCUUUUCCUCUUCUUAUCCUCUUUUUUUCUUCAUUUUUAUCUUCAUCUUUACCUAGAUUGAGAAUGCCAAUAUCGAAUGAGUGCCAAAAAAGGCAUAAAAACAAAAACGCGGACACAAUGAGGUGCGUGAAAAGAUAUGCGGAGGAUAUCGUCAAGUGAUGUGACAAAUCAAAUUGUUCAUUCGCACGCGCGAGGUGUAGUGGGAGAGGCGUGGGAGCUGGAGUAAGGAGGAUGUCUACGAAAGGGAUGUACGGCGCCAACGCAUCGUACUCGUGUACGACACCCUCACUAGCUCGGUUUAGUCGUCAACCUAAACAACUCCCUCAACCGAUCCCAUUUCAACCACCAACCGCUUAUAUCGUGCGCCCUAGGCACUGCAACCAACCAACCAACCAACCAAAUAACUGACUUGGAGUUGUGGCGGCUGCAUAACUCCAUCACGGACUGCGUCCGAGGGAAACCGCCGGGCUCCACAUCCGCCGCCACCGCCAGGGCACCGGCGGCAGUAGCCCGUUUUGGCCGUACAGCCGCCGGCGCCGCCACUGCUGCCGCCACCGCUGCCGCCAUCGCGGCCAGCACCCCUCGGGGACCAUUAGCGGCGUCGGAGGGCCUUGCGCCGCGGCCCCGCACGAAUCUUGCCCAACGGCUGAUGCCACUAUCAGCUUGGCGGUCAUCGGCAGUGGCGACGGCCUUGGUGAGGCUGGGUGAUGAUACGCGGUUUGGGGCCACGUCGCCGCCACCAUUACCACCACCGCCGCCGCCGCCGCCCGCGGCGCCGCCGCCAACAUCACCAUCACCAGCACCAGCACCCACACCAGCACCCGCAUCGCCCAUUCCAGAGGUUACUGGUGACGAAGCCAGCCGUUGGAAUGGCAGCUCGUUGUUGACGCAAUUGUACGGUACUCCCAAGCUGCCGUCGUACUCAGUGCCAUACGCCGUAUGGGCAUUCCGAGGCGUUGUCACCCUGGGAGCGGCCUGGCUGCCGCCAAUAGCGGAAGGCGAACCAGCGGCGGUGUCGAGCACCGGAUGGUUCAUCAACAGCAGUAGCAAGCGCUCGUCCUCGUCGGGGGUGCUGGCGGCGGCCUCAGGUACGACGGACAUUGCCGUACGUAUCGGCCCGCCGUACGACUCGGCGGCGGUCCGAAGCUGCUUGGGCUUGGGCGAUGGUAUCGAAGGGUUCGCCCCAGAGGCGGUGGCGGCGGCAGCAGCCGUCACCGUCGACGCCGUUGGAAUACCGCUAGACGUCACUAUCUCUCCGCGAUAGGUGGCAGUGGCGGAGGCGGAGGCGGAGGCGGUGGGGUUGGGAGUGGGAGGCGCAGCGGGGGCCGUAAAUCUUGCCUUCCAGACUUGGGAACCUGGCGCGCUAAUGUGACGAAGAGCACCGCCGCCGCCGCCACCGCCGUUCUCAAACCCCCCGUGUGCGAAUGCUGGUGACUGCAGCGGCGGCUCUGUAGCUGCCGCCGUCGCCGCCGCCGCCGCCGCCGCGGCGAUAGAUGUACUAAACGUCAUCUGUGCGGACGUCAACGCUGCUGUAUCGCGUGCGCUUCGCUGCGGCGGCAGCGUCGUCGUCGUCGCCGCCGCCGCCGUCAUCGUUGGCAUCGGGGACCGCCACGAGGCGCGCCGGGCGGCCGCCGCCGGCGGCGGCGCGCCACGACACUCAGUAGCAGCCCCGGGCGAUGGUGGGUGCAAUACAGUGAGCCGCUCCCAGCAGGACUCGUCGUCCAGCAUGAGAUAGCCGGCCCCCGGCACACCCACCACAUGGCAUUGCUGCGGGUAUAGUGCGCGCGUGUGUGUGUGUGGGGGGAGAAGGGUGAAAUUCACAAAAUAAAAAUUUUAAAAAUCCUUCAAAAAAAACAGACAGAAAAGCUGCUAACAUCCAAAGUUCCCAGCAGGAGGGUGUGAAAGAUCUCAAUACACGUAAUGACACGCAAUGGUUCAAAACUACGGAGCGGCGUCCCUCGAGUUAAAGAAAGAAGGGAGGAGGGAACGGAUUACUCAAGGGCGGAUUUCCGGACCUCUUGGGGCCGGAUUUCGCUGGCAUCCACACGACACGACGGCAAGAGCCUCACUUCCACCCACACCAAGGUGGCCUUAUCAUCAAAUCGUGUAUCCAAAAAAUUCAAGUUAAGCAAAUCCCAGCAAUGUAACAUCCGGCAAAGAGUACUCGGGGAGAUGCCAAGGGAGCUGACCCCUUCUCACAAGCAAGACCUCCCUAAGGGGCCCUGCCCACCAGACACCCGACGGCAGUAGCUGACUAGUCGUAGUCGUCGUACGUAUGAGGGUGUAAGGAGUGGGGGUUUCGGGGGGUUGGAACACCACACCAGCAGCGGGCGCGUUGGAAUCGGCGCGGUGUGGGUCCGUGUGCUCUCUUGCCGUACCUGGCCAAAGCCGUCGACUGCCGUCGACUGCAGUCCGUCUGCCGCCGCCAACUCCGCCGUCGACGCGUUCAUCUCUGACGUGAGCGCGGCGCCGCCAGCGGCUGCUGGUACGGCAGCUGCCGAUAUGCCGCCGUCGCAGCAACCACAGCGGCGCUGGGCUUCCGCGGCCGCUGCCUCCGCCACCUCCGUCACGUGCCGGGUCAAAAGGGGUGGCACCCGUACGAUCCCCUUCCAGCGGCGUCGUACAGUCAGCUCCGAAACUACUUCCCGCCACUGAUGCGGACUCAGAGCGAACAACUCUCGCAGUACGCCCUCGCCGGCGUCUGCAAAGGUGCGACCUGCAAAGCCGCCAGGGCCGGCGGCGCCGAUGAUGCUGCCGUCCGUCUGUAUGUCACCCCACCGCUUGGUGAUAAACCGGUCCCCCUUGGUGCCACUGCUGAAAUCCCCUCCCACACCUCUUCCGGUUUCAAGGGAAAUGGCACCGGGAAGGCAACUGCCGGCGGCGGCGGUGCCACCGCCGCCGCCGCCGGCUGGACCGUCAUGCAGGCCGUUGCCGUCGGCGUACUCCAUAGUGUCGCCACCGCCACCGCCGCCGCCGCCACUGCUAAAGGCAGCGGCCCUGCGGGACACAGCACGGCUUCCAGCAGCCGGCGGCAAGCCCUGUCGCAACCCCAUGUACCGUACGGAUGCCGUAUUUUGGUACAGCACCCGUCGGCCGUCGGCCGACAGCAACGUGACGCUGCUGGGCAGGCCCGAAAGGGCCGUCAGGCAACGGUGCAGCUGCUCCUGCAUCACGCCCACGCCGGCGGAUAGCCUGUACCGCAGUACGACACCUGCCAGGAGCUGCGACGGCGGUGCAUCACCGGCAACAACAGCACUGCGCCGCUGUACGACACCCGUAGACGCUGCCCGCCGUACUAUCAACGGAUGGAUCGUUAAGGGUAGCAGAACUCGCGAGUCGGUACCUGGGAACGGAUGCAGUACAAUGAUGGGAUGGCCGCCGCUUCCGCCGCUUCCGCCGCCGCCGCUGUCGUCACCAUCCAUCCCGGGCCCAGCCGCCGCCGCCGCCGCUGCCGCUGAAGCCGUACCCUCCACAACGGCGAGGCAUGUAUCUUUCAGUGCUGCCAGCAGCACGGGCUCCACCGUCAGGAGCUCAGCCAAAAGGGCCUCGUAGUGCGCGGGUGUAGGGCAGCGCAGUAGAGAGCGGAGGGCGCCGUUUGCGUAGCGGGGAACAAGUCUGCAGCGUGUGGUGUGUGCGGUGGGGGGCGGCAUAUCCAAACACUCGUACCCGGGGGAGGAAGGUCAUAGCAAGGUUUGCCGGGUUAAAGGGUUAGCUCACAGCAGAGUUUGCUGGUAGGUUUGGUUUGCAAGAGCGCAUCCUAAGAAGAAUAUGUAGCUGGGUGCGCACGGUGGGAUGUGCGUAUGCACACGCGCACAGUGCGGGUAUUUGCGGGAAAAGGGGGGAAGGCGCGAAGCGAGCCGAAUCGUCCUUGCGGAUGUGAUUUGCGGGGUCUUGCGAGUAGCAGGGAAGAGCUACUGAGCUGAGGGACAGAUAGGGGUGAAGAAGCUCGUGGCGCCGCUACGUCUGAUGGCCUAAUUGCUAAAAUCCUUGCAAGAAGACCAGGUUGCCCGUUCUUCGCAUUUUCAGUCGGCCACAUGAGCUUGGUGGUACUCUCCGGCAUCUAGCACGUCUAGUUCCCCAAAUUCACAAAAUAGGCACGACGCACAAUUUUGUCAUCUGUGCUGACCGGCGAACUCGCCUUGAACUAACCUGACUGCCCGACAAUUCCUGUAGGCUGCGUGUAGGUGUUUACUGCACCAGUCCAACGAGUUGUGAGGCAGCACACCGCAAAAAUUUAUAUUCAGCAGGAGUUGCUGUGACAACCUGAAUCGUUCCAGCAAGGUAAGCCCAUCGACGGGCUCGUCGGCGCCAAUGAACUCCAAAAGCACCAGCGGAUCUGUUCCAUCAAACAAAAGAUAAUACUCAAAACGGCAUUAUGCCGCCACUCCUUGCCAAGACCAGGCAACGUGCAUCAUUAUUUGGAAAUGAACGUACCAGGGUGUCCCAGGAUUCCAGCGUAAUCGCUGCUUCCUCCUCUAGCCAUACAUGAUGGACUAUUAAUGUGGCUUUGGUGGUGCGAAAACUGACCCCAGAGGUCCCAAAGCUGGCCCGGCGUGGCGUCUUUGCCCUCCGCAUCUUUUCCAAACCCAUGCAGCUGCAAAUUUUGUUUCACUGCAUCCUGUUCAUUGCGCUUUGGGAUGCCAACACAAGGGCCAAAGAAACGCUCAAGGAAUCCCAUCGACCCCACGUGGUUAGCGGAAGCCUUAUAUUAGACACGCUGAAAUAAAUAAAAAAUUAUAACAUAUAUGCGUUUCGUGUCUGCCAAGAUACAUCUCUUGCUUAGUAAGGGACCCCGACGGUGCCCCGACCCCUUGUGUUCAAACUCCGAAACUCAAUAACCCGUAUUGUAGGGGCCAUAAAAAUCUUUCUAACCGAGACUACAUUUGGGAUUUAUUUGCAGUAUGUCAACGGUAUCGUCAUUGUACAGUAAGACAUCGUAUAGUCAGCCACUGCUGACGUGCUUCUCCCUACUCGCACCUGCCACAGCGCACCAUUGACAAAUUGACGCACAAUUGAUGUUUAUGUAAAAACUUAAAAUUAUGUAAACCAUCUGAAAGUCUUAUACUGUGCUUGAUAUCACCAGCAUGCCGGCAAAGCUGCCCACGAGCCGUGUAUGCAACUGAUGUAUAGAAAUGCGCCAUUCCCCCAAGACUGGACACGAUCGCCAGGGCAGGAGCUCCCUCCGGCAUGGCAGCUUCCUCAUGGCAGAAUUGAAAAUACACAAGACAACCGACGAAGUGCAAGAACAUGCUGGAUCACGGUGCUGACAUGCACAGGGCUUGAAACCCCCCACGAACCCCCUACAUCAGGCCCGGGGGGUUCGUCCAGACGGUGAAUACACUGCACGCACGCGGCGCGCUCUUGCGGUGCUAGAAAACACGGGUGGCUUGCUCUGUUAGAGUCUGCGCAUCCCAGCGGUAACCAACAGAACCUACCCCAAGCAACAGGAGCAGUCCCCCUGCCGCCAGCUGCUGUCCUAGGGGAUGCAUAACCCUCAGCUGAGCUGAACCUCAAAUAGCUCUCGAAGGAGGUAGGGAGAUAGGGAAAGAGGUAGGGAGGCAGGGAAAGAGGUAGGGAGGUAGGGAGAGAGGUAGGUAUGUAAGAAAGGGUUCUGAUGGGAGGCAACAAGCUGGGAGGCAGGAAACAGGUCCCAUCCAAGGCGACUACAAGGGGGGGGGGCCCCCCAGUAAGCGGUCCCACGCUGCAUAGGUUGCAAAAUUUGUGACAUGGCGCCAGAUGGGGAUGGCGUGAGCACAUCACCAGGACGAACGCCUCAUGCAGGGCCCACCCCCUCCUGCUGCUGCUGGUGCUGCUGGUGCUGCUGCUGGUGCUGCUGGUGCUGCUGGUGCUGCUGCUGGUGCUGCUGCGUGCCGACAGACAUCGUGUUGCAUAUGAAGGAUGGCUGCUGCUGGUGCUGCUGCUGGCUUUUUGGGUACAAGUGGAGAGGGGGUUGGCGGAGACAGUGGAGGACUGCCCCGGGUAUAUGGAUAAUGGAGCUGCAGUAUCCAUUCUCUUGUAGGGCCGGGAUGUCUGGGUCUCGGAGACCUUCUUGCAGGCCAUCUCAGAGUUCUUACAGCCUCUCAUCCCUUUUCGCUUCCCCCUUGCUUCUGGUCGGGUUCGACCUGCUGACCUUUUUACAGUUAGUCUCUCUGGGUUGGAGCAAGAGAUGCAGAAGCUGGACAGGGCUUACCGCAGCUAAACAGGCCAGUUUCAACGGCAAGUGUAGCCCUGCAAGUAUAGCCCAGCGAUGCUGCAGUGACUGCGUGUAUGGCAAAACAAAAAACCACCGCAAAUAAGGACAAAGGAUUUCUCAUUUCUCUCCAAAGCACAAGAACAGAACGUACAAAUGAUACGCGAACGGCAGGAAACAACUGCCCGGGCGGCGAAAUGGAGGAUCUCAGAAAUAAUAAUAUAUAGCUGAAAUCAAGAACUGUUUGGCACCGUUUUCUGAGGUGAUGCAUCAGAUCCUACAAGUUUUGCCGCUACUCUGGCAACUCCUCGCUGGGCUACCUGAACUACUGGCGGUCAUCGAAGCAUGGCCUAAGCUACGGGAUCUUUUUCAGCGUCCCAGUACAGCAAGAGGAGCAGCGCGCACGGCCACAGCCGGGACCCAUUAUGUUCCACCCGGACAGGAGGCUUCUCCUCCAGGCCUCCGAGGACGCGUUGCCACGACCGCGAGAGCAUUUUGGAGGAGACGACAUUUCAGGUCUCCCGCCCGGGGACAAGCGGCCCCGAUCGGCCCCAUCGGCCCCAUCGGGGGAAAACGGGGUAGACAUCAGCUACGUGAACGCGAACGGCAUGCACGUUCUGUACAUAGGAUGGGCCAUGGGAUGCGGCUGGAGCUGGUGGCGCGCGCUUUUGGAGCAGGCGGUGCAACGGGUGGCGGGGGGGUGGGGGGCCCCGCUGUGGGAGUGAGCGGUGGGGGGGUGGGGGGGGGCGCACCACACGGCAAUCCUUCCAUUCAACGCGGUGUGCGCUGUGAUGACGGCCACGCACAUUGCUGUACUGCUUGCCAACGACACGAAGUGUUCGAGAUCCUGGCCUUUCGAGCAAAAAACACAUCACUCAUCACUAGUCACAACUUAUGAACUCCAAUAACCUGGCAUAGGUAAGUGCAUGUAUGUAAGUUGCUGACGUGUUGACUCCCAUGCUGUACUUCCACUGCGCAUCUUUAUUUCUAACACUGCGCAUCAACAAAUGCGCCACAUCAUCAUUAUUGUCAUCAGCAGGAGCCAAACCACUUUGGAGGUCUUACACCGGGGUUUAUGGGGCGUAGCUCACGCCUAGAUAUCGUUUGAGAUCGAUUGUGUCCUGCGGCAUUUCCGUUGGUGCAUAGUGUGUUGUAUCGGCACUUGCAUCAAUUGCCGCACACAGCUCCAAGAACUUGAUAUUUCGAUGUCGUCGUGUUUUGACUGAGGCUGUUUUGACUGAGGACUGUUUGCACUGAGGCAUCUGUUCCUGUGCAUUGUACAUACAUGCAGACGUAUACGUAAAUACCUGCACGGGCAGCAUGUUUUUCUCCGCAGUCAUGCAAAGCAGUUACUUUUACUAAUUAUUACGUCAGCAGGUAGUUCCACACUAGGUACCGCGAAACCGAGUAGCGAAUCUCGCUCGAGUGUUGUACACUAAGCGCCAUGAACUCAUGACACAGCAGGACUAGUGUGAGACGCAGUUUUUUCUAUGUCCCCUGCAUGGGGUGCACCCGGCGCCCUUCUGCAUCAUUCAUGCAUGGCCUUUUACCUACAUAAACCUGCGGCCCCUCCCUCGACCCACUCGACCGCCCACUAACCCGUUAGGUAUUAUGUCGUUUUAGGGCAAUCGUCUGUUACUGAAGAGUGGUGCCUUGCGUAUCCCACUGCCUUAUAAGGCCCGAAACGUGUGUGCUCGCAGAUUCGUAGAUGCCCUGGCGUCGCGGCAACGUACGCUUGCCUGUGGCAGGCCUUGCAAAAGGGACUAUUAGCACCAGAUGCGAUGGCUACGCGUGGUAAUAAGCUAGUAACCUCUGAAUUUGAAUGUCUCCUAAGGCCGUAACGUUCGAUAAACCAACCGUCAAAGGUAUCCUUCGGAAAGAGGUGCAAAGCUUGCUAAGGACGGAGGUUUUUCAUCUUAGCUACACUAAGCAAGUUCAUUUAGCGUUCGCUUGUUGACAUCGCCCACCCUUUGGUUGGAUAGCUUCGAAAGUCAAAUUGCAAGGAAACAACUGCUCCUUGAUUGAUUGUGUUACCCUGGUGCAGAUGCUGUGCCAUGCUAAAACGCUACUGGAUCAGCCCUUGCGGAGGCUUGUCUUACGUUCUGGCCAGCCAAAAGCCUGCUAUCAGGCACAGUUAAACUUUAGAAGCAAUAGAAAAUUUUAAUUCGCCCAUAUAAUAGGGCUAGGAAUGCUGUUUGCAAGGAUAAUAGGCGAAGGGGAGUUGGAAAGGCGGUUUGUUUGGUUAAAAACCAUCACCAAGGACAAAGCCGUGAUACGUCUUCGCAAUUUUCACAAGGUCUAGGCAAUCAUUUCUUAAUUUCUAUGACGAUAUGUGCAAGCUCACGGGCCCCCUCAAUGGGCUGACAUAUUGUACGGCUCACAGGGUGGAGGACAGGACGAACCGGUUCACCUCCCCUGUUGCAAAGUGUGCAAUAGUCACACGCAACUUCCUGCUCAGGGUCGGCUCCACAACAGCAUAAGGAGAUGUCACCUUCAUUUUUUGUGUUGUGACACUUGUCGUUGAAGUCUUUCAUUAGUGCUUCAUUGCUACCUCAACACAAAACGCCACAGGUUUAAGGACGUGGAGACUCAACAGCUUGAAAAAUUGGUGGCGUGUUGUAAAAGCGCAACGCUUGCACCGAGUAGCAAGUUACUGCGCGAGAUGUUUACACAGCUCCCUUGACUAAAUGAUUGCCGAGUAAUCAGCAGUCUUCAGAAUAUUGCCAUCCAGCACUUCCGGUGGUCCGCACCAUGCCUCUGCGAUGGGCCUCUUGCCUGUUCCGGCCCGCAAGGGUAACAGUUUCAUCUCUGGAGGUCAAUCCAUCUACUUGCCCAACCGCGCUCCAUGAGAUGCUUGCUAUGCGCGGCACCGCCUGCCUGCGGCCUCGCGGCGCCCACAUCCUUUACGAACGUGUCGAUGACGCUGGGCAGGGCGCCUUCACGCCACCCGUCCUCAUCUACAUCAAGCGCCUUCCCGUCUGCGGCGGUCUGGAUGUUUGCAUCAAGCGGACGCUCGUCACCCACUUUGUGUGCCGCGCCGCACGCGAGGCGCGCCUCCAAGUCCAGCUUCAGCACCCGCACCUUCUCCCCGCGCUCGCCUGUGUUCGCGGCAGCCGCCACUACUACCUCGUCCUGCCAGCUGCGGAACGGGACUUGUGGGAGGAGGCUGAGGCCAUGCGGCAAGAAGGCACCGGCUACAGUGAAGACGAGCUCCGGGAUAUCGCCAGACAAAUCCUGCUAGGAUUGGACCAUCUGCAUUCCAGUAACUUGGCUCACAGAGGUAGGGAAGGGGGAAAAAAAGAGAGGACGACAAAGGGAGUCAGGGGGCAGGGGGUGGGAAGAGAGGGCUGGAAGAGACAGGAUUCGGUGAGCGGGUAGAAAGGGAUGGAUGGGCAUGAGGGGAGAGGGAAGGGGGAGGAAGGGGGAGAAAGGAGAGGGAAAGCGGAGUUGACAAGUUGGUGGUGUACUGGUAGGGGGAUGAUCCAGUAGUAGAAACCAUAUUAGCAUUAGCGAUAGAAAUUUAUUGUUAUUUCAUAAAAAGUAGUUUUACUAAACCAGUUUUAAAAGGCGAUAAUUGGAGGAAGAAAGCACUAUCCUCAGCUUUAUACCGCGUGUCAGUCUGUUUUUGUGUCCGUGUGUGUGUGUGUGUAUGUGUAUACGAUGUGUGUGCCGGUGCACGGGUGCAACUCGUGCGCUGUGCGCGUCGGUAUGUUUGUCGAUAUGUCUGUCAAUUUGCGGUUGUUUCAAUUAUAGGUGGACAGACGGGCCGGACGAACAAGCAAAAAAUACUGGAUAAAAAUCUUAAAUAAAUAUUGGAAAAAUUAGCAAAGAAUGAGCAGAAGCUGCUGGCUCCGCUUCUGGCAGUCUGUCCCGGACCAGACGUCCCCCGAGCAUUCCCCCCUUUCCCCGCUCCCCCCUCCUCCUUCCUUCUUCCUCCCCCGCCGUUGCAUGCCGGCGGCUUGCUCUCCGAAUGCUGGCAAAUGUUAAAUUAUACUACACUAAUGUACUACUAGUGUCUAAUUUUCUCCCGUAAACAGCUUUGGUGUGUUGCUUUCUUUUCGUCAAUCGUCUGUGCAUCGUCGUAAUCCCCCUUUUUACAGCUACCUACCUACAGCCAGCUUGCUGUCCAGUUUGCACUCACCCAUCCAUCGACGACGCUGACUUCAACAUAAGGCCCACCCGCCCAGUGACAGUACCCGGGCACAUAACUCCCCCCCUUGGCCCCUUCCCCCCCCGUUCCCCCGCCCAGACAUCAAGCCAGCCAACGUUUUGAGAAUGCCCGACGGCCGCGUUGUGGUGGCGGACUUUGGCUGUGCCGACGGCUGUAUGACGGGCUUUGUGGCGGCGGGUACGGCGCAGUUCCAACCGCCGGAGUGCCGCCGCAAUGCCGGUGCCCAGCUUGCCGUACUAGCCAAAGGGUACGACCAGCGUGUGCAGGACCUUUGGAGCUUGGGCGCGACGUUGGCGUCCCUGUGGUACGGCAAACUGCCAGACGUGAUUCGGGGCACCGGUAAUUCGCGGGUGCCGUCGGCGGCGGCGGCGGCCGCCGCCGUCGCGGCCGCGGCCGCCGCUGUAGCCUCGACAGACGGCAGCAGCGGCGUCGAGCCUCGCUUUAGCUCAGGCAGCAGAACAAGCAACUGUACGGCGGCAGGAGGGCCGGGAGGAUCUUAUGACGAGGCGAUGAUGCCGCAAACACAACCGUCGUUGUCUUUGUUGCCGCCGUUUUUGGCAGCGGCGGGCUUUGCGGCGUGCGGAUCAACGGUGGGAGCUCGAGGCGAGCCCAUGAGUGACCAGCUUCUUGACCUGCUCUCCCGGCUACUGCGCAUACGCCCUUUUGAACGCAUGACCGUGAGACAAGCGCUCCAACAUGACUGGCUACUGGCCGCUGGCGGCGGCGGCAGCAGCAACAGCAGCCGUACCGUGUUGUACGGCAUGUCAGCGGGAGGGGCAGCUGUCGCCUGCGAUGAAGCCUCCCCUGCUUUGAUCAGGCUGUACUCCAUCACUCCGGGGUCGGGGCUGUUGCCGUCACCCGCUUCCUCCCCGCUAUCGCCGACAUCGCCGUGUAUGAGUGCGCUGGAUUCGGACAGGUGCUUGAGGCCCUUUGAGUCGCAGCAACAGCUCGCAACGCUUCACCCCACGUCUUCGUCGCCGCCGAUGACGCCGGUGCCUCACAAAGCCGGCGUUUUCGUUUCAAGUAAUCUGAUGCUCACGGCGAUGGCGGCGUCGGGUAAUGGUAGCCGUGGUGGUGACUUGGAAGGGGACGUCCCCCGGCAUCAUGCCCGGGAGCGCCGUCCUCAACAGAAUCAGAAUCAACAAUCCCGUUGUUCAUUCCCCCCCUCCACUGCGGAGUCUGCUGCUGCCGCCGGCACGGCAGUUAACAACAACAGCAGCAGCAGCAGCAGCUGCUCUCCGUGUAGCGACAACACCGCCACGCCGCAAUCCGACACACCACGGCAACAUAACAUCAUCAACAAUGACAACAAUCACAACAACGUUAGCAAUAUUAGUCUACUGAAGGCCCUCUCAGCGGUGUCGCGAGCUCGGGGCAAGAGCCACAGCCACGACGGGGGAACUCCGAGCACGGAACCCCAAUCGGUCCGAAGUUCAAGCGAAAAAGUGCCGUACCCUACGGUACGGCAGCAGCAGCAGCAGCGGCAGCAGCAACAGCAGCAACAGCAGCAGCAGCAAUCUUCAUCGUUGGGGCCCAUCGUGCGACCGUCGUCGCAUUUCAGAAGCCAUCAGAAGCCAUCAGAAGGUGUCCAGCGGGCGAUUUUGCGCGUGUUUGUCGGGGCUGGGGGCGAUUCCUCUGGCAGUAACUGAUGAACUGACUUUUGUUAACUCAACAGGAAUGUGGCACUGGUGAUGGUGAUGGGUUAAUUAAUGCUGUGACGCUCAAAGCAACAGCAGUAGGAGUAGCAGGAGUAGCACAGGGGAAAGGGGGUAGGCUGAAAUGUUGGUCCGUUUCGGUUGCUUGGCAGGUUCGUUGGUUGGUUGGUUGGUUGGUUUGCGGGUUGGAUGGGUGGAGAUGUAAGGAUGGUUGGACAGGUGGUGAUUGAUGAUGCGAUGGUAAGGGAUGUGAAUUGUGUGAUUUUUGUUGGGUGGUGGUUGGGAAAAAGAUGUUUAGCAGGCAGAGAUGUAUUGACAGCGGUUACAACUGGGACAGAUGCGGAUGCUGGUGGUGGUGGUGGUGGUGGUGGUGAGGCUGGACCAGUCGCCGUGGGACUGAAAGUCUGGGAGGGAGAGUGGUCUAAGACGCCCAAAGGGGUGAGAUAGAAUGAUGGGGUGUGUUUGUGUGCGUGUGUAGAGGGAGUUAAAGGAGGAGUGUGCGGGGGGACGGGGAGCCCCUCCGGCUGUUGGAUGUUUGGUUAAGCUUCUUAAAAAGCUAUCAUUCUACUUCUAACGAGCGAUUUAGGCAUGCAUGCGCCUUUACCCCGAUGUUUCUAUGUACACAUGCACACUCACACACGUACAGACAUCGAUCCAUUACGCACGUACACAGAUGUACACAAGCAAAGAUAGAGAGCAGAACUUUUUUCUUUUUUCCCUUAGCUCUCGAACAGCCUUCUUAUUCUUCUACUUCUUCUUCUUCGAUAUUUUCCCGCGGGCGCGUGUAGUGCGGGCUCUCUGCAUUGCGAGUACCACUGUUGUGUAUGUAUGUAUGUAUGUACGUACCCCUCAUGUGUCCACAUGCCAAUGUAUUUACUGCUAUGUAUGUAUGUAUGUAUGUACGUGUAUGUAUGCAUGUACGUGUGUGUAUGCGUCAAAUUUGCGGUUGCGGUUGCUAGGAGUGCUGAAGGGAAGGAUGACGAGGGGAGCUGUCGUUCACUGCCGCGUUUCGGAAGUACUUUGGUAGUAGACCCCCCUCUCCACACACACACACAUAUAUAGAUGGGUAGGUUAGGAUGUGUUGAUGGUGGUGGUGGUGGAAGUCAUUUUGUUGUUCGGCUGUGCUCGCCACUGCAGCAGGGCUUAGGACAGCUUGCCGACGCGUGGGAGUGAGGCGUGGGAGUGGGUUGUGGGGCGCGUGUUUGUUUGUCCAGGAUGGCCGAGGAGGGGAGGGAAGGGGAGUGCCGUAGCGCCUCCCUCAGAGUGGGGCGGCUGUAGGGCGGCUGUCUGUGGCUGUAGGCGGCUCACUCUUGAGGCGUAUCGGCGAGCGUAGGAGCGGCUCUUGUUACGUGUGCACAAUAGGGCUGUGAAUUCUGUGGCUGUGGCUGUGAGUCCUGUGUCAAUGCAGUCCUUGGGCUGCAAGGCGGCAUGGCCCGGUGGGGGCCGCUAAUAUAACUCUCGUAGAUGGCGGAGUUGGAUAGUAGCUGCACUGCACUGUCCUGCGAGGGUGGCAUGCUCUUGGGCGCCUAGCGCAGGGAAGGAGAGGACGGGGGCCGUGCAGUGUCGUGAACAUGUCACGAUGUCUUGUAUCUCAGUCCUUUUUGUUGUGUUGGGUGAGUUUUGAGGGAACGACAUUUGACACUUAUCUUUUUUGUCGUGGUAAUGAUGAUGAUGAUGAGCAAGAGGAGCGUACAGAAGACCGUCUUCUUCUCUCCUGGUCAUUUCGAGGUCAUUGUGCUGUUUGUUUGGCGAACAGCAAAUAGUCGCCGGAAAUAGAGGAACGGAAAGGGGGAGAAUGAGACUGUGUGCCCUUGGGGGGAGGGCGCUGGGGUGCGUGGGACGGCAUUCCCCAUAAUGACACGUUUCCCUUUUUUCUGUUUCCUUUUUCACUUCCCGAUGCGGGGUGCCAGCUGCCAAUGCUCCGGAGAGGAGGUUGUCAUGAGAGUGGUUGUUUGGAUUCGCGCAUUGUGUCGCGUUGUUUGGAGUUUCGUCACCGUUAGCUCUUGGAGGGGGUUUCUUUGAGUUUGUGAACAAAGGGGCGACAGAGACGAGGGGGAUAGAGCGCCUGGGGGGGAUAGAGCGCCUGGGGGGGCGAAACACACACAUACACACAGGAUUUUGCGUUGGCCUCUUUUUCACAGUGUGCGUGUUAUCAGCAUGGGCAUGAGAGUGGGGCCCCAUGAUGUUGAUGAGGAGGAGGAGGCGGAGGAGGUUUAUGAUGAUGAUUGCGCAAACGCGUGGUGUGCCGGAUCACACCACGCCCGCUCCAGUAUUUUUUGUUUUGUGUGUGUGCGGUGUGUAUAUGUGUGUGAGACGGGGUGGUUUGACUGCAGCCCAGUGUAGGAUAGGACAGGCUACACAGCAGGGCAGGGCAGGCUGCAACCUUACAAGCUGCACAAAGCCCAAAAUGAAACAGCAAAAAGCGCGAUUUCCAUUUCUUAGCAUUACGGUAGUUUCAAUGGCCACACGCUGGCAGUAGUGAUUACGAGCGGCUUGUGAUUACCCGGGGCUCUGUGUUUUGUGCUAUGCGUAUGAUUUUCUAUUUUCUUUGGUUUCCUUCGGGUUGAAACAGAACGGUGUUGUGAUGGUGGCUGUUGGCUCGAGUUUAUCUUCAUCCGGGGGGCUUCACUACGGAGCGUAUUAUCUGGAGAUUAUUUUUGGAGUAUCAGGGAGGCAAAAUGGUAGUAGGACACGUGUGUGACUGUAGGCCUUUAUGCGGAGAAAGGGCUAUGUAGGGCUCGGGUUCAGAGCAGAAGUAGUAUUGUGUGCAGAGCACCAGCAGGAGCGCGCAGCGCUAGGGGCAGCAGCAGGAACAGCAAGGCUGCUUCCAGCUCCUCCAUUUUUGUCGUCUGUCCGGUUCGUUGCUUGACGAACUGGGGAAAAACAGGUUAACAAGCAAAAACAUUAUUUGUAGAAGUAGUUUUGGCUGGAGAGCCGGUGACACGUUACGAGGAAGCUAUGCAGGCCAUGUCCUCUUACUCGUCUUUGCAUUGUACCAGGUCUUGUUCAUGCUUUCAACUCUUCCUUGGAUUUUGCAAGGAAACCUUUUAUUGCCUCUGGCGUGGGGGUGCAGGGUAGACGUGGUGAGGAAGCGGGUGUGUGGUUGGAGGCAGUGCGGCCCGGUGGGACGACGCUGCGACGCUGGGUGGCUGUCAUGUCUUUUUUAUUUUCUAGUGCCGGUUUGGCUGCAGGAUUAUUGCGCGUAAUGACUCUUUCCUUUUAUGAUGAUGAAAGUAUGCGGAAGUAGGAGUAUGGUGGUGAUCCAUUCGGAGCUUGGGCAUAUGUCUUCACAAAAAAUUACAUGACUUGCAUGCGCAUUGUCAUCUUCUCUUUUCCUUCUUGACUUUUUUCCUUCUUUACUUGUCUUCUUCCUUCAAUUUAUUAGUGACCACGUGAGGCAAGAACAGUUUGCGUGCAGUGCUGUUGCGAAUGACUGACCACCGCCAGCUAUACGCACCCUUUGGUAUAUGUAUACCUCUGUCUGGUGAUCGCAUGCAUCCGUGUUGGUGUGUCAGUGUGUGUUGGUGUGUGCACAGGAUCUUUUUUUCGUUCAGGGUACAGGGUACAGAUGAUGGCGACUUGACGGCAGGGUGCGGCGGCAUUCGCUUGCGCCGCCGAGCGCUGAAAGGCUAUAGCAGUGGGACAACGAAGGAUUUUUUUACGAUUUGUGCUUUGUGUACACAAAUCUGAUGCGGUGGGGGACCGUACGAGUUUAGCUAUGCAUGCUAGUGCCAGGUUGUUGGGUUUCCUUUCCGACACCUGAAUGGGCCUUUUCGCCAUUUUGUGUCGCGUCAUGUGUCGUCAGUAACUUGAUACAUUUCUCUCAUCUGCACAGACAACGUUUAACCGAGAGAUGAUGAAGAGCUAUCGUUCUCCAAAUUCCAAAACUAGGAUAUCUCUUACGUGUAACAUAACCAUCCACCCUCAUGCACCUGAGAUCGAUACCCAAGUAAGGCGUUGUUUGUUAUCAUAUUGAGCAGAUCCUUAACCGCAAGAUCCUCUUGCAAAUCACAUGAUUGCGUCGUACAAACACCGACAGGGAGAGCGCACCCGUGCCGAUUGUUUGGCACCACUGCCGCCACCACCACACCGCUAUAACAGUCAUGGUUGUGGCCGACAGAAGUUGCCAGUUGUGGCAGCAAGGGCUACUACCAGAGCUCUGGCUAUUACACUCUGCAUAAUCCAAAACAUUAAGCGCUGCAUACUUCGAACGUAGGACCUGGUGGCGAGAAAGCACGCGCUACCUUGAAAUACCAUUUUCAGCUUCUGCAUUACUGUCGUGCUCAAUCCAUACCACUGUGGCCUUACCACUGCACCGCCCAUCUCAUAGCAGAAAACCUAUAAUAAGACACGACGAUACGCACGCCGCUGGCAUCAUGGCCGGUGACGCAUGACACACACACACACACACACCGAGGACGCUGCAUGAAUUCGCCGGCAAUAUAAUCAGCAGAUGUCACCUCCACCAACCCCCAGCAAAUGCAGGGCCGCCCCGCUUGCGCUCCCCUCUGUCCCCAGGAAACACUGUUGCCGCUUACAACCUCUCUUACGAUGGCCGAAACACAACAGGAGAGCCCUUGUUUCUUUCGUCGCUGUGAAAACCAGCUGGCAUGUCCAGCUCGGCCAGGAGACGUGUCGUGAGUGCACACAGCACAGUGCACCACGCAGCACCAUCGCUCUCUACACCACACCCUGACGGAAGUCCUCUCCGCCUCCCACCCACCCAGCCACGCAGCCAGAAGGAUGACCGCUGCCCGAGCAGGUGGGCCCGAAGGGGUUCCCCUUUAGGGGAAGACUUUGGUUUGGCCCCGGCGAUGGUUGACCAGCUCUCUUCUGCUGCAGCCCAAGCAACGUUGCCUUGCCCACAAUAAUCCUCCUCCCCCUCACCACGGUCCGUCUCCAUAUAGCACAAACCCUAGCCACGUGGAGGACCCCUCCUAUUGCUCCGCAGCACAGCGAAAUAUACUCCCCCGCAUGGGGCCGCCGGGAGGAUGCUGCCAACAGCAGCAGCAGCAGCAGCAGCAGCAGCAGCAGCAGCAGCACCAGGUGGCUCUUCUCUUCUCCCACGAAGCCAAAACGACAAACUGGUUCCCUCCCCCACACGUAUGAUCCAUACCAUACGUACGAUCUGCAUCAUCUCGCACUGCAGCAUACAAACCUUCACCGAUGGCCAACCACCACCACAACGGCACCACAAAUUAAACGUAGUGCGAAUAGUGCUCUGUUACUAUGUAGUACUCUUGCACCAUAUGAAGCAGCAGUAGCGGUGAGUGACAUCACGUUAUUGCCAAACAGCAAUGCCAGAGACAGCUCCUCCUCCUCCUCCUCCCAAACACCCCGCCCUCCUCCACUCCGUUCCCUAGGGUUCCCCCCCCCCCGUAACACGGCCACCUACAGCCACACCAGCUAGCCUGCCGAACCUGCCCAGUAAGUCCCCCACAUCAUGGCCUGGGGAGCCCCCACACCUCUUGUUGCCGCCCGCACCCCCGGUCCCACUCUUUUUCACACAUCAGCACUCCCCCACAGGGCCGGAAAGCGGGCCAGCAGGGACCACUCCCAGAUCCGCCGAGUGGGCCCUACUCGCGGCCCGUAGGACUGUUGAAAAGGCCGUCAUCUACAUGCCGCGAGUCAGGUGGACCAGAGGCUCUAUAAGGCGACCAGAGACGUGUGAAGGUGGUAGGCGACCGUACUGCCGAGCCGCCUGUUGUUGUUGUGCCAUUGAUGCACCCUCUCCGGACUUGCCGUACAGCCAUGCAGCCUUUCCCGCCCCCACACCUCACAGCCGCCGCUCCGAAAGCACCUCCGGGCCCCCUUCCUCGAGGCGGGGGAAGAGCCCUCUGCAUGCUUGGGCUCCCACGGGCAUGUGUACUCUCGCCCUAAGGCUGCCUGCCUUCCCGCCUGCACUACCUUUGCGCCUGCGGUCCCCCCCCCGACCGCUCGCGAUCCCACAUCACACAUGCCCAACAUGCCCACCACCUACUAGUUGAUGGGCACUACCCAGCCAAAUUUGUCUUCAGCACGCUCAGUCUGGAUGUCGGUGAGGUUGGCGUACAUUUCCAGCGCCACCUUGCCCGCCUGGCCGGGCUCCGUGUACUGCUUGCGCUGGCCGCGGUACGUCAUGGAGCCCACCGAGGAGACCACCACGGCCGUGCCGGUGGUGAACACCUCGUCGGCCUGGAGGUGAUCGUGGGGGGGGCGGGAGGGGGGGACGAACCACAAACGAGUGAAGCUGAAGGGGCGGGGGGGGGGGGAGGGAGGCUCAACAGCGAAAGACAGAGGGCUUUCCGUCAGGCAAUAUGCGAUGUGCAGCAGGAAACACGCUUGGCACGAAAUUGUAAAGCUGGGCGUCGUGGAAGGAAUGGGCAGGGGCUCCAAUUACACAACUAUAUUUAUAAACUACGGGGGAAGUCGUCCUAAUACGGAUCAUCUAAAGCUGUUCGUGAGAGUGAGUGUGUGAGUGUUGUGUGUGGGGGGAGGGUGGGGAGUUAAGACGAACCACUGGCGAGUGGUGCGUGUGUGUGUGUGGGGGGGGGGGAAGACGAACCACGAACGAGUGAAGCUGCUGUGUGGGGGGGGGGGGGGCGGGGGGAAAAGACGAACCACACACGAUUGAAGCUGCUGCCAGGGCAAGAGAGUAGCAAACGUAAAAACUGACCGAAAGGCGUCCGUGGCGACUGUGACGACUGUGACCUCGGGGGCGGGGGGGAGAGACACACAAACACACAUAUACACAGAGAGAGAAGCCUGAGCACGUCACCCACCUCCAUGGCCUCGUGCACUGUCACGGGCUCCUCAUGCACAUCGUACCCCCGGCUACGGGCCAACUCGACAAUCGAUCUACGGGUGACGCCUGGCAGGAUGGUGCCCUGGAAGCAACAGCAGCAGCAGCAGCAGCAGCAGUUAACACCACCAGCGUUAGCGGAGCAGGUGGUGACCGCGUAGAAGACCGGGGCAAUAAAAAAACCAGUGGGCAGAAGAGCAGUGGAGGAAUUUACACCGGGCGGGAUCGGGACGGAAAGCGAUCUGUAUCUGCGGGUAAGACGAACCACUGGCGAAUGAAGCAGAUAUACCAGAGAUAGACACGGAUACUAGUCCAGGUCUGUCUGUCUGUCUGUCUGUUGGGGAGAAAAAGAUACUGGUGUACACACACACCCACACAUACUUACGCAUAGACAUCCCCACCCACACCCCCAUACCUGCAAUGGCGGCGUCUUUAUCGUGCGGCCCUUGACCACAAAGAUGUUGCACGAAGAGACCUCCUCCAGGUACGUGUCCGUCUUGGCGUCCAGGUAGACCUGGUAGCACAGCACACCACCCUGAGUGAGAUCACCGUCAUGACGUGUACCACGCACCCGCAUGGGAGUGCACUUUCUGAGGUCGUCACUGUUAUCAUCAUCAUCAUCAUCAUCAUCAUGGCUGAUGUCCUUCCUCCUCACGAUGAACAAGAGCGCGUGUGCACCGUACGCACUGGUGCGCGUGUGCACCGUACGCACUGGUGCGCGUGUGCACCGUACGCACUGGUGCGCGUGUGCACCGUACGCACUGGUGCGCGUGUGCACCGUACGCACUGGUGCGCGUGUGCACCGUACGCACUGGUGCGCGUGUGCACCGUACGCACUGGUGCGCGUGUGCACCGUACGCACUGGUGCGCGUGUGCACUGUACGCACUGGUGCGCGUGUGCACCGUACGCACUGGUGCGCGUGUGCACCGUACGCACUGGUGCGCGUGUGCACCGUACGCACUGGUGCGCGUGUGCACCGUACGCACUGGUGCGCGUGUGCACCGUACGCACUGGUGCGCGUGUGCACCGUACGCACUGGUGCGCGUGUGCACCGUACGCACUGGUGCGCGUGUGCACCGUACGCACUGGUGCGCGUGUGCACCGUACGCACUGGUGCGCGUGUGCACCGUACGCACUGGUGCGCGUGUGCACCGUACGCACUGGUGCGCGUGUGCACCGUACGCACUGGUGCGCGUGUGCACCGUACGCACUGGUGCGCGUGUGCACCGUACGCACUGGUGCGCGUGUGCACCGUACGCACUGGUGCGCGUGUGCACCGUACGCACUGGUGCGCGUGUGCACCGUACGCACUGGUGCGCGUGUGCACCGUACGCACUGGUGCGCGUGUGCACCGUACGCACUGGUGCGCGUGUGCACCGUACGCACUGGUGCGCGUGUGCACCGUACGCACUGGUGCGCGUGUGCACCGUACGCACUGGUGCGCGUGUGCACCGUACGCACUGGUGCGCGUGUGCACCGUACGCACUGGUGCGCGUGUGCACCGUACGCACUGGUGCGCGUGUGCACCGUACGCACUGGUGCGCGUGUGCACCGUACAGCACGUAACACAUCUCCUUGCAUGUUCCCACCACCUCGUCGGUUUUAGCUUUCCGCCGUGUCUUAGCUCCGCAUUCAUCAUCCCCGAAAUCUACAUCCUGCCUCGCUAGCUAUUAAGUCCACUACUUCCACACGACCUCUCCCCCUUUUCCAGUUCGGUAUGAGAGGACUAAAAGGACUGGGAGGGAGGAAGCCGGAGCAAAAAUUCCUCUUGCUUCCUGACCUGCAUGUAAUUGCUCCCCCCCCUUCCCCCUUUUUUGAACCGCCCCAUGUGGCGAUCAGACGUGCACACAUCUCCAACCUACAAGAUGAACCAAACGAAAGCUAUAGCUUUGGCCAACCUAGACGCACUACCCGCCCCCGCUGGGGUGCACAGCCUGGCUCUUUCCGUACUCUUUCGAACGACAUGCCGCGAAUGACGAGCCGCCGCGAAACAUGCAGCUUCUCGCCGUCCUCAAUGGCCCACCCGCCUUCAGAAGCUCAACAAUCCAUGCACCCCCAUGUGUACGUGCCCCUCAUGUAUCCACUCACAACGUCAGCGAAGCCGUUCUUCUUGGCCUCCAGUUGCGUCACCAACACCUGGGGAGUGGGAGUGGGAUGGGAGAGGAGGAGGGGGGGGAGGAGGGGGGGGAGGAGGAGGGGAAACAAGAGGAUGAUAGAAGGCGAAGGGGUGAGGCUUGUGAUGUGAGAUGACGAUGUAUGGCAGUAUGGCGUCUGCCGCGUGACGUGCCGCUGCCAGCAGGUGAAGAAGUACAUCGGGUAUGCGCGGUUUGUUCGCAAGGAAGAGAAUGGUGGGCCAUUUUCGGCAGAAGAGACCCUCCCCUCCCUUCCCUUGCUGGAAGACCCUCCCUCCUUCCCUCCCUCCCUCCUUCCCUCCCUUCUUCCCUCGUUCCCUCCCUCCUUCCCUCCUUCCCUCCCUCCCUCCCUCCCGACAUGGCAUAUGUGGGACACAUAUCUACACUGCACUAUGCCCCCGACCGCAUCGGACUGGAUGAGGGCCGACUGCAUCCAGACCGCAGCUUCCUCUCCUCCUCACCCAGUUGUUCUCCACUUACCGGAGAGUAGUUUCCCGCGGCUUUGGUGCCGCCCAUGCCGCCCGGUGCCGCCCGGUGGAAGCGCUCCUCCACGAGGAGGUCGAUGGGGGUCAGCUGGCCGCCCUGCACACAGGGGGGGAGAGAACGGGGAGAAAUUGAUGAUGAUGGCGUGCAGUGUUGAGGAGAGGUUUGGAGCAGGCCGCCCGUGUAAUCGUGUAAGAUGCAGCAGAGACAGCAGGGGCGGUGGUGCGCUUAAACGAACUAGAAACGUAACUGGGAGCCAACUCCAAAAAUUCAGAUUAGCCCCAGAGCAGCACUAAGCUUCUUCAAGGUCCGUGUUCGUUCAGCUGCUAGCAAGGAGUGACGAGGCUAGUCGACCAGGCCUGCAGAGGGAUGUGCUGCCCUGCCUCUGCCCUGCUGUGCCCUAGGCGGGGUUCUGCCGUGGGCUUAGCAGCAUCAGACAUCCGGCCCACGCCCCGCACCCAGCGCCGCAGGGCAAGGUCCUCCAAACCUUUUCCAGACCUCCUCGCGUUCCUCUCCUUCCACAAGAGACAGACAGGAGGACCAGGACCCUCUCCUACCUUGAAGUAGGCGCCCACAGCCGCUGCAAAGAUGGUAAAGGUGUAGGACGGCGCGGGGCCCAGACCCAGGAUGGGUCCAGUACCCAGCAGCAGCGGCCGAAGGUACAGCGAGCCCUUGCCGAUGGGGGGAACCUGGACAAGGAGGGCCGGUGCCCAGAAACACACACACACACACGCGCACAUACAUACAUACAAAUAUAUAACCCAAUCCACGGCAAGUUCCUGGCAAACGGCGGCCAUCACCUCCUCUUCACCGACUGGGCUGAUCCCUGCAGCGAACGCUGAUCCCCAACUGCCGCUGACCCCUGACGCCUCAAGCUCGGGGCCGCGCUGGGGCCUGAGGCCGCCGUGCUGAUGUCCAUCCCCCGUCCCUUUAGCCACGACCCGUACACACAUGACGACUCCCUGGUGGCCAACCCCUGACCUCAGCCGCUGUCCACAGUCCUCUCACCGUCGCUACUAUUUCACACAGAUGUGGUACACAUGUGUGCGUGCGUGCGUAUGUGUGUGUGCGUGUGUGCACAUAGGUCGCCAUAGGGCCCAGGAUGAUGCCUAAUGGCGGCGGCGGACGCGGUAGCCGGUGUAGGCCCCUCUUCUCCCUACCGCACAUCACCCGCUCAUACGCACACACACACACAUAUAUACAUAUCUAUAUACACACACAAGCGCGCAAAGCACGAGUAAUGCACGCGGUGUCCCCCCUUUCCCCCCCCCCCCGCGCCGCUGGCCUCAGUGCCCACCCUUCCAGGGGCCCUGAACUGCAUAUGCCCGUAACCCAGCUCUGAGGCCACUGCUCACAUAGUCAAGGUUUGCGGCCACGGUGGCCUUUACGGCCUCCACGAACUGCUCCUCGGGCACGGAUGGCAUGCUCAUGCGAGCGGCGCCGGCCUUAAAGCGAGCUGCGUUCUGGUCCGGCCGGAAGACCACCACACGGCCCUUAGAGCUCUCCUGCGCCUUCAUGCCCUCAAAGAUGGCUUGCCCAUAGUUGAGCACCUGAGCGCUGGGCAUGAUGGUGAUGGGGCCGUACGGCACUAGUUUGCCCUGGUCCCACCCCUUGUCCUGCGUCCACUCCGAGACGUACAUUGACUUUGAGGAGGGGGAGGGCGGGAGGGGGUGGGAAUGAGGUGAGAAUGGGCUGUCUGCCUGGUACCGGAAAAGCACCGUCACAAAAAGCGUUCUGCCUGGAUAGGCGGCAUUUCCGCAUGCGCUUGGGCCGUAAAUUGUUUUUCAGGGAUUAUGGCCCGUCCGCCAGAGAGCACUUUGGGUUUCCGCGCAAUGGAGGUGCGACCGGGAGGUUGCAGUGAAGGGAACUAGUCGGCGCCGGUAGACAGACCGGACCCAACCCAGGGCUGUGCUCACCCCUGCGACAUCCUUCAGACCAAAGCCAAGGGUGUCCCAGUCAAUGUUAGCCUUUGACCUGCAGAAUCAUGCAUACAGCUUUUAUGGCCAAGAGGUACGAAAACAUGGCAGCGCGACAAAUUUUGCGUACCGGCGCUCGCCAGCAACAGUCGCAGCCGCUGCAAUCGUAUGCAAACGACUCCGAGGAGCAGCAGGCGGGCAGCACCGCCUUAGGCACCUGCAAGCAGGGACAGCGACUUCAUACAUUUGCGGCGGCUAGACGAUUGGGCACAGCCAAAGCUGAUCCGGUAGCGGCUUCCAGUUCAUCCAGCGUCGUUAAUACAUAAACAUGGACCAAACUUACUGCGCCCGGGACUGCAGAAGGGGCCGGUUGGACAUCUGCGCAAAAGGUUGCUGCGUUAACGUGAAGGGCAGGUCUAAGCUGGAGAUUAAUAUAUAUGUAUAAUUUCAAAUGCGCACCGUAGAUAGCAAGGAUUUCCAGAACGAAAUCCCUGUGUGCAUACAGGUGCUGAAAGAAGCGACGCCACCUGCAACCGGUCUCGCAGGCGCGGGAGGCAACUCCCUUCGAGCGUAUUUGAUGUGUAUGUAUAUACUGAAAUGAGUCUGGGAAAGAAUCCUUGGUACACUAGUCAGCGCUGUAUGCCGUAAGCCUUUGGCCAGCAUUGAACUUUCACCUAACUACGCAACGGCGGGGACUGAGGACAGCAUGCGCUUUCAGGGGCUUUCAGUUCUUGUGGCAGUUACAGCGUAAAAGAAACGCAAAGUACAGAUGUUGCAACCCCAGAAAAGACGAGUUAAUAGUCUCGUGCCUAAGGCUCGCAGGUAGUCCAAGUAAAAUGUUGCUAUAGACUUGCACUAACUUGGCGCAGACGUCAAAAAUUCACAGUCAGCAUUGGACGGAUCAUGCUAGACAAAAAACGACCGUUGGUAGGAAAGCCCUACUGCCCGCACCUACCGCCCUACCAAUCACAAACUGCGCCUUCGACGCCAUGAGAUGUACACACAGAACACCUAGACAGUAUACAGCCUGCUACCUCACAGUUUCGCUCAUUCCAAACCCCUGCGGUCUUCUAACGGAAAGUCCAAAACAGACCUAACGACCCUAAUACGCAUGUAUUCAUCCUCCUAACUGCUACAUCCUCUACAUGAAAGCCGCGAUUUCCUUGGAUGCCCGCUGCAGCAACGUAAGUCGCUUCUUAACACUCUCGCGCUGCUCGGCGAUCUCCUCGCUCUCGUUGAUUAAGCGCCGCAGCUGUGGCUCCUCCUUGCCCGCCACAUCCUCCUGGAGGGCCAUGAGCAGGCCGCCCUUCGCCGGGAUUACCUACAACGGUGAAACGUAGUGCACAUACAAGGGAACAUUCAGAAAAGUGAAUCGCAACAGUGCCAAUAGCGCUCAACGCCCAGGACUGCUAUAGGACGCCGAGCAGACCUCGGCAAUGAGUGUAAACACCACCUCCGGGGCGCACGGAAAGCAACACCCGGAUGUACAUCCUCGUAAAACGCAUCCUGCGUUUUGGACCCAGCCCUAAUUGGCGCCCGUUCUCGGCGCCACCGCCAGGGCCCUGAAUCUGCCUGCCAUUGGCACGGCUUUGGAGAAACUUUUCGGUUACGGUCACACUGUACGUCUUCAUACGGCCGCCCGAAACUAACCAUGCAAUGCACAAUUGCCUUUGGCACGGUAGCCAGCAUCUGCCCCUUGACGAUGGCCAGGUAGGCGGAGACGUGGUCGCUGAUCUUCUGCAGGUGCGCGUCCGCGACCGGCAGGUUGUCGUACCGCUUUUCGAAGCUGUACGAUAGGGUAAACGGUGAUCAGCGAAAGGAUUAGCACGAACGUCAAAUAGGGUCGCGGGACAUCCUCAAACUCAAGUACAAACAACGGUGCAAGGACCCCCUCCCCAUCCCACGGGACUUCCAAGGACAACUGCUCACGGUAUUAAGGCCCAAGCGUCUACAGAUAAAAGCUAAGUAAGGACCGAGAGGCUUGAUGGCCGAAUCCCACCACCUCGGCAAGUAUUGCCCCACGAUGAUACGACAUCGCUUUUCCUCCGGCAGUCGGGCUGUAGGGUAGAUCAGGCGCCUGUUACCGAACCAUUGGUGCUCUGAAGGCCCCGUGGCCUGCGCCCGAUGCUUUCCCAUACACAUGCUGCAGAACGCCGUAGGAGAGGUACGCAAGAUAGUCCGUGGCAUUAGCUGUUAUCAGCUCUAUCGUGGUAUCAGCUGUACAUGCACUCGGGCCUGCCGGAUGCAGGUGAAUAGCUGGGUGUAUUCCCGGGAGCGCAAUGCACAGUUGCAAAUACUACACGUUGAUGAUCGUCACACUUGUCUUGUAAGCCCAGCUCCGCGCUGCCAAUUUUGUUUACAUUAUGGUCACGAUCGGCUGCACCUAGCGAGGGAACGCAUGUCGGCUAACUCACAGGUUCUCUCCCGAGAGCGUGUAGAACGCGGGCCGUGGCCGUGAGGGAUCGUAGGCGUAGCUUUCCGCAGCCACAAUCUCACGGAAGAAGCUGGCCGAUAGGUAAGAGGCCUCCAUGUCCACAAGCGUACGAACCAUGGCGUCGGUAUCCUUGCGGAGGCGCUCUGUAAUGCGGCCAUGGCGUGGUACAGCAUUGAAGCAAAAGCGGCGGCAUGGACAGCUGUCACUGCUGUUCGCGGUGCGUAUGGAUAAACAUCGGUGCCAAGCCUACAUCGGUGCAGUGCACGAAAAAGGAUUGCGCACCUGUCGCAGCGACGGUCGCCUUUGCGAAAUACCGCUAGGUUGACCCCAGUUCCUAGCCUUGCCAUGUAUCAUGAAGCACCUUGGGAGCCAGAAAGUCCUGUGAUUGCUACCUACCGAGCGUGUUGGCGGCGUGGUUGAUAAUCUCCGAUUUCAAGUUGAAGAACCGCUGCAGGUCUCGGCAGUCCGGCGUGUUGACCGCGAGGGUCACAAUAGCCUUGAGGAUUUGAUGCACCUGCACGCGCAGCGUGACAGUUCACCGUUUGUAGGAGUCCGGGCUGCCCCUUGGGCCUCCUCAGGGCUCGUAUGGGCCCGUCACAUCAGACUUACGCAACUCCAGAGGUUGACACACACACACAACAUUUUGGACUAAAAUCUCCCUGACCCAGUCCCCCUCAUAACGUGCGGCCCCUCGAGCAGGCACUCCGACCGUAAACCUCGUUAGAGAAUUGCCAAAGCUUAUUAAUUUGUGCAUACAAAUACUCUCUUCCCUUGGGCUUAUACCUUCCUUUAGCUGGGAAUUUUACCUUUGGGUUUGGAAAUGCACCAUACUUUUUAUUAUUUUAAGAAAAAACAUCUGAUAAAACAAAACUUCUUACCGCCCGUUGACCGCAAUCCCAAUCAACUCCAUUCCUAUAGGUGUUCCACGACAGGACAACGCUAACGUUGGAACGCAGAACCAAUACAUAGGGGAAUCUCCUUAAGGGUAGGAAACUCCGCCUGCCAAACCUCUCCUUCGCGACCCGAACGCCCACCCCAUACACACCAGCUCGACUGCGUUGAGCGAAGGGUCACGCAGCAACGACAGCCCAUCCUCAAUGAGACGGCGGUAGCCGUUCUCUGGCGCGAUAAUGUGCGGCUGGUAGCCAUCCGCCUCGUUCACAACCAUCUGCACGUUUUUGAGCGUCAGGAUCCGCUGGAAAGGCAACUUGUUGAUGGCCUCCUUGAGCUUGAUCUCAAACACGUCCAGGAUCUUCUCGCCACCUGCGUUAACGGGGCCCACCAGCGCAGUAGAGAAUGACUACCAUCCUCGGUGGCGGCCACGGCGUGACGGUCACAGGCUCUGCCAAACUAAGUGGAAUGAUGUUGCUGCGGAGGUUGGCACGGCCAUGCCUCAGGAUGCUGGCGUAUUCCACCUGCAAAUGGCUCGCUGCUCGCUCGACUGCGCGACCUGUGCCGCGAGGGCACGCGCUCCCCGUAAACCUACUCCAUACCAGAACCACAACCGUGGGUUGCCGCAGUCCCCCACUUACCGUCCUUCCCGCCAUCAACAAUACGCUCGAAGGCCCGCUCCAGUUUUUGGCAUAGCUGCAAUGUCAUGUGCAGCAUAGCGCCACGGCUAUGACUCACGUCGCCGCCGAGUGCCUGCGAGGAAAGGCCGGCGGGAUGGCAUGAGCAGCGUUCGAAAUCGUGCCGCGUGGCAAAUAGACUACAACAAUUAUUACAAUCACGCAACAUGGUUCAGCUGACCGGAACUCCGAAAUGAGAAGUAGUGAAUAUCUUAGCCAAAUCGUUCUUUAUGAUUAUGAGAUAUCGAGCGCUAGGUUGGACGAGCGUGCAAGAGCUGGAUCGGGUGACUGGGACAGCCAUUGCGGGCGCUUGCCGGAACAACCACGAUCGUCCUUUUGCCAACAUGUGCGCUCACCCCACUCACACCCCACACUACACCCCAAUCUUGGGCCAAAAUCCCACACUGCUGCCCAUCCAUACCUGCAAUUCUUUCGUAAGCUUGGCGAUGGUAUCAUCGAUGUAUGAUUGGAUGGACGGAAGGCUCUUCAUGAUCUCAUUAAUCAGGUGGUUGGACAAUUUAUCCGCAAGGAAGGUCGUGCCCGUGUUCUGCAGGUCCUGAUACUCGGGUUUGCCCUGGAAGAAUUCACGCUCUUUUGCACGUGCGUCCUUCAUGGAUACCUGAACGGCGGCGACACAAGGGUGUGUUAGACAUUAACGGCGUGUGCAAAUGCGUUGGGAAUGGGUGCUAGGGAAUCUGGACAAAGAGAUAUCAUUUGACGAACACAGCCAGGCGACGUAAGAGGAUAUAUAGGGCAGGAUCCUUCAACAUGCACAGCCACUGAAAAUGUGUCUGUGUCCCUUAUCUACGAGCCAUGCUAAUGUUGGAAUUUGGAUAAACGAUUCAUGGGUUCUGCAACUGGGCAAUUCAGGGGCUGUGUACACUGGCUGACGGUCAAAAUCGACAUGGCGUAGAUGCCAUGGCCACGGGGUCCGGCCCGCCAGGAAAACCGCAUAACAUCGAACAGCCAGUUGCCCCAGCACCCCAAAACGGAAACGUGGUAACUGCAAUCACUACAAAAUUCCUUUGAAAUUUUAGUAGGGCGGAAGUGCCCAUAAGGAUAUCAGCCUCUGGCACUCCACGAUAUCCCCCGUGCGUGUUCCUUGGUAACACGCACCCUGCUGUUAAUGUCGGCUUGGCCACGAUUCACCACCGCCACCCAGCCGUGCUUGAGCUUCAGCGUCCUUCCCAGCAGCACGUCGCGGCAAUCCGUGCCACGGUCCAUGAUAUCCACCUUCGUCAGCACGCCUAGAAGGGCAUCGGUGUCAAGGGUUACAACUCCUUCAGACCCAGGUCCGGGACGAUGCCGGCAAUCAGACAACAAGGCAUGCGCCGGUUAGCCCAGAUUGGCAGUGAUUGCAAAACCAGCGCAUCAGCCACUCCAUCAAUGGACAGCCGAGCCCGGGCCACGUUAGGCCCGGGCCUGGGCUGUGGUCGCUCCCCUACUAUCCCAUACUACUACGUUCAUGCCGGGCCGUGCGCCGCACGGCAGACCGUUAAGCCUCGAUCGCGGCAAGGUUCCAUCUGGGUCAUUGCCUGAUGCGUUCUACUUGUGUGUUAACACGUUACGGAUGCUUAUCCUAGGGGCCCGGCAGCUUGGCACCGGCGGAUUACUAAUGGAAACCCCAGUGCACUUUGGUGGUGCACUUCGUGCCCCCUUCGUGGGUCAGCGUUGAGGAACCCCGGCUCCGCAGCAGUGCAUUUAGCGACGGGCCUUUCGUAUUUUCACGGUCUAGGUAAAUGCCAUUUGCCAAAAAGAGCGCCAUCGCAAUAUGUCAGCCAAGCCUUCCGGUGGGUGGUAGCUACCUAAAUCUCUGCCCAUACGUUUCCCAGGCGGUAACAUGAGGAGGGAAAUGAAACCCAUCCGCCCUGUAUCCGACAUGUCCUUUAAAAAAUUCGGCAAGAGACCCUCUUCUAUAUGCCACCUCACCAAUGGUGCGAUCGCCGCUGGGGUCCACGUCGCGUGCCAUGCGCAGCGCAUCUGAGGUCGCCAAAUCUGCGUUGGCGGGUGUCACUGCUAGGAUGAUGGCGUUGUCGGACUUCACGUACUGGCGCGCCAUUUCGUCCAGCUCCUGCACGAUACUCGGCGGCUGGCCGUCGAUGGGCACCUUUGUAAGGCCUGCGGUGACAUCGGAGGGAAAGACGAACCACGAAAGAGUGAAUGGAGGGAUGGAAAGAACCGCUGACCCACGCUUGCUGUGACAAGAGUGCACGCCAUGUCUGAUGCAAAGGCAGGCCUCUAAACUGCAACUGCGAUUUUCGCAUGGAAAGUCAUGCUCGGAUGGUAGCAGUUGAACCAUAUUAUUUAGUGUCGUGUUCCGAUAUGUUGUACUUUCGCAGUGUUGUCGAGAUGUGAUCAGAUCGGCUUGCAAGGGGCGGGUACCUGGCAUGUCUACCAAGGUUAGGUUGGGAACGUUGUUGGAGUAGACGGUCAGGUAGAUUGGAUCCGGAGAGACCACUUUGUUGCCCCCCAUCUUGUGGAGGUGCCUCUCGGUUUCAUCCUCGAUCUCCUUGCGAAUGUCCUCUGCACGCAUGGAUUUGAGACAACAGAAAGGCAUAAAGAUUAAUUAAUGCCAGGUGACCCGGCCAUUCGCGCAACCCCGCACAACGGUGUCAGUACACACACUACCCGGUGUCGGGAACACAGUCGUCUAAUAAUAAGAGAUGCAGGACUCAUGCGCAUCUCAACAAGGCAGCGGCAAAAUGGCUCACCAAAGCUGGGAAUCUUGCGACCUGGCGCGUGUGAGAACUCCCCAUAGUCCUGGGCACUAGAGUCGUCAGUUUUGACAAGCUGGAGCACCAGAGGGCGACGCGUGACAAUACCAGUGCCGCGCGGCAAGAAAUCCCUGCCGACAACGGCCUCAAGCACCGACGAUUUGCCCGAGCUCUGCAGGCGAACGAAUAGAUGCGAACGAUCCAAACGUGAGCCGCGACCUUAGCACAUCCUCGCAUCAGAAUAAACUUAGUCCAAGCAUCAUUAUUAAAUAUUGCAUUAAGCGUAGUCGAAAGAUAGUAGUGUGCCCUAGCUCCAAUACCAACUGCUCCCAGCUGCCUUGUCCGGAUACCGCCCAAACCAAAAUCAAGCACCUGGCCGCCCACAACGACAAUAGUUGGCAAUUUGUUCCAGAGAAUGCUUUGCGGGCUAAGCGCGUUGUCGCCCAACGAUGUGCAUAUCUGUUGCAGCUUGUUAACAAGUCCAAUCACACGCUCCAUCUCAAUAGAUUGGCUUCAGGGGCAAAAGGUGUGUAACUUGUGCGGGGAAAACGUGUCGGUGCUCGGAAACACAAGAAGAUGGGCAGACGGACAAGUAGAUACAGUCCAGAACUGUAUGGACAAUAUAUCAAAAGUUCAUCUUUAGAUCACAGUUUCCUAAAAAAUCCGUCUACAAGGGAGGAAGAGGGGUGCGCAGGCUGUUUACAACGACAACCCCCGUACGGCGAAGACUGAAGCACUUUGGGAAGGUAGAACAGCAGUAGUUGAGAUUGAUGUAUUACUGUUGUACACACGGGGCAGUCAGCACAGCUGGCUUUAGGGAACACUUCGUUGUUAGCGUACCGGUUAUUGCAACGGGAACGCGCUUGCUCGUCCAGAGUCAGCGCAGCGUUGCAUCGGCAUAGGCCUUGCAGAAACUGGAUUGAGGCGGUGCGCAUGGCGACAUACAACGAUGAGAGUGACGCGGGCUUCUUUGAUGACUUCAACAGGGACCCGGACAAGCAGGUAUGCGUCAGCUAUCCUUCUCUUCAAAUUAUUAAAUACUGGGAUUUGGCUGAAUGGGCCAGCUAGCCCCGCUUUGUCUACCGUAACCAGCUUAACGAAGUGCAGCUGCUUUUCUGCAAGCGGCCAAGUAUCAAUAGGUACCCCGCAACUGUCACUGUCACUGCCAGCAUUCUAUAAUUCUACAUCUCGGCAAAGCAUCGUUUUUCUGAGACGCCUGGCUUUACGGCAGGGGGCCCUCCCUUCCCGUUGAUAUCAAAGUCCAACCGCCCAACUGAACGCCUUCUACGAUGUAAGUCCAGUAGUCAGCUCAAGGGGCCAACCUCGCGAUGUAACUCCUGCUCGUAGUGCCGUACAUUCUGCGCCGGUCCGACAGCCACGCUAUUGGCUUCGCGACUAGCAAACGCGCAAGUCCGCAAGAACGGAAGAGGCACACAUGGCCCAUGUGGGUGCAGUACCAGCUCCGUCCUUACUUAAACACGUGCUAGUAGGCUGUUUGCCUUAAGGCUUGAGACUUGUGUGCUCCAACGUUACGCCGGGAGGUACGCGCACGGAACCGGUUUACCGACCGACCGACCAACCAGGUUUCUUCUAAACCCGUUCCUCAAACCUACUCUCAGCGCCAACACGAGCCUUCCCUUGUGUGAAAAAGCACUUCCCUAGGCACUGCUCGACACAAAUCGAUCCGGUCAGGAACUCCGAGUUUUCGCACACCCUAUCGUCGUCCUAAUCAGGCCCCUAUCACAUUCACCUCCGUAGUUACACUUAACACAGCGAAUCACAUGGCCGGAAAAUUGAAGGUAUGAGUGAACGCUAGCAGCAGCCACGGAUUCUCCAGCAGCACACAAGGUGUCUAGCAGGACAGGGUGUUACUACCCUGUUAGCCAUCAUGCUCUGUCCUCUGUGCCGGACUUCGCCUCGGCAAAAGCACCACAGCCACCGCGCGGCGCGUGGCAGCGCACGGCGGUUUUCACUUUUCAAGCCUCUUGGCCCGUGCAGGCCGUGAUGGAAGAUGUCAACCGCAAGCUCUGCGAAGCCCUCACAGAGCUGGCGGAAAACAUCGUCGAUGCGCUGGUCGAGGCAGACGCCAGGGCGGCGAAGGGAGUGGUAGCGGCGGCGGCGGCGGCGGCGGCUCAGCGGAACGUGGGCGCCGACACCGAAGCAGCGGAGGAAGAGGAGGCAGGGGUCUCGUCAGGGGACACCGAGGAGGUGGCCUGCAUUGACGAGGUCGCGGCGCUAGCAGCAUACAAUGACGCGCUCUCUGCUAUCAUGCGGGAAAAGAACGUCACCAGCAAGGUAUGGCACGAAGACAAGGACACCCAUUGCUGUACAUGCUGCUCCAUUCGCCGCCGCUCCAAUCCAACAAUUGUUUCGGUGCGAGGGCUGUUAUCCGAGACACAGGCUUGGGAUUGGGAACCGGGGCGUAUCUGACCUCACCCUCAUGCUCGCCUGUCAUGACAGACAGAAACUGUCCGCAAUACGCAGCACGGAUUGCUACCGUACUGCUGGUCACCUGCCGUACUUGAUGCCGUACGGCCGCUAUGCAGGAUAUGUGUGCACUGCCUGAUGAGCACCCUUUGAAGGAGCUAUUCUUUUCCGCGUUUGACGAGCAGUUGUUCCACGACUUGCUAGAGCGCUUCGUCAGCCAGGUACGUAACUUCCUCGUGGUUUUGGGUCAGGGGUUAGCUUAGAGUUGGUGAUGAGCUAAUAAGCUUAUGUGAUUGGAAGUGUGCAUGAUGGGCUGAUGUUGCGGAUUGGCUGGCGUGGUGGGCUGGUUAGGGAUGGGCAUUGCGAUGAGGUCAGAUUGGUCGGGGUGAAGCGGAGUGUUUGCCGGGUUCUCGCAGGGAGUGCUGGGUGCCGUAUGGGUGCAUAUGCGUAUGGGUGCCGUAGCGUUCAUGGACGUCUGAUGCGGUAGAGACACGGGCUGGCUGUGGAUUUAUUUGCGGACUUCAGCAGCAGACUUAACAUGUGGCUGCUGGAGCCAUCGCAGAAGAGCAUCCUUCUCUCUUGAUGUGUCUCUCACCCCCUCUCUCUCUCUCCCUGUCACUGUCUCCACACUGUUUUUACCUCUGCCGGCGUACCCUGAUCGGUGGCCCUAGCUGGGCUGUGUGAACCGUGCUUGCCUCACAUUCGAUCUGCCGUGCCGUCAUGUCUCGGACCCGCACGGGGCCACUUAUUAAUCGGGCCGCAGGUACGCAAUCGCAAAGAAGGACCUGGGGAUUGGGAUGCAGAGGCCGCGGACGGCGAGUGCGAUGAGGACCACACGCUUGAGUGAACUGAACCCGGAUGAUGCGGGAAAGAAGCUUCUAGCCAACGACACGGCCAGCCGGCCAGCAAACUAGCUAACGAAAUCCAUCAACCAUCCGGCCAACAAGCCGGCAAGGCAACCAGACAGGACCAUAGGCACGUCCAUGCGGCUUCGAACGGUCCCAGCGAGCCUGGGCGGACCGGUAGCGUGGUGGUGUAGCCGGCGUCGUCAUGGCGGUGGCUGUAGCGGCGUGCGGCCGGCUGCACAGCCUUGGAGCUGGCUAGCUGCGGGAAGGCAUGCGCGGGUAUCUCCAAUGUCCCAUGGUAUCCAGCUUGCAUGGCGCUGUUACACUUGUAACUCGCCCGAGCCCAGCGCCGAGCCUGGGUUACGCGGCUCGGUAAUCCUUUUGAGCCGCUAUUAUUUUGCGGCUCAAUGGAGCCGCCAAGGAGACGUUUGCGGCUGUGGAAGUUGUUGGUUGGUGGGCUAGCCAGCUACGUUAUGGCGACUAGCAAGCCAGUGGUAUGCUUCCAUCAGGCCCUUCGUGCCGCGCCACCACGCACCAGCAACUGGGCAUGUUUUCAUAGCCUUUGGGGGCCUUGGUAAACUGUUGACAUUUUAUUCGUUCUGAAUUCGUCUUGGUCGAGUAAGUUUGUGUGAAUGUGUGUGUGUGUGUGCAUAUCUGGGCUGACACCUCAAAGCUCUGAUACCGGCGACAAAGCUGGCGACCGCAUCCGAUUGUCUUGUGUGCUAUUAAGUCACAACUUCCGCACGAAUGCGGGGUUGUCUGUCAAAAAAGCCUGGGGCCCAUGGACGAUAUAUUAAGUGCAAGGGUGUAUGAUGAAGGCGAUCAACGAGCAGUUGAUCAACGGAUUCGCGGACUCAUUAACUUAGGCUAUCAUCAAUGGAGGGAGACUUGCGCGGCCGUUGUCCGAACAGGGGGCAAAAGGCAAGGGGCCAAACACGUCCAGCCACAAAUCCCUCGCCGCGGUUGACCUCCAGGGCUGCGAAAUGCCUUGGGCGCGUGGGUGCGCCUCGCCCGACAGCGCGUUGGGCCCUACUCAAACUCAAAGAAUCACGCGCCGCGCACAUGCACGACACAUCCUUCACAUCCCCGCGCUUAAGACGAGCGGAUGCACACGCAUGGCUCAAGGGAGCACCGGCGCUGCGCAAAACACUGUACAGGCGUGCGAUAACCCGAAAAGGUACCAAGGCGAGGGCCUCGUACCACGUUUAUGAUGUGUUUUGUUCUCUCGGACUUUGGGCAGGCUUGCGCUCGGGCUGGCGCAAGAGCUAAUGGUAUAGCAACCUUCAUCGUCUGUGGUGUACGGCUAAGCGCAACUUGGGUGUCGUAUUAGCGAUGUGAUGAACGGGAUGGGGGAUAUGGUUGCGGUGCAGGGGGUGGCCGUCCACGACGCGAAAAGGGCGUGCCAGGCAUGCCCAAGGGGCAUGUGAUGUAGCCGAGCGAGGACAGAUCCGUUGGCUGCGUGCGAGUGCGGCGUGCUGUGAUGCAGUCCAGCCGGAAUUGUGACACAUGUGUUAUAGUACAACAUCAUGUAGUACGGUACACUCGUAGUACAGCGCACGCUGUAGUCCACUACAUCGCAUUAGAUCACACUGUUGUGCCGCACCAUGAAGUGCAGUACGAGCGCCUCUCCUGGAGGAGGUUCACCGUAAUCUAAUGCUAACGUGCAAUCCUCCUUGCUAGUGCUGCGUGGUUCCGGAGGCCUAUGUUGUGGUGAUGCUCCAGCGAGUGUAACUCAAGUGAUAAAUGACGCUUGCGUCUUCAUCAGUUUGUGCGACGGUUGCAACUGCAACCGUUAGGGAAGUGUUCGUACUCUUUCUCAAGUUGGAUGUUGCAGGACUGGACCGGGAUGUGAUUAAUGAAUUGCUAUGCAUACGGGACCUUUCUUUGUCGUCGGACAGGAUGACGCGCCAACAACGUGCGCGCUGCCGCCGACGUGUGUGUGUGUGUGUGCGAUCCACGUGAUACCUUUUCAUAUCUUUCCCGCGGGCUACAAUCGUGCAACCGUACAAUCGUGGCUUCUUUCGCGUGCGUACCUGUGUCGUUAGUGGUUCCUUAUUUCCCGCCUGGUGGUUCCGUACGCCGUUCCUGGCUCCUUCCAUGCAUGGCUUCAUCCACCAGCCGUGCUAAUCCUCCACCUCUGACAGCCUCUGGCCGUCUUAUCUCCGAUUUAUCCUUCGCUAGUGCGCUCUUGCUUGCUAUCGCCUGGAUCUACAUACAGUUUAGCUUGCCGGCGCAGGGGGACUUAGGGGCGUGUCCAGUUAGCCACCGGACCGAAAAGUAAGCUGCUCCGCGGACAGACAGACAUCUGGGAAAGACGAUUUUUCACGCUUUGCGGUUUUCGUCUGGCGCGGCGCACGGCGGUCGGUCGUGCAUCCAGUAGUUGCCCGUGAUGAUGGCGGGGUUGAGGAAUGGUGGCGGUGUUGUUGUCGUUGAUGGCGACGAUGGACAAUGACGAUGGACAAUGACGAUGGACAAUGACAAUCACAAUGGAGAAUGCCAGGCAUCCAAUGAGCGCAGUGGCAUUCGAGUUGGGCUACGAAAGGUCUUAAGGCAGGGCGUGUGUGAUGUGCGCACGUAUGUAUGGCGCUGGGGGCCUGCCGGCGAGGCUGGCCUGCAUCGUUGCUCUUGCGUGGUGGUAAGCGCCGAAAGAAGCACCCUCGCAGGACUGCGUUAGAUCUACCAAAGCGAUGCGGGAGGAAGGCGUACAAGUGGUAAACAGCGGUACGGGACAGAUGCUUAACGCACCGCCAGCGCAAGCAACGUUGCGGGACCUCGCGACAUGUCAGCUCAGCCGGCAAAUGAUGCUGGGGACACAGCUUACCCGGCAAUUUUUGCGUCCCUGGAUAGUUCUGUCCUCCCUCCCUGCUUGUAUUCACUUGUGUGCGGAACUUGUAACUUGUAACUUGCUUGUAUUCACACUGUUGGCUUAGGAGCCACCCUUUUCAUGACCUCAUUUCUUUUCCCCCCUACAGUAUGUUAUGUGUAGAAACACCCUGUAGAAGCAAAUGAAGUUGGUUCUGCACUUCUCCCUUUGUAACUGAGCUCCGCUGGUUCCAAUCAUCCCUCAGCUGCCGGCCUUGGAACGGCGAGUUUGGCACUGAAAACUACAACACCAGCGUUGGCGCGCUCGCAGUGUGCUAGGCAACGGGAGGGAGAACCGCUGGGAACGGUUCACCACCCGUGGGCUUGUAGCAGCAGUACGGGCUUGUACUUGCCGGUGUGCAGGCAGGCCACGUCUGAAGGGCAUUUCGACGCAAGUGGGCAUUUCGACGAGGGAGAAUCUCGUUGCGAUUGUCAUGCGUAGCUUUGCCAUAGCAUGCGUACCCGGACAGAUGCAGUCAGGGACGUUGUUGGGAUGGCAGGUGACGGCCAAGACAAGUACGCGAGUUACAGUGAAACAAAGCUUUUGUCCCAAUUCCUAGUGAGACCUGGACACUCGCCCCAUGGCCGGCCCUGACAGUUGCUCCUGGAACUGCAAGGAUAGUUGACAGCUCUUUGGAGCGCAUCGUCAAGUUCCUCUCACCAGACGAGAUGCCAUGCAGUCAGGGUUCGGCGGGGAGGUCUUAACGAGGAUAGGAGAAGGGCAGAGGGCAGUUUUGGCAUUCUGGUGCUCGCUUGGUGUGCGCCCAUUGAAGGCCAGCGUGGAGAGUGGCUAGUUAAUCCCAGCGAGAUGGGUUUGAGUGGGUAAGAACUGGUGUAAGGUACAAGGUGCUACGCAUACAGGUUGCAGGUUAAGGAAGGUGUGUUUUGUGGCAGGGAGGAUUUUGAAAGGUCAGGGGUAGGCACAGGCGUUUGUGACUCGGCGUAUGUCCAGAAGUGCACGGAUAUUUAAGGUGUUUCAGCCGUUAGCAAGCGUCCGGUAGUCAGCUGGGCAUGUGCUGCGUAGCUAUUUCUUGGCCUGGCAUACAGGGCCAGAGCUUAGCGAGUCUGCUUGACGUUCUUUCGCGCACAGCAGCCCCGUUUGCACAACGAUGGUCAAGCUGGAGCAGCAGGUUCCCUCCAGGUUCCAACGAUUGGCAAACUUAAGACGUGACCGCAUUUCGUAAAAGUCCUCGAGAACUGGCACCUAUGCCCAGGGUCUUUUUUUAAGAAACGCUAGCCGCCGAACGGCGUCUCAUACCUCUAUCAAGAGCUCCUUCCCUACUCAAAUGCCUCGCCUUCCUACAAAAUUAACAUGAUAAGGUCAUAUGCGAAAGAUCCUAGCAGACAGGCCCAAUAAAAAAAGUAAGGUGCUGUUUAUGGGCACCUAGCUGCCGGCGCUUAAAAACAUUGUGAAGAGUGUGACGGGAACUUUCGUUGCAAGUAAUCACUGGGUCUCGCGAGAUACAUCAAUGUAGCUGUGUCAGCGCCGGUUCGCUUGCGGACUGCUUUGCAAAGUCAGGAAAUUGCAUUGCUUUUCGGUACACACUGUUGACUGUAAAUCUGCACCUUAGACGAAACCAAUUUUCGAAGGAGACUUGACCAACUUUCCCGCAGUGCCGUACUGUGUCACCGAAAAAACUUUUCAGUCCUGCUCGUCACCGUCAUAUCCCAUCAGGACCAUUAAGUAGCUUAUUGGCUGCAAGCAUAUGUAGAUACCUUUCUCUUGUCGUAACCCACAACAUUUGCACCCGUCAAGUAGACCUAAACACGGGGCGCGGGGUUAGGCACGAGCUAUCAGGCCAUCUCUGCAGUUUUUUAAGGCUGGUAUGAACUAAGAGGUCAUCUCUACCGACUUCUUGCCUGAAGGAGCAGAGGCCUGCCUGCGUACUGCUGGGACGCGGAGGUGACGAUGGGCUCACUGUUCUCAAAGGACAAGAAGCAAAAGAAUGAGGAGCGAAAGGGAAUCGGUUCAGCGCCUUCUAGGUUGGAGGGUCUUGAUGGAACGACGCCCCCUGAUGUCCCUGAGGUCCCGAAGCGAGCGCUUACCCCGGACACGGCGUCGAGGCAGAAGUCCGUCAGCCCCGUUGCAGUAUCCGCUGCAGCUGAUUCACCAUCACCAGCUUCGACAACUUCACCAACCGAGGAGAAGGUAUGUGCUUACUACAACAGUUCGUCAAAGUGCAACGACUUAGAAAGCCCUUGAGCAUAGCUCGGUACUAGCUCUGAACCGUACGUAAGUCCUAAAAUGGUUUAGUAGAAAACCUAACAAGUAGAAUGUGACUUGGCUCUGUGCCUCCAAGCCUGACGGUUGGUCGCAUGCCUCAUGCAGAAGCUGCCUCUGGUAGCCCGCGAGGAGUCGUCACGUGCGCCUGGCCUUGCACCUGGGGCUCGUGGUGUGUCUCAGGCUGAGCCUGAGGAAGCGCCAGAUGAUGCACUUGAGCCCUCGUCAGAGGCAGAGGCUUCAGCCCCUCCUCUAGCAGCUACCGAGUGCCAAACGCCAACCAAGCGAGCUCCUAAGAAAAUAGAUUAUGUGGGCGCACAGUCGGAUGGCACAAAGCUGGCUGCGGACCUGCCAGCGGCCGUGCAAGUGCCUGAGGAGGCUUCGGGGUGGACUGCUGUCCUUGGUGAAAGCACAGUGCGCAGCCUUCAUUCCCCAGACUGGAAAACGCGUGAGCAAGCGCUGCAGGCUGUCAUGCGCAAUCUGGGCAAUGCGCGAUUCAAUGCGGAGCAUGGAGCGGAGGACAUCUGGAUAACUGUAACCCAGCUGCUGGAUAAGGCGCUGAAGUACGUGUGUCGGGAGCCGGGACUGGGGACUGGGGGGACGAGCUUUAGACGGGCCAGGGAACACAACUUCAGAGAAUGAGGUCGCGGCAGCUUGUCGCAACCCUCGGGGGGGAUGAGCUACCGGGAUGUUGGGGUUUCUACGGUUUGUCAGCCGCCGGUAUGCUAUGCAGCUUGCAUGCUUGGGAUCCGCGUGUUCUCCUGUAGCUCGCUGACAUAUGGCGAUCCAGAUGGACCAUGUUCAGGGCAUACUUCUAGGCCCGCGGUCUCCGGAGUUCCAGCUAGUACCUGCUGAAUGCAUCCGACGCCGGUUUCGUCAUCGUCGCGAUUUUCCAUCCACAGCCCGUCCCCAGAUAACCCCUGUUGUAGGCCUAGGCAAAGGAGUUUAUCCAGGGUCGUCUGAAGUGUGGCUCACCCACCCAUUCCGUGUGCCGGCCCGCCCUUAGGGACAAGGUUGCGCCGCUAUACUAUUCGGCUCUGGAGUUGCUCUCGACGUUGGUGUCCAGCUACUCCACCCAGUUACCAUUUAGCGUCCUCUCGCAAGGCCUCGAGCCGCUGAUGCCGACCUUGCUGCAUCGAGUAGGCAACAAUAAUGCUCGUAUCCAGGUAAGCGUGUGCCCUGCCGGUUAGUGCUGAUGUGCAAUGGGAGGCUGAUUGUAUCCUCGUAGCAAACCCCCUUGACGACGGAAACAGCGCCUAUUGGUUGGGAGUUUGCUUAUUGAGUCGUCUGUGUUUUGGGGGUAAAUAUGAUGGCACCGUGAGCGUGCUCAGCGGGCUUAAGGAAUCAUUGCAGACCGUUAUGUCAGGGGGUUAUCCCUGUCGUGAUCAAAGAGUCGGCUGAUUUUUGUGCUCUUAUUUAUUUGGCCGCGGUGUGCGAAACAGGAAACGUCCAUCCAGGCCUUGCUCACUCUCGCCAAUCAGCCCUCGCUGGGGUUGGCGUUCCUGGCCCCCCACGCAUUGAGCGCUAUCCCCAAGAAGUCUCAGAUGGGCGCUGCUGCCGCCUCCCAGAUGGCUGGCCGGCUGGAGCUCAUCACGUGCAUGCUCAAUGUUCAGGUGCGGGUGCGGAGGUACUUUAUGGUAUUGCACCAUUUCAUCCGUUUCGUUGGGUGGCCAUGACCGUGGCUGUGGCCAUGGCUAUGGCGGGGUUUGUGGAUGAGGCGCUUCAUAUCUGCAGUAGCGGAUUCCGGCGGACGGCAUCCUUCCGCGGCCUUUUGCCUGUUAAGCCCUUUCAAAAGAGUACAGCAUUCGGCUUGCCUCUCCAACAUACACUGUGCACGGCUUGCGUUGACUGGUCCCACCGACGAUCCAUGGACGGGAGUACGGCGGACCCUGUGUGGUGGCUCGCGGACUUGUGGGUGCAAACCCUCCACAUCAUUUGUUGAGCAGGCUUGUUGCUGCCCCGUCUCUUGCUUGUCAGCAGGUGCAGCAACAAAUGGGCUUUGGCACGGCGGGGCGCACGGCGGGGGCUGGCGGACGCGGCGUGCCGGAUGCACUGCCAGCCGAGGAGAUUGUGUGUUUUACGCGACCAGCACUGGAUAUGCCGGACGACAAGGUCCGCGCCGCGGCGGUGCGGCUUGUGGCGGAGGUGUACCGCGGCCGCAAGGCGGCAGGACAGGCGUUUGAAGUGGAAAAGAUGCUGGGCGGCGGCGUCAAGCCUGCGUUGCUGCAGGUGCUGCACCGCCGUUUCACGGAAGUGGACGAAGAGAUUGCGGGCGGGGGCGCACGCGCAGCUGGCAACGAGGACGUGCCCGUGGGCCCCGGCAUUACCAUCAAGGCGCCAGGCUCCGGUGGCCGUGCCGCAACGCUGCCGCCGCUGAACGGCCGAUUUGGGGCGUUGCCGGCGCUGGCGGUCAAGGGCAGCCGGCCCGGCGCGGGUGCCCUGGGCGGACCGCCAUUCAGUGCAGGCAAUGCCGGGACUGGGGGCCUGGCGGCUUCAUCCUCGGACCCGCUGGGCCGACCGCCUCGGACGCCGCUAUCACCCGGUAGCGCCGGAGGAUCGCGCGGCGGCCGCACGCCGCCGCGCACAGGCGGGCCUAGAGCGCCGUCGCCCAUGCGCGGAGGCUCGCCCAUGCGGGCGAGCCGCGGCGACCCCAUGGCUCCUGGUGCACUCCUGCCGGGAUCUUUGCCCGACAGCGACGGAGCCGACGUGCUGAUGAUUCAGUCGGGCACGUCCACUCCUGUGCGUGGUAACAGCAGCCAAUCGGUGCGCAACACCAGCAGCCAGUCUAACAGGGGGCACAACUCCCUCAAGCCGCGAAGCCGUGAGAGCUGCACGGGGCGAGGCAACCAAUUGGACGAUGCGGAGGAACAGUUGAUAGAGUACAUCCUCAAUGAUGAGGCGCGGGCAGCAGCAUGAGUAUGGGCCAGUAGUCGACGCUGCGCUCGUGCCGAGGGGGCAUGGCCUGGCGUGGUCGCGGCAGCGAAAUGGCCAAGGGACCGGACGCGUCUUGCGGUUUAGGAGAAGGGGCCGGCAGCAGCUCCCGCCCGCGGAGCACGCGUUGUAUAUUUGGCGGAUCCAGUAGGGUUGACUUCUUGCGUGUGGAGGAGGUGCGUGUGCUGGCAACUGGGGUUAGCCGUCGUAACGCCAUAGCAGGGGCUGUUACGGUCUGUUGAUGAAGGUGGGGAUAUGUGGUAGGGGCAGGCAGGCCAACGGGGAGAGAUGCUAUUAGACGAACUAGGGUCCCCUUGUGAAGACGCGUCGCUGUUGUCCUUGGGCCCACGUGUGCGCGCUUGGGUGCAUGAGACAGCGAGGGGAGGAAGAGGUGCACAGCGGGGUGUACAGGCAAGUGCCGUGUUGGGAAGAGUGGCACUGAUGACCGGAAGCUCCAUGCUGGCGCCCGCCCGCCGGCGCCGGUGAUUUCUGAGCGCACGGUGAUGAGCGGAAACCGCUGCUGCAAAACCGCAGAGGCCGCUUGUGUUUGCCUUGCGGGAUCGUGUACAAAGACUAGGUGCUAGGUGUAAUAUCAAGUGGUAAUGCAGAUAGGUAGGGGGGCGGCUGCGGAGGAACGUAUUGACGACGCGCAUCCCUCUCCCCUGCUCUCUCCCUCUUGCGGGAGGGAGCAGAAGCGGUUGUGCUCGGACCGGCGAGCGGAAGACGGUAGCCAGGCCAGGGGGAAAAUCGGACUGGGCUGGCAAGACUGAGAUGGCAAAGACCCACUGGGUGUGAGCCCAUUUUCGUUGAGUUUCAACUGUUAACCGUCAACCUUUGUCAGCUGUCAACAUAUUGAAUGCCCCAGUCUAAACGAGGUUUUUCGUAAACGCCGUAUGCGCGUGCAUGCAUUCGCGAAUGCAUGCACGUUCGCAUAAUUAGUGCAGUAGCUAUUUAUCAUAAGCUGUAGACGCAUUCGUGCUCGCGCCUCGUAGCAGAGCGAAUUGAUUAGGUUUGACCAGAGCCAUGGCGUCGCAUGACUUUGGGGGGGAGGCGACAGGCGAAGUGCGUGCUCAAGUACUGGACACGGAAUUCUUGGCGAGAGCGUCCCGGGACAGAAGCUACUUAUCACAACAGGGCACUGUGUGAUGUGUCCAGCUGUUACUAGGGCGACACCGCGGUACCCGACCGUGGGGAAGACGUCGGGCUUGGCUAUGACGUUAGUGGUGGUGAGCGAGUGAGCGUUGUCUGGUUGUGUGUGUAUGUGUAGACGUGUAUAUGUGUGUGGAUUGGGAAAUGGGAUUGGGAUGAUGCCAAGCGUCCAGCUCCCAAGAUCUGCCCUGCCGGCUUUGUCCUUCCUGUUCUGUCAUGUCAUGUCGAUGUCAAUGUCCAUAAGUUAUCUCUGGGUCCGCCCCUGUGACCAAUGACGCCGGUUGCACCGUUCACGCGUGUCCGUGUUACUAUACCUAAAUUGCGUAUUGAAAGCGUGGUGAUCUCACACCGAUAGACGGCCCCGCCAGAUUACAUACAGUCAGGUUAAAGUGCGUAUCCUACUAGGUGACAGAGCUGUGUGCUACCACCGCUUCUACAAGCGAAGGAAGCUAUGCGGCGGGCUAGCGGCCACUGUGGCUGUUGGUUGACAGGGGCCCGCAAAAGGAAGCGAGGACAGGACAAGGUAAGCAGGACGCUGGGGCUAUUGUACUGACUAAGAGGUAGGGUGGCAGACAGGAUGAUGAAGCGGAAUACAAUGUCAGGUGGCAUUCAAUGUUAGUCAGUCGUGGCAGGGUAUGCCCCGGCAUAGGAGGGGCUUAGCGCAAUCUGGUUUGCGCCUCCGGGCGGUGGCGGCACGGUUGACGCCUGGUUUCGGAGCGCACCGCUCUGCUGAUGGACUCCAGAAUGUCCUGACGGCUGAGUUUUUUUAUUUUUAUUGACGUUCUGUUCCAUCGGGGCCGCUGGCCAUCCGGAGUUGGUGCUUUCCCUUUUUCGAUGCGGGCUAACUAUUGACCGGUGAGGUUUAAGGCUGCUGACGGAAAACCUUGCCGCAAGCGCGGGUUGGUGCGUUAUGAUGUGUUGCGUGUGUUUGCGCAAAAAGUGUGUGUGUGUAUGUAUAUAAAGUGUGCGUGCAACGGCGAGAGUGCUGUUUGCAUUACGAAGCGUUUCCGUGGGGAAGCGAAGCACUGAGCCUUUUGGUUGUACAAACACCGCCUCUGCCGCAGGGCUCUUUGGGUUUGGCAGUUGCAGGGCUUGCCGGAGAACCUUUUAGGGUCACAGGAGGUGGUUUGAUGUGGCAGCAAAGACUGUGUCGUGUUUUUGUUUUGCGGUGAGCCUGCAAAAGAUUUAAUUGUGGCGGUGGUGGGGUCCGACAUCCGAAGCGAGCGGGAUAAUGGGGACGCCGCUCCUCCCUCACCGCGAGGAGGCUCUGUGACAUAAUUUAUCUGCGGGGUGUGUGGUACCGGUACCGCUUACCGCUAGUAGGGCUUAGACCGCUCAUCAGGGUUGGGAGUACAGUCUUUUUGACAGGCGUAUGCAGAAGUCAAGUAGUAGUAGGCAGAAGAUGCAUCAUUGACAGAAUAACCUGGCGCCGAUUUGCGCUAUGGCGGCGGUAUGGAGAGGAAAAAAACCUUUCUCUUUGUUAUUAAGCAUAAGGCCCGACCGCCAGACGGUUGGGUUCGUCAUUGAACCGGCCUUUCUUACUGAGUUAACUGUGAUCUCUACGCAGCUGCACUGUCUGGGCUUUGGGUUUUGAGCUGAAAUAAGUUUUUCAGGCAUGCGUGGUGUUCGGUCGGAACGGCGGCCCAGCACAGCAGGCUGGCCUCCCUCCCCUUCAUGACCUAACAUCAAGGGUCACGGGACACCACUUGGCCAGCCUCCCGUUAUUUCACCACUGGACAUCGGCCUGAUUCAUAUACUGAUCUUCAGUUCAGGUCUUAUGUAGCCGGCGCCGGCGGCGGUGCGAACCCGCCGUGGGCAGCUGGUAUGGAACGUAAAGCGCUGGCAGUCCAUUUUGUGGGGUCGGUGUCCGCGAGCUUAGCACGCCAUAGAGUGGAUCCUUGUUGCGGCACAACAGCACUGGUUUGGUCUAGGAUACUUAGGUCAUGUUCUCGUCCCGACAACGACAGGCGGUUACCCGACUCUUGAGGGAAGGGCGGCUCGACAUCCUGCCAAAGAGGGCGUUAAGCCGCGACGAGUGAUGCCAACAAACCUGCAUUCAUGGAAAUAAACGCGUUAAUUAAAAAGUACUAAGGUUCUUCUCGGCGAUGGUAAAAACCACGAAAUGCGUUCUUCAGUUGCGCACAGCGAAAAAACUCCAACUACCGGAAAACAGACUUGUAACCAUGUUGCCCAGUUCCCCGUGUGCCCGAAAAAGCGAACUUCAGGAACCAAAUGGAGUCCCCCAGAUUGGCAACAGAUUAAAGUUUUUCGGAUAACCUGUAUGGUGUGGGCUGCUGUAAGGGUUUUCCUUGCCACCGCUCAAACGGCGACAAAAGCUUGCUCAUUGAGUAACGUGUGUCUGACGCAACGAGACCUACUUGCUUGAACUGUCACCCGCGCUCAUGUGCACAUGACGGAGUUUCGGCUGUCGGUUACCUUGUUACCAGUUACGACUUGCUACUGCGCGGGCGCAGAAAGGGUGCCACAUUCCUUUUCAAGUUUUACUUCGUUUUAUACUUGGCUUCAAAAACUUACGUUCGAUGGCUAAGAAAUCCAUACGAGAAUGCAUGGUGCUCUGAAACUCCUGGACGUGCAGCAUUAGGGUGGUUGAAGAUACUGAAGCUCACCCAUUUGCCGUUUUCCACCGUGUUGCAAUGACAUUGACUUCUUGCUAAAAGACCACAUUUUUACACGAGUGGCUGUACGCCGAGGAGGGAACAGCCGUGAGAUGGACCGCCCUGGAAGCCCCAGGGUGCGCCAGCUGGGCUCAAGCACAACGUACCUCCAUUCCAGCUCUCCAGUUUUAUCACCGCGGAAGGCCAGCUUAUCCUUGGGACGCGUUGGCGCUCCGGAAAGGACUGAUGUGCCACCAAGACCCAGUUUAGGUGCGCUUGCUGUUACAAAGUCAAGUUUAAAAAGCAUUAAGGGAUAUACAGAUUAAAAAAUCCUGAGAUGUGCCUUGACCUUCGUCGCGGGUUGACGCCCGCCUUGCGUAGUUCAAGAACACCUAGAACGCUUCAAGGCUUCGCUGCAAGAUCCAGACUUUCCAGCUGGACAUAACGCAAGGAAAAAGGUUACCAAGGCGUAUCCCUCCAGCUCGGUCGACAUUGAGCCCCAGGUAAGCCCCAGAGCGAGCUAGUAAGCCCAUGGCACACGUAUAUGAACUUCAGUGCCUUUCAUAAUGCUCUUCGUGAGUUCUGAAUAUACUUAGCUAUUUCUUGCUCCUAGCUACUUGCCCUUGCUGCGCGGCAACACAACCAGCCGGCGAACCUACUGUACUUACCCGCUUUCGCCUCCUUUUCCAUCCCCUCGUCUUUCGCACCAUUCACUAUCUUCCACGCUCUGUAUGCUACCCUAGUUUUAACAAAUCACUGCGGAGCGCUCCGCCGUCGACACAUGAAUGCCGCUAUGCCAUGGCCAUGCCGUGGCUUGUAGGUAGGGGGUAGGGACUAUGUAAAUAACCAACCACAGGCGCGUUGGCGUCGGUGCACCACGGGCCCCCAACACCUUAUCCCAUCGAUGCCCGUCUGUCACAGCAAACAGCUCGGGGCAACCCUGAACCGCCCUGCCCUUCCCUGUCCCUCUCCUCCUCGACCCGCUCCCCCUCCUAUCCCCUCCCUAUCAUACCCCCACUUUAACAGCUACGUGCCAUGGGCGCUAUCAGUCAGGAGCGCAAGGCGGUGGACAACAGCUCCCCCUUAGGGCCCCGACAGUAUUGGGAGAAUGCUCGGCCCGCACCGGGGGGUCCUCCGCCGGUAUCCGGGGAGUAUUUGGCGGUGAGGGGGGGGAAAGGGCCGGGUGGGGGGGGGAGGGGAGGGGAGAAGCAUGUGGAGAUGAAGGAAGAGGAGGGGCCACCAGCUGUAGAAGGGGGGAAAAGGGAAAGAGAACGCUUUGCCUGCCGACUGUGUAUGAACAUGCCGCCCGAGGGAAAAGGGAAGGGGGGAAAGGGGGGACGGGAGAGGAGAAAAGAGGGAAGCCACUUUGGCGCGCACCUUGCCGCAUCACAAAGGCAGGCGUAUAUGCUUUGAAUAAGUACCCGCGACCCACCGGCCGGCCGCCGGAAUGGGGCUGAAACACACUCGCUCACGUGUGCUGGUGUGUGCGGCCACACAUUCCUCCUCAGAAACUGGAUUGCGGCUUCAACGGACACCGCGGCGGCGGUACCGCUGCCAGGAUCGCCCUAUUGUCACAGCUGGGCCCCAACGGUGGCGCUCACGACGCACGCAGCUGGGGCCGUCGUGUGCCGCCCACUAGUGUGCUAUGGGCGGACAUUGCGGAGCUGCGCGGGGCACGGCGAUUGCGGCAGUACAUUGCGGAGCGCAAACGGGAGGGCGAGUCGCCGCUGGAACGUGAGCGAGGGACCCAUGGGUCGGGACGUCGUGUGAACCGUUGCUCUAUGAGGCAAUGCCGCUCCAGGGCGCUCUCAUUCAUUUCCGGCCGGCCACUGGUAGUGUGCCGUGUGCGGUGCAGUGGAUGACACAGUUGGGUUGGUCUUAAUUUGUUGUUGGGGACGGGAGACCCUAACGAGGGAUCGGCGUUCGUCCCGUGGUAGAGAGAGAGGGAGAGAGAGACAGAGAGAGAGAGAGAGAGACGCUGAACCUAAGCCGUCAUCCUGCCGCCGAUGCCGCCGUACUGACCCGCCGCAGUGCUCACUGAUAUUGCUGACGGCUGGGAGGAACUUCGCCACCGGCAACGCCAACGUCAGCGUAGGUCGCAGCAGAUGUCGGAGGCAUCGCCGCAGCUGCUGCCAGCUGGCGGCAACGUCGUCACCGCCGCCGCCGCUGAGUUGGGUAGUACGGGCAGCGUCGAGUGUCAGCAGCAGAAGACGCAGUCAUCGCCGCAUCCUGUGGUCUACGUGGCGGAGUCGGACUGGCCCACGGCCGCGGCGGCGGUGGCGGCGGCGGCUGCCGCGGCCGCCGCGGGGACUCCGGGGCCGCUAUCGGCAUCUUCGUCAAUGGCGGCGCUUCUGGCACCUCAGCCGUCAACAAUUUCCACCAGCGGCAGCGUCACACGCCUCGUGGACGGCCCCGCCAAGCCAGCGCCGACUUCCGUAGUCCUAGUGCACUUCCCCCGACGGAAGUCCGCUGACGGCGGCUGCUGCGGCGGCGGCGGCGCCGCCGCCGCCAGCGCACCGCCGCCGUCCUCGACGCUACUACCUCCCCGUGCGCCGUUACGGCGCGCCUCCUCUUCCCAGACGCCAGCCACUUCGGAAGUCAAGUCCUCAGUUUCGCUUUCAAUCCCGACGGCUUGCAGGUGCCCAGGCCUCGGCGCUGAGGGCAGCGCCGCCGCCGCCGCCGUCGCCGCGGGCUUUAUCCCUUCCCUGGAGCGUUACCAUACGACUUAUACGCUGCCGAGCCGUGCGCUGACCACUGGUGCCGAUAAGCUAUCACCACGCACCUUGGUAAGUUCAACACGGCUAGUGGAGGUGGUGGAGGUGGUGCAGGGUCCUCGGAUGAGGUCGCAGCAACGAUUAAGUGACAGCAGCGGCGACGUCAACGGCGGCGGCAGCGGCAGCUGGGCGACGGCGACGACACCGCAGCUGCAGCGCCGACGUCACUCGGUUGCCGACCCGUCGAGCUGGGCUGCUAGGACGGGAGCCAACGCCGGCAGCGGCGGCGGCGGCAGCGGUAGUGGUGACAGCGUACGGCUGGCGGCCGAGAUGUCAACGUUGAGUUCUAAAAUGAUUGCGCUGGGACCGGCGUUUCCGGUAGCUGCCUGGGCCAGCUACACGGACGCCGACGCCGACGUGCACGCUGAAAACGCUGACGUGGAUGCAGAGACAGACGCCGGCGCCAGCCAGGCGUCUUCGCCGCGGCUGGGCACGCUGGCGACGGCUGAGCGCGCUGUGCGCCGAGCCCAGCAUUGGAAGCGCCUGGCUGCUAGCCCCGCGGCUGGGACACAGAUUGGACCAGGCGCCUUCUCCCACGUUGCGGCUGUGACGGAAGAGGCGGCGCCUGCAAGAACGCUAGGGCUAGUGCCGGCCCUGGCGACGUCGGCGUCACAAAUUGUGGUGGUUGCAUCGACGCCGGCGGCGUCGCCGCCGCGGGCGCCGCCGCCGCCGCCGCCUGGGCCUCUGCAAACCGAGCGGAUGAAGUCCCGGACGGUAGCACAGCUGGAGAAGUGCUGGUCUUUGAACGGCCGAGCUGCCGCCGCCGCCGCCGCCGCCGCCACGACGGCGGCGGCGGCGACGUCAACGGCGGGAUCGACGUUGUCGAGCUCCCUCCGGCUGCCGCUGCUGGGCUCUUCCUCCUCCGCCUGCUCCUGCCCUAGCGCCGUGUCCACGAUAACGACAUGGAGCGGUGCCUCCUUGACCAACGUGUCGGCGUCGUCGUCCCGCGACGUGCGGGACGCCGCGGCGGGUCAUAAUCAGCCGUACGGUGGCGGCGGCUCUGCCGCUGGCGCCAGCACCAGCACCAGCGGCGGCGCCAUGGACGUCAUACCGGAGAGUCCUAGGGAAGGCGAGGAGGACGAAUCCACAUCCUCCUUGGGUGCCAACUGCGCACAUCCCCAUGUACGCGACUCUCAACCCUACCAGCUCCACCACCAACACCAACAAGAACAACAACGGCGGUUGCACCACCACCACCAGCACGUAGUGUCGGACCCCGGUAUGGACACAACGCCGCCGCCACCGCCGCCGCAGCAGCAGCAGCAGCAACAGCGGCCGGAAAUCCUUCCCGUCUUGCCGCCGCGGCCGCCACCACCCGGGGCGCUGCGCAGCCGCAGCCUGAACACCCUCUCCGUACUCACGCAGUCAGGUGCGGGCCCCGCGGAGGAAUUCCUCGACAAGGACUGUGGCGGCGGCGGCGGCGGCAGCUGCCGUACUCGGAUGCGUACGGGGCCUCUAAGCAACGUCAGGCUCGGGCUGGCAGCCCGGCGGAUGCGCACGCAAGAUCUUCCACCGGCGGCGGCGGGGGCCGCGGCGGCGGCGGCGGUGGUUGCCUCUCCAGAGAGUUCCUCCGCCUCCUUUGCCGCUGGCGCCGGCACCGCCGGUUCUGGUGCCGUACACACCAGAGGCCGACUGUGUCGUGGUUCCCUGCGGCGUCUUCUGAACGACCAGGUGCGUGUGGCUAACAUGGUGUACGGCAGCCCGUACGACGAGUUGGAUGGAGAGCUGGACGAGACAGAUGGCCAUAAUUACGUUGAGCUGCAAGAUGAGCUGCCGCAACAGCAGCGGCAGGGAGGCGAGCGAGGGGAGGUGCUACAGCCUCAGCCGCCUUCACAGCCCCGGGCCGUACCGCACGUGCCGGCGACUCUGGAGCGACAGCAGCAGCAGCAGCUGCUGCCGUACCAGCAUGGCGACGCUCAGGGACACGGCGACGGGCUCCGCUGCAGCCACAGCACAGUGAGCUCCGUUGCAGCCGCCGGCGACGCCGCCAGCGCUCGUACGAGCGCCACGGACCACUGUGCCGACGUGUUAUCGCUCGGCGGCGAGCCGCGCGCGCUGUCGUCAAGCUUCCUUACCGCCACAACGGCGACCAGCAGCACAGGGAGCUCCAGCAUAGCUCCGAGUGAGGAUGACGGGGGAAGUCCAGCACCCAGCGCUGAGCCGAGUGGCUGGGCUCUGGCAGCGGUUCCACCGGCUCCGCCGCUUGCCGUACGCAUCAGUACCGCCAGUAUCGCCGCCAGCAGCAACGGCGAUGGCGUCGUCAUGUCCGCCACGCUGGAAGCGACCGGCCUGGCGGCGCUGACGUCAGCAGACGCAGCGGCGGUGGCGGCGGCGGAGGACGACGAACAGCAACGGAACGUCGAGGCGGCUUUGUUGCGUCAGCAGACGGAUGCGGCGGCGGCGCCGCCGCCGCUGCCGCCGCCGCCGUCACCACUACCGCCGCCGGCCGUGCAGAAUCGUGUUGUCAAGCUGAAAAAGCAUGUUGCUGUCGCCGCCGUCGGCUCCCCUCGCAACAUCGGCCGCCAUCAUCCCGCCGCCGCCUCCCCCCGUGCUCGUUUCCGGGAAUACUCCCUGCCGAAGCGCAGCGGCGGCGGCUUCCUUAUUGUCACGAGCAGCGCGACGGCACGGCCAGCUGCCGGCAAAGCGACCGCCGCCACCGCCGCAUCUGGCAGCGGCGGCGCCGGCGGCACGGCAGUCUCGGCAAGCGCGCACGUCGAGGUUGACGUGGGUUCAUUGGAAACCCAUAAGGGGUCAUGGGUUUAUGAGGCUGCCGCGGGGGGCCCGGGGGCAAAUGUGGUGCCGGGGCGGGCUGUUGGGGCGUCUGACGACGUAACGCCUGUUGGACCGCGUGCCUCUGCUCCGGACGGUACCACUGCUCGUACUGCUGCUCUACCGGAUCAGGUUCGGGGCCCGUUGGCGGUUGUUUCGGUUGGACCUUCCGUUGGGUUGGGUGGCCGUGUGGUGACGAUGGUGUACUGAGCGACGGGGUGAAGGGAGGAGGAGGGGGGAGGAGGAGGAGGAUUGAGAGAAUGAGGAGAUUGGAGGAGGGGAAAAAGGAGAGGCGAUGGGGGGGGUGGGAUGCGAGGAGGGGGAGGGGAGGGAGGGGGACGUCUGUAUGGGUUUUUGUGUAUGAGUGAGUUGAGUGAGCUGGGAAAUGGGCAGGCAUACGCUUGGCUGGUGGCUGUAUUUGCGGCGUCUUUCGUGAAUGUGUACGGCAGGAUAAGUGGGGGUGUGGGGGUGUGGGCGGGUAAUAGUUGGCCGUGUGAGAUUGCAGGUUUUGCAGGUUGUUGGAUAUUGGCCGGGAAGGAAGCGGAGGGGAGCCCCCCUUCCCCUCGACCCCCUUCCCUCCUGUCUCGAAGGGAUACUGGAACCCUGGAAUGGGCUGUAAUAUUGCACGGAUAUGGUGCAGGUGGUAGGUGGCGGCAGUGGCGGCGGUGUGAUGGCUUUUGGAAGAUCUUGCAUUGCACAUGUUUAAUUGACAGGAUGUUUGGACAUCGUUUCGAACACGGUACAUCGAUACUACAAUACAUACAGGUCACGCAUGUGCACGGGCUCUCUCGCUCUUGUUCCUUUCUUUUUCUUUCUUUUUCACGUCAUAAUAUCUUGGGAGGCCAUCUUGGGACCUACAAUUUUUUAUCCUUGUGUCAAGAAUAAUGGAAUUUGUACGUUUUCUCUUCUCCCAGGAUUUUUGCACAUUGUCAUGUAACGCUAUGAGAGCUUUCACAUGGCCACGUCAUACCCGAUGAAUUCACGUUACACAUUACACAUUACACGUUACCUUUUAAACCAAUGUACAGCUCCCCCCUAGGAUUUUGGCCGAACCUGUUCUUGGACUUGGCCAAUUAAUAUACCUGUCGUACCGGCCGUGACGGUCAUCAGUACGACAUGUCAUCACCCACCCACUCGCCCCACAAUGGACUCGCCCCAGACUUUGAAGAGUGUUUUUGCUUCGGCCAUACUAUUGUGGUAGUCGUGUGAUUGAGGGUGCCGGGCAGGAAGGGGGAAGAUGCUGUUGCUCGGGCCCCCUCCCACCUAACCCCCCUCCUCCCCUCCGGGUCGCCGCCUUCAAGAACGCCUUUUGGUCAGUUCUACGUCUGGUACACUCUUGCCCUGGCAGCAGCUUCACUCUUUCGUGGUUCGUCUUUCCCCUCCUUCCCCCCGCCCUUUGGUGCCAUAAGGUCCCCCCCUCCCACACACAUACACACAUACACACACAGACAUACACACACACACAUCUAAUCGGCCAUCUGACCCGACUUGGUCCUUCUCCACUAGACCUGACCACUUUUCUUAACGAAGACGAAAACGAAGACAGUGUCCAAAGGUCAACAUGGCGGCCUAAAGUUCUGAAGGAUGAAGGAAUAUAUCUGUAAGGGACUAAAACAGCGUUUUGGGGGAAUGAAAUUUUAUUCUCUUUUGAAAGGAAAGGAAGAUAUCAACGGCGCAUGAAACGUAUCUUAACCACGAAACACUGCAAUGAUCCACGGAUGCUGGUCCUGGGGGAUUGCCGUUGGGGUAGUUAGCGACUAACCUGGACUAACUGACGACUGGGCGCCGCGCAGGGCCGCUGUCUUUUUGAGCUGUCUUUGGAGUCAACAUCUGGAUGAAGCUCUCUUUCCGGUUGCUGCUCGGCUGCCACUGGGCCCUGCUAGGACUGCAGUAACAGCAGUAUCGCCAACAGCAGCGGUAGCAGCAUCAACAACAGCAGCAGUAGCAGCAUCAGCGUGGGAUUUUUUUCGGCUUUAUAAAAGACCGCCUGUCCUUGGAUAUGUCCUGGAUUCAAAUUCAGAGACAUGUCGAUCUGUAUAAGUCGUACUGGCGACGUAUUUAUUAAGACUGGGAUGUGAAUGCCUAGGCUUUGAAGCUAGGGCGGGUGCGGAAACGUACCCAGGGCCAAAUGGAAAGACGGAGGAGAAGGGAAAAUGGAUUCGGUCUUAUCCCCUGAAGAAAAUACAGGUAGGGACGAAAGGAUCACGUGUGGAAUGCUACAGCGGCGGUGUGAGGUGGCCUCGAAAUGCGAAAUGACAAGAAAGACAAAACAGGCGACGUGAAGUGCCGGGAGGGAAAUGUAUGUGUUCUCCGUGAAGCACAGUCGAGACGAGACAUGAUAAGAUGACAGGUGACGACGCAACCCCGGCGAGGAAGAGCAACUGCCAGGUGUGCGAAGGUGUCAUGUCGCUGUCGAAUUGUGCCGCAACUCAGCGACACAAUUCGACAAAGGCGCAUUCUUACAUCAAAAGCGAUGGUACGCGCAUGCGUCUAAAGCAAUAUUAUGUUAUUUUUUUUCAGUCUGGGAUUUGUAAAGCGUGCGCGCUAUUCAUUUCCCAGGAGAAGCGUUUGGGUUCCGUUUUGACCAGGUGUCAAGUUGCCGUGAUGGGCCCAGCGGCACGUCCUCCAGCCUGUGCUUGCUUACAGGAAAUAAUGCGCCUCAUUAUCCAGUUGAAGACAAGUUUGGAAUUGAAAUAAUAUAAAUAUAUUGAAUCGUGCAUUAGGAGUUGUAAAGCGUAACAUAGCAAUUUUUUUGCGAAGCGAGGCGCCUAAGACUACCUUACUCGUCAUUCAAUCGUUGAUAAAUGCAUCAGACCACGUAUUUCUCAGUCACAUCAAUCUGUGUGACUCUGCUGUGUGACCCGUCGCAUAGUCCACUCGGUGGGAAGUUUACGGGGCGCGACCACAACGACGGCCGCUCCCAACCGUCGCGACGAUAAGCCUUGUGAUAAUAGCAGCUCAAUCUUCUGGCAUGGCGUUUGAUAAAAUUAGCUACCGGAUGCAUGGGCCGUCUUCUUCAUGUUUCGGGGCGCAAACGUGUUCUUGUGACCCAAAACUUGAUCCCAGGUUCAGAAUGUUGAUGCUAAGCCUAUAGCGUCAUACCAAGGGCUUAUGGGUUUCUAAAUGCUAGGCUUUGCAAUGGUUUAGGAUAUUUACAGUGUUGUGGAUCUUGAGGAGGGAAGAACCGAAAGCUUGCUCCUUUUCUGUUCAUGGAAACAAUCGUUGAAGAUGUCAUGCUCACCUUGAACACCUUGGACACCUUCACAUAGAACAUGUUGAGCAGAGCUCAACAUCCUGGGCAUGUUCCGUUAUCGUCAUUCCUUCUGGAGCCAUGCAUAAAUGAUCACGCACAAUCAGUAUGAAAUUCUGCAUUCAGGGUUGUAUGAAUAGGUAUUAGCAUACUGCUUUUUGUAACACAAUCAUUGAAUCAACAAGGUUUUGGGAGCGGGAAACUUACUCUGACUUUUGCGGGCUCUUAACAAAUUGCCGCAUCCUAUCUUUCCAGUGGAAAAACCUAUUUGGUAGGUUUACUUCGAUUACAGGUCUUUCCCGGGGAGUGACGGCGGCGGGACAGUUCGGGCCAUGAAAUGGCAGACGCUUUCUUCUCCCCAAACCGGAUGGUGGCAUUAAGGUUGGUUUCACGAUGCCCAAGAUAAAGCAGCGUAAGUCUACGGCUGCGGUCCAGGGCCUCGCCUCAGCGUCAAAGGUUCCGACGCACGAUGCCGCCAAUCCGGAGCCAACCCCACCAGUCAAGCCACGCAGCCGCCAUAAAGGCGACGCUGAAGAACACCAACGCCGUCACAAGCGCCAGCGUAUCGGCAGCGAUCCAGGACCAGGACUCCCUCAAGCCGCCCCUUCCCCCCAGUCUAUUCCCCACCAUCAUCAUCAGCGCCCAGCCGUCCAAAGCGCCCUCAAAAAGCUCCCCCGACAGGACCACCCAGCUUCCACAGCAGCUACUAACGGUGGUGGUGGUAACCGCGAACUAUUCCAUCUGGGUCCUGGGCCCGCUGCCCACCACACAGGACCGCCGGCUGCGCGGCCGCCCACCGUGAAGCAUGUCCACUUCGCAGACAAGGUCCAUGUCCAAGGUGGUGGUGGUGGUGAAGAUGGACAUGGCGGUGCAGCGAAGGGCGACGGAGGGAACAGUUUCCUUGCGUCCCUGCUAGCGGAUGCCGCAACGGCACAGCGGCGACAGACAUCUGGGUCAGGUAGAGGCGCCGCCACUACCACCACGACCGCUGCUGCUGCUGCUGCUGGUGCCAGCAAAGCUGGUGGUAAUGGUUCUAAGAAGGCGACCAGCCGGACGCCGGGGCUGUCGACAUCGUCAUCUGUGCCUCAUCGGCGCUCAUUAGUUGAGGCGGUGGCAGUGAAUGACAGAGGUGAUGGGCAUGGAGGCGGACGGGGGGCGUGGCUGAAGGAGGCGGACGGAGGGAGGGGGAAGGAGGUAGGAGGGCGCAGCAGCAUAAUCAACAGGGCCAUAUACCUCGAGGACACAGCGAGUAGCAGCGACGGGCUGGAGAGCAUGUCGGACAUGACAACGGGUAGUAGCAGCGGUGACGGUGAUAGGAGCAGCGGUGACGGCGGUGGCGGUGGCGGCAGGGGGCCCAGUGACAGUAGCAGUAGCAGUGGGGACAGGGAUGUCAGCAGUAGCGGUAGUGGGACUAGCAGCAGUAGCCGCGGAGGCAGCGAUAGCGACAAAAGCAGCAGUGACCGCAGCAGCCGCAGUAGCAGUGACGGCGGUAGCAGUAGCAGCGAUAGCAGCAGCGACGACCGCGAUCCGUCCCUUGACGCCGCCGCCGAUUGGAAGGAACCCGUCAAGGCCCAACAUAGUAGUGAGACCAGUACUAGCAGCAGCACUGAGGGCACUGAGGGCAGCGGCAAGAGCAGCGAAAGUAGUGAUGGUGCCAUCCAGAGCAGUGAAAGUGAUGAGGAUAGCGACGAUGACGAUAGCAAUGAUGACGAUGAUGACGAUGACGACGACGAUAAAGACAGCGUUGGGAGUGGUAGAGGCGGUAGUGGCGACGACGGCAACGUUGAAACCGACACCCCCACCGCCAGUGACGUUGCCAGAGGCGAGGAAGAGGAAGAGGAAGACGAGAAGGGAGAGGUGGACGGCGGCGGCGGUGGCGGCGGCGGUGGCAACAACUUGUUCAGCAGCGGCACCACGGGCUCCAACGACAAGAAGAAGAAGAACGAAGGGCGGACAGGAAGUCGAGGCGGUGGUGGUGGCAGCGGCGGCGUUGUCGGUGGGGUCGACUUGGCGGACCUGCUUCGCAGGGUUACUGGCGACGCGGAAGGAGGAGCCGCCGGCAGCGGAGGCGACGGCGACGGGAAGGCGAAGUACGACCGCGCUGACCGGCGGAAGGGAGAUCUGCACGGAGGAGAGAGGCAUCUGGACGGCAAGAGAGUGUCUGAAGCCGCUAUGGCUGCCGUUGCGGAACAAGAUGAUGACGACGACGACGACGGUGACGACUCCGUCGAAUCUGAUGACGAUGGUGAGGAUGCGGAUGCGGAUGUGGGGCCGGACCUCGACGAUGAUCGUGAUCAGCGUGGUGCGGACAAUCCGUACGACGCCGACGAUGAAGACGGCCGUCUCGGCGGCGGCGGCGGCGGCGGCGGCAACACUGCUGCGGAGCUCGCAGCCGAUACCGCAGCCGCGGCGCGCGCUGCCGCCGCCGCCGUGGGGAGCCGUGGACGCCGCGGCGGCGGUACUGGCACGGGCGGCGGGGCCCGCGGCGGUCGGCGCAAGCUGUUUAGCAGGAGGAAACGUUGGCCGAGUCUUUACCACAAGUUCCUGGCCCGAUCUUGUCGUCAACUUGGGCUCCCCGCUGACGGGCAGCGCCCCAUCAGGAUGUUCUUACGGCCUGGGGAGCAGCAACUGCCCUUUGCAGAGGUCAACCGGUGGAGAGCCGGGGAGUUGUGGGAUGCCAGGUAAUGAGGGGGGCCUGGAGGGGUGGGGUGGGGUGGGUGGGUGAUGGGGGGAUAUGCCAUCAGGAGGGGUGAGGGGGUUUUGAGGUGGAGGGGGGCGCGGGGGGGGAAAGAGGAGGGGGUUCUGAUCUACAGCAGCAGCAGCCGCAGCAGCCGGAGGUGGGGAUCGAUCCCUCGUGCUGCUGUGGCAGCGGUGGUGGUGACGGUGGUGGCUGCUGUUACUACGGCGGUGGCGGUGGCCUUGACGCCGUUGUUGAUCAGUCGUACUGCACGGCAGGCGUCGCAAUCGCUUAGCCAUGCCGCUCAAUCCUGGCGUACUGUAUGCUGCUGCUGUUGCUGUCGUUGUCGUUGUUGCUGCUCAGGCUUGCGGCGACAAGCUACCUGGCCGCCUUGGAGGACGAGCAAAUAAGGUACGAACAGUUCAUAUUCGACAGUCCAUUCUAUCUAUUGAGUGUGAGGACAGCUGGUUACGACGUCUUUAUCUGCGACUGGCUCUCCCCCCCCUCUGCCCUACCCCUACCCCUACCCCGGGGUAUACCUCCCUGCCCCUCCCUUCUCGGCUCUCCCGCGCCCUCUCACACACAUACAUACAUACGUACGUACGCAUACUGCUGUUUUCGCUGUUUCGUGCAUACAGACACGCGCGGCUAGUGAAGAAGCGGCGGCCCAACCCCCUCGCCACCUGGAUAGAUCUGGACGAUGACCUGGACACGGAGAUUAGGUUGAGCAGAGCACUCACAGCAGGCGCGCCGCUGCCGCCACCGCCGCUGCCAGCGGUGGCGGCGACCGCCGGCACCGCCUUAAGCGCAGCGGCGGCGACGGCUGCGCUGCCGCCAGGCCGUACGGCACAACUUAACGGCGACGGUGAUCUCUGGCGCAGUGCAGCAGAUCCCGUUGGAGCCGUCACGGCCGGGGGCUGGUGCUGGCCGUACGGCAGUACGGCAAUGCGGCUUAGAAACUCCUCACAGCCAAGAGAUGUCGAUGGGUGUGUGGAAGCGAGUUUGCAGUACGGCUUCUGCAUCCGACGACACGUCAGAUCCAGGUCCAGGUCCAGGGAGGGAGUCCAGGGAGGGGGUGGGGAGGGGGACGGAUUGGUGUCCGCGGAGGCUGCUCGGGCUCGGGCUGUGAGGCUGUACCGCAGCGGGCGUAGCAGCAGCGGCAGUAGCAGUAGCAGCGACGGUAUUAUCAGCAGUAGCAGUAGCAGCAGCAGUAGUGACGGCGUCGCCGUGGAGGAGGAACAUGCGGAGGCCGAGGGUGACGAGGGAGGGGGAACAGCCUGGCGAUUUCCUUGGACGCCCCCUGUGGUGGGGAGCCUGGGUGGGCAGCAGCAGCAGCAGCAACAACAGCAGGAGGAGGAGGGCCGGCCGCCGGUGAGAGUACGGAAGGUGGACGAGCUACUGGCGGCUCCGGAUCCGGAAUGCGACGACGGCGUGGAUCCAGCCGAUGAUAUUCGGUUGGAGCCCGCCAUGACGGCAUUCUUUGACGAGUACUUGUGAGUGUAUUAGACAUACAUACAUACAUACAUACAUACAUACAUACAUACAUACAUACAUACAUACAUACGUACAUACAUACAUACAUCGAUGGGGUUUUGUAAUGAAAACAUACCAGGUUGUAUGUGUGUAUGUGUGAGCGAGCGAGCGUGCUUAUGCCGUACGCCGCAAAGGAGAGCGAACGGAGCAGUGGAAGGUCGUUCUGUUGUGUUCCUGGCGGUUAGGGCCCAGACAUCGGCAAACGCUUCGGGAGUUUCGGGUCGUACACCCAAACUCCCGAAACCAGAAAUAGAGUUCCCGAAGCUGGCCGGCUUGCAGAAAUAGGAUCAUAUGCCGUACACGAAAGGUGUUAUGCGGCCUGACGAGGCGCUCGACGACCUAUUGACCUUCCGCGGUCAAUGAUGAGAACAGGUCGCGGGCCAUUGUACUGGAAGACAGAAAUAGACCCAUUCCCCAAAAAAACAGAAAUACCCCAUUUUUGCCGAUGAUGUCUGUUAGGGCCGUCGAGUCAGUAGGUCAGCGGAAAACACCGUUGCGGUGGAAGGAAGAGGGAGGGGGGAGGAAGGAAGGGUAACCUGGGGGGCCUUAUGGAAGGGCAUUUCGUAACGCUUGCCCUGGCCCCCACGCGAGGCGAGGCGAGGCGGGUUGGGAUAACCCGCCCGCGUGUUUGUUUGUCUGUCUGCCUGUCUAUCUGUACGCGUAUGUAUGUUUUUAUGUGCUAUAAAAUGUUUGUAUUUGAUGGAAAUGGAAAAUAUUAGGAACAGGCCCGAACGAGACUCAUCCUAGCUGUGAGACAUCGCUCUUCAACCCUCCCCCCCGCUCUGCUGUUCUUCGUGCUGCUACUGCUACUGCUCUAGCAGCUGCUGCUGCUGAAACUCCCGGUGCCCCUUUUGCCCCCUCCCUCACACAUGUGCGGCAGCUGGGAGCAUGUCCGUACUGUACGGAAGCAGUACGAUUACAUCGUACGCGACGGGCCUGGACCAUCCGACCCUACACGUGCUGGUGGCGCCCAGAUGGGUGCGCCGCAGCAGCUGACGCGGCGGCAGCAGCGGUUGUUCGCACAUCGGGAGGUAGGGAGGUAGACGGGGCCUGUACGAGAGGGGGAGGCGUUGCGAGGGGGCCGCGUUCUCUGAUUUCUUCAUCAGCGACACCGAGGGGGGGUGUCACCGAGGGCGGAAGAGGAAGACGAAAGGGACGCAGCGGGAAAAGAGGUGGUGAGGUGGAAAAGGGGGGCAGGAAAGAGGUCCAGUGUACCUAUAUGGAGAGGGUUGAAGUGGAGGCUGCGCUUCCCCGCUUGCUCCCCACCUUCCGCUAGCUAGCUAGCGCUGUGGUUGGGUAGUUGGUUAGUUAGGGCUACUCAACAAUUUCGUUUUUCUUAACUUCCCCUCCCGUAUUUCCCCCCUUCCGCAUGUGCGGGAGUGUCUUCCCCUUUCUUUCCAAUUCAUCGGGUUGUGUGUAGCGAGGGGGGGGGCUGUAGGGCUUUUUAGAUCUGCUGCUGCGUUUCUGCGGUUAGUUCAGGUCUGAUAGAUUGUUUUCUCUUCUGUCUUUCCUUCUGUCUUUCCUUCCGGCUCCCUCCAACCUCCCCUCCUCUUCCCCCCCCCCCCUCCCGACGGCUUCACCUUCGCAGUACACGCUCCGUUGCGCACACCCCGGCUGCGGCGCCCUGAAGCUCAUCCACCUGCCGGCCACCGUCCCCCGACACCUAACUCCCGAACAGCUGGCCGCCUCGGGGCUGAGGGUGUGGGUGGUGCGACCCACGGGUCGGCGAGGCGGGGAACACACCCAUGCGGCACCCGGUGGUGGCGGGGUGCUGUGGCAGUCCGGGAGGCCGCUGUGUGAGCUGCAUCGACUGGUACCCCCCGGGAUACCAGGUGAGGGUGAUAUGCGUGUACGUACGUAUGUAUGUAUGAUGUGUGAAACAGGGGGGUGUAUCUUCGCCCGUGGCAGCUACCCUGCGAAACCCUGCCUUCCCCGGUAUUUCGGGCCACCCUCAUCUAGUCACCCUAGUCAACUUCUCAGUGGAUCGCUCAGGUUCCGCACCCACCACCAGCAUCCAACGGAAUCUGCCGGGUCGACAGCGGCCCAACUCCAUUCCUGGUCAGCUCGCAAGCCAUCUUUAUCCCAGGUCACCAUCGUCCAUCGAGUAGGGGCACUUUACCUUCCAUCAUCGGAAGGAUUUUCGACCUUGACAGGUCUCGAUCCCGGGAUCUCCCGGGGGCAAUGGUGCGUGCUCUACCAGUAGUGCCUGACCUGUGGCUGAAGUAUGUAUGUAUGUAUGUAUGUAUUCCCAAACCGUGCACUGUCAUUCCCAUCCCCACCGCCACUGUACAUCGCAGAUGACGUACCGCUGGCGGCGUCACUCCCAUUGCCGCUACCGGCCCUGAAAUGCCCGGAAUUGGGAGCCCCGCCACAGCAGCAGGAGCAGUUCGCGAGCGCAGCUGGCGGCGGCGGCGGCGGCGGUGGGGACCCCUCAGCGACAGCGGCAGCGGCGGGGACGUCGUCGUGUCUGCUGCCACCCAGUCAGCGGGCGGCGGCGGCUAUGUGGCUGUUGGAGCCUCCCCCCCCGCCCGUGUGGACAUGCAGGGGGCUGGUGUGGAGGAGGGCUCGGCAGCGGGGGGGAAGGUGCGUGCGUGUACGAAUGUGCGUGUCUCUGUUUGUGUUCGUCUGGGGGCCCGGGGGCAAAUGCUGCUGCUACUGCUGACGUUUCCUAUGCUUUCGUUCACAUACGUCCAUGUCAUAUUAACAACACAACAGCACGAAGACGUAAUGCCCAAAUGCCCACGCUUUGACGAUAUCCGAAGUACACACACAUGCAUACACACUCUCAGACAACAGAUAACACCGUCCGUGCUGGCCCCCGUCCCUUCUCCCCCGCGACCCCAAAAUCCUCCAUGUAUUUGUGAACCUCUCAGAGCGGAAUUCAGAACUCCACUCCUUCAUCCCCUCCCCCCCCUUCUAGUAACCCCCCUUCCCCCUCCCCUCCUCCCCCCCCCACCCCAACCCCCAACCAGCUGUUGUCUCGUCCGCUGUGGAGCCACCAACCCCGCGGCCAGUGGGGGCCGAGGCGGGACGGACGGGGCGGCGGCGGCGACGUCAAACCCCCACCCCGCAGCUUUCAGACGGAACGGUCCUCAUCCCGCCUCCCCACCCUCCUCCUCCUCACCACCCUCCUCCUCUUCACCGUCCUCCUCCUCGUCACCGUCCUCCUCCUCCUCACCGUCCUCCUCCUCUUCACCGUCCUCCUCCUCCUCCUCCUCACCAUCUUCUUCCUCACCAUCUUCUUCCUCCUCACCACCCUCCUCCUCACCCGCCGCCUCCCCUUCAGCCUCCCCUUCCUCAGCAGCAGACACAGCCGCAGUCUCAGCACUCCGCGGCCACCCCCCCUCCUCCUCCUCCUCCUCCUCCUCGUCGUGGUGCGCGGCCUGCGGCGCCCGACGGCCCGACGGCCCCCGGGGCUGGCUGCGGCAGCUCGUGGAGGCGGCUCUGGACAGCCUGGGCCCGAGCAGCGCCACACUGCGACAGGUGGUUGGGUGGGGGGGCGAGGGGAGGGGAGGGCGAGGGGAGAAAGGCGAAGGAGGCAGAAGAGGGACCCAAUGUGCAAAUUUGCAGUGCAAACAGCAAGUGCGACUGUAUGUGCGUAUGUGUUGUGUUUAUGAAAAGUGCUAUCAGCUACGUUUUUGGUCUUGUUUUGGUUCAUGGCGACGGCGGCGGUUUACCGCACCGCCCUGAGCCGCUUGCUUGCUUUGACCGCGGACGGACCGCGUGGAGGCUGGUGAGGUCGGUUACGAGCUGUGCACGUCGUAGGGCUGGAGUGUGAGGAGGAGAAGGAGGAGGGGGAGGAGGGGGAGGGAAAGCUCCUCAGCGGGUAUCAAGUCCACACGUGUCGAUACGCUAUGUUCACAGUGUUCGUCAUCAGCCUCGCCGCGCGAUCUGUUUUCGCGUUGUGCGGGUGGUGGUGGUGAUAUUCGUCGUAUCCUUUAAUUACUGCUUUAUUGCUUUCCGUAGGUGUACGACAGCGUGCUCAAGGCGACAAGGCCGACGGGUGCUGCCGCUGCCCGUGCUGGCGGUCGUGCUACUGCCGCUGCUGCUGCUGCUGCUGCUACCUCCCCCCCGGUGUUCAGUCGUCGGGAAGUGGCCGCCGACGCGUACGUGGUGCUAAUGCAACGAGCCGCCCGGGCCUUACUGGAGACCCACCUGCCGCCGCUGCCGUACCAGCCGCCGCCGCCGCCGUCGGCGGCGAGCUGCACGGCGGCGGUGGCGGAAGCCACCGGUGACCCGGCCGCCGCGCCGUCGGCGUCAGGUCCGCUGAUGGCGGCAGUGAUUAGCUCUGGAGCCUGGGCCUGGCCGGGACUGAAUAUGCUGAAGCUUUACGGUGGGGGCGGCGGCGCCGCCGCCGCCGUCGCUGGCGGCGGCGGCGGUGACGGCGGCAGCUUCAUCCGCAGGCUUCCGAAGAAGAUAAUGUUCGCAGGGAGAUGCUUGCUUCCGCCGCCGGACGCGGCGGCGAUGGUGAUGGCGGAGGGCGAGUACCGGAAUCUGCAGCGGGCGGCGGGUGUCUGGGGGGUGGCUGGCGGCAGUGGCGGCGGUGGCGGCGGCAACGGGCCGCGAGUUUGGGAUGUCGAGCAGCUCGGCGACUGGCACAUGCCGCUAGCCUUUCGGCACCUGCAGCGCGCGGCGGCGGCGGUCGCAAGCGCCCACCUAGCGGUUCCCGCCGAUCCGCCGGAGUUGGCGGCGGCGGCGCCGCCGGGCGAUCCCGUCGCGGCCAUUGCGGUGGCGGCGGCGGCAAAGCAGGCUUCGGCGCCGCCGUCGCGGGCGGCGGCGGCGGCGGCGGCGGUCAGCCACAUGCUUAUGGGCUUGAUGGGCAGCCUGGAGUGGCCGAUUGAUCUGAGGGACCCACAGGUUUGCGGUAUCCAUGUCAAUUAUGUGUGUGUGGGGGGUGUAUGUGUUACACCUUGAAUCGUAAGUAAUAUAAUCCCCCUGGGUUCCCCCGCACUUCUGCAUAGGUGUGUAUGUGUGUGUGUAUACGCGUCGGUAUGUAGGAGGCAUUCUACGGAUGUAAAAUCUGUAUGUAUAUCUGUACUGGGUGUGUGUGCGCAGUGUUUUGUCACCCCCCCCCCCCCAAGGACGUGUGAGGGGGCUCUCCACGGAUCCCCCCGCGAUGCCAUCAUCCUGGACUGGAAGGCCCCACUUCACAAAGGACCCCUUCUCCCUCCCUCUCCCCCCCUCUCCCCCCCUCUCCCCUCUCACACAACCUCCACCCGUCCCCUUCAUGUACACAUGCCCACACAUGUGCACUUACCCGCGCGCACAGGCACCCAAGCAUCCUGGUACGGCAGCGUUGCUGGGCGAUCCGUACGCCAGGCCCGCUGGCGGCGGCUGUCAGCAGGACAACGCACCCUCCGCUGCCGUACACGUCCCUGCACAUGGGGCCCUCGGCGUCCAGGGACCAGUCCCCCCCCCUGCCGCCACCCGCCGGGUGGUCUUUGGAGAUGGCGACCUUUACAUAGAAGGGGAUGCCGGUGGUGGUGGUGGUGGCGGUGGUGGUGGCGGCCAGCUGCCGCCUUCCGGCUCCGGUCCUGGAAGUGGAAGUGGAACUGGCGCGGGCGCGGGCGCGGGUGCUCAAGCCGUAGCUGCCGCAACAGCAGCAGCAGCAGCAGUCCCCCGGCCUGAAUCUGAAUCCGGAUCUCGGGGCGCUAAGGAGGUGAUCCAGAUCCUGCAUGGGGAGCUGCAGCGGAGUUGUCCAGCGGUGGGUGUGGGUGUGGGUGUGGGUGUGCAGUAGGGUGGAACCGGAGGGCGGGUGAGCGCGAGGAGGGCGGGGAGGUGACGCCGCGGCGGCCUCCUUACUUGGUGCUUGAGGAGGUCAACAAGCGAAGCAGCCCCGGGGUUGUAAGCACACGGCCUCCGGAGCCGCGGAAUGAUUUCUUACUGCAAUACAACAAACGAAAAUCCGCACCUAAAGUAGGAGUAGGAGUUACUAUGAGCUAAUAGGCUUCUGUUUGGGAGUGAUUUGCAGUCCUUGUUUUGUCCUGCUGGUUUGGUGUUAAGGUUGUUGCUGGUAUCGCUACUGCCGCUGCUACUGGUACUGCUGUUAAUGCUGUUACGGAGUGAUGCCAUUAAUUAUGGUGGUGGUGGCGCAGAUCGCCGCACUGGUAGCGCCCCUGGGGGCCAGUAGGGCGGCUGCGGACACUGCUGCUACUGCUGGUGGUAGUGGUGGCGGUGCCGCUGCUACUGCUGCUGGAGGGAAGGAGGGGGGCUCCCUGGCGUGGGACGGUCCAGCGGGGCUUCGUCCCACCUUGGAGCUGUGCGGCCCUGCCGUACGCCUGCACGACACAGAUGCGGACGGUGUCCAGGUACGGACAUCAGCUCCUUUGUAGUAGUAGUCCCCGGUCUAAGUCGCGGCCAACUGCCAACCCCGAUGGGACCGUGCGAUCCGGGCCCCAGGGCUUGGCUGUAUGACCGCUGUGUCGCUUCAUGUCUGAAUGCGUGUCGCGACUGGAAAACACAAAUCCCGUACUUUCCCCACCGCUCUCACCCCCGCGUCCCCCCGCGGGGAGUUCUCUUGACUUUUUCCUUCCCCUUGUACGCACCCCGCCGGACCCAGGACCACCCGAUUUGCAUGCCGUACAUGGUUUCGGAGCUUGGUAAACGGCGGCGGCUUAGCCCGCACGUCGUGCUUCCCGUGAAGAGCCUGCUUGAGGAGCGGCUUCAGGCUGCUCCGCCGCCGCCGGUCGCCGGCGUGGGAGUCGGUGUUGGUGCGGGCGACAAGGUGUACAAUUUAGGCAGUCGGGAAUGGUUUCUGCAUUGCUUACGUCAGCAGCUACACCCGGAGUGUGAGAUCUUCGGCGGACCCGUGGGUCAGUCGGCCGGCCUGCAGCUGCACGCCACGGGUCGCCUGCACUGGCUGCCUGCAGCCGCGCAGCAGCAGGUCGUGGCGGAGGCCGCGGCGGCGGCGGCGGCGGCGCUGCAGACCCAGAGCAGCACAGAGGAUCUGGCAUCCGCGCUGCAUGACGCCGUACGCUCCGCGCUUCACCGCCGACGCAACGCCUCGGCGGUACAUGCCCCUGCAGGCGGCAGCGGGGAGGGUAGCGCGGGGAUUUCUCCUGUCGGCGCUGGUGCUUUGGACGCCGCCGCCGCAGCGCAGCUGGACCUGCUGUCCCCCACUUUAAUCGUCCGACCGGCAGACCCAAGAAUCGCUGCCGCGGCGGUGGCGGCAGGCACCGGCCUCGGCACCGCUGCCGCCGCCGCAGCGUUGGCCGCGCCGGCGAUGCCAGCGGCGGCCGCCAUGUACGGCGCCGCGAUCCCGCUGAGCCGUGCCGCCGCUGCUCUACCUGCCCUCCGGCCCGCAUUCCAUCAUCGACCCUUGCCGCGAAGCACGAUAAGCCAAGUAGUUCAAUUCAGCAUCGCCGCGGAGUCGCGGCGGCUUGCGGCCGCCGCCGCCGCCACCACCGCUGCUCCACGUACGGCAUCAAACCACCAGCGGCAGCAGCAGCAGCGACAUCCGGAAUGGGUGCUACCCGGUGUGCCCAUGGGCGACCCCUGGGAUAUCGCCGGGGUCGCAGCGGCACAAGGCUUCCUGGGCUUCAGCGGCGCUGGCGGAGCCGCCGCUGCUAGCCACGGCUCCUCCCCCGCCGCCGCCGCCGAUGACGGGCGCAGCGGCGGCAUUCUCACGCGGCGUAUGCUGCGGGCUGCGACGCGCGCGUCGUCGGCAGCAGCAGCGCCUGCUACCGUUUCCGGCAGGAGGAAUAGAGCAGCCGCAGCCGGCGGUAGGAUGGGGGCCUACGCGUGGCGACUGUGGGUAUCGGAAGGUUUGGGGCCAAUCUUCGGAGGCGGCGGCGGCGCUGCUGCCACCAGGAAUCGGUCGGAACCCUCUGACAGGGAGGGGAGGAGCAGCAAAAAGAGGAAAUCGUCCGGUCACAGUGACAACGAUGGGGACGGGGAGGUGGGAGUGGUGGCAGCGGCAGGGACGGGGGCAGCGGCAGCAGCUCUGACGACUGACGGCGACGGCAGCAGGACAGCAGCAGAGGUUUCCUUGCCGCCGCGGGUGGCGAUGCUGAUGGAGACGGCACGCAAGUCGGCGAUUCGGGAGGAUGUCGUGGCUCGUGCAGCGGCGCGGUUCGCUGCGUUGAUGCGCGGCGGGGCUGCAGCGGCGGCGGCGGCCGCGGCGAAGUCGAAUGGAGUUCAGGGUCAGGGGGCCAGCGGCGCGGUUAGCAAGGACUGGCGCCAUUCUGCCGCCACCGGGGGUGGCGGUGCGUAUGGCUGAUCGGAGAGGUGGUGGUGUCCAAGUGCGAAGUGAGAGAGCGAGAGAGAGGGUGCAGCAGCAGCGGCAGCACACCGAGAUGUCGUGUUGGGGAGGUACCGGUACCCCGCGGAGUCCAGGGAGCAAGGGAGAUGUCUGUGGCUUAGGCUGUUGUGUCUUAGGGUUAGGGGAUAGAAAGGGCGCUUUGCACGGGUUGGGUUUCAUACAGCGUGAGGGAAUUAAGCCUUCCCCCUGCCUUAAAAGAGCAAUGGUGUGAUUGCUUGUGAAGGUUGGGAGAUGAAAGGAGGGAGUUGGGUUUCCCGUGCGGAUAGAUGUUGCUAGAGGGUGCGCAUGUAAUAGGGAUCUUAUUAAUAGGCGUAGGCAGGUGGGCUGAUGUUUGGCAGGUUGGACAAAUACUUGAGGAUUCUACAUCUGUUUUGGAAAGUGGGGUAUGGGGACCACGGAGCUUGAAAAUACGAUUGGCAUCCGUUACGGCGUUGGUUGCUCAACUCAUGGUUUGAAGUGCAGUUAUCAUGCCACGCCUUACGUCGAGUCGGGAUUUGUAAUCGAGUGAGAAUGAUAACGAUGCUGAUGGCGAAAUUGACGUUGAUGCACACAAAGAUAACUAUACACGCUGGCAUCGUAGCUCGUAAUCACUCAAUGUGGAGGUAUUAACAAAGCCAAUACAACGUUCAUUAAGGGGAACGGGUAUAACCAUAUACCCUUCACACAUGUAAAAAGUAUGUGUAUGUGUUCCUUCACCCCCUCCGGUGCAGAGGAAGAUCUCCACUACUUAAUUUGCAUUUUGAAUGUGUCAUCAUCGCAAAAACCGCCCUUACCCCUCCGCAUGUGCUUCACGGAAUACAAUUAUGCUCUCCUCAGACCGGGGUUUGAAUACUCCAUCUUUUCCCGUAUCAUCUUCUCCGAAAACAACACAAAGACCGUAUCUGCUUGAAUUUUAACAAAGCGCGCUAAAUUGCAAUGAAGCAUUUGUUCAAGCCUACUUCGCUGGACUUGCAAAAACGUCCUCGCCACUUCUCUCCCUUUGCCCUGUACCGUACCAUCGCGCUGUACCAAAAACGGGUCUCAGCUCUUCCUUGCGGGGAUUAUUGAGACACCAAAGACAAAAUUGCAAACCUGCCAAAGGCAGCAGCGCAAACCGGGCUUUGUGAAAAGAAGACAAGCCCUCCCUUCUCCGGCUAACAUUCUUACAGCUCGGCGAACAGGCGGUUGGUACUCUUAUCACCAUCGCCAUCCCCGGUGGGUAUGAGCGCACGGAGAUGACUCUUGCUCUCGACCACUACCACGACGACAGCAAUGCCGGGUCAACAACAACAACAACAACAACAACAACAUCAAAAAACUGAAACCAAACACGUCCAAUAAAAACGGGAUGGGCGGACGCCGUCCGACAGACUUAGGGCACGAUCACAUCCGAACACAGCAGGGCUGCCGCGACGCCAUGCCAUGCUUUCACAAGCCCGAUGCAGCCCGACGAGGAUGUGCAGAGCGCCCCGUACAUCCGACCACCCAACCGGUUUUGCAUCAGUGAGCGUUUCGCACCGCUGUCACUUUUCAAGGCAAAACUGUCGCACUUCCGAAGGCAGAUGCAAGUAGUCAAAAGAGUCCUUAAAACGUGUCCACACGGAAAGAGAAAGCACGCAAGUCCAGGUAAGCAAACCCGCUGUGUGCUCACGCACAUUCCUCACAGCUGGGGCAAAAACCUCUCAAAAGUUUUGCUCGGCAGAGUGUAGCCAAGCCCACGCGUGGCUGCGUGGCAGCAAUGCUCAGCCGACCUAUAGCAGCCGCUCGAAAGACCCUUACGGGCUGAUCUCAGCGCUCCGCGGCAAACAGACCAGCGGACGCAAGCAUUCGCCCUUCUUCGCCCCAUAACACCCCCACUGACCUACCCCCUUCAGUGCGCACUUCAGUGACACGUCGUAACACCCCCACCCCACCCCACCCCACACACACGUCGGCCUCCUGGGUGCAGCACAGCGGGACUAAAGCCACAACGGUCCUUUGGGCAGCACUUCGCGGCACUUGCGACAAGUGCCACACUACCUUCAUUCCUCUCAACCCUCCACCGCAGACAGAGAACAAACAAAACAGACGAGGCGCGCCGCGGCCGCGCCCACUUUCUGCGCCAUUGUGGCCCCAAAGUACCGCAACACCGUCUGAAUGGCCGGCCCCGAGAGCCCCGAACGCAACCACCGCACCUUUCACCAUCAUCAUCAUCAUCAUCACCAUUCGCCUUAAAGCCGCCAACUUAACGUCGGAGCAUCAAAGGAUGACAACAACAAGAACAACAAACUGGCUUCUCGUCUGCCGCGUCCCAAACGAAGCCACGCCAGUCCUUCUGGCCAGGCAUCACACAACGCGAGCGGGUGGCAGGAGCUGUGACCCCGCUGGGACAACAACCCUUCACCGCAUCCCCCUAGGUGGAGUGGACAUACCUACUGAGGAAAUCGACCGGCAGGCGAGGGACUACGGACUAGUGGAUCCACCACAGCGAAGACAGGCACAGGCACAGGGCAGGCGACACUGCUCCUAGCGCCUAGUGGUAGCCUCGCCUGGUGGGCUUUUGCGGUGGCGCCGUUCUCAGCUCACGUCCCAUGCUUGGGAGCCAGCCAAGCCUUGUUCUCCAAUCUCGAAACCUGUUAAGAGGCUCGAAUCCGGUUCAUGACGCGAGGCGAGGGGCCCACCACGACGUGGGGUAGGACCGGCUGCGACCCGAGUGGCCCUGAAGGCCUUUCACAGCGCCGCAGACAAUCACCUCGAAAAGUAGGGACCCAGGUCUUUGACGGCCAGACCCGGUAUACCGUGUGGCUUGCGGUCGGCGUCCUUAUCCGCCCAGGCGGCCGGGGCGUACACGGCGCAGGUGCGGGCAGGCGCGUACACCUGGAAGGAGUGCGGGCGGUUGUCGUAGUUGCCGGGCGUUGUCUGGAAGGUGGCGUCGGUCUCCUUGGUGAUGUUGCGGUAGCCGCCGAACACCUCUUCGUCACUGGACAGGACCAACUGCGGAGCGGAACGAGGGGGGGAAGGAGCGGGAGAGGAGAACGAGGGAGGGAGGUGGGACGGAGGCGGGAUGGAAGGGAACAUGUCCCGGUAAUAAAGAUGCUUAAGAAGUAGGUUUCGGGGGGGGGAGGAGGAGGCCCGUGGCGCGGGAAAGGGAGGUAAGCGACCAGAUGACGCGAGAUGCAGAGAUGCAACAGAGCUGCACAAGUAGAGGAACACACGGCAGGAGGAGAAGCUACGACGAAGCCGUCUCCCCAAAUAGAUAGCGCGUACCUCCAAGGCCAGAUAAAUCAGGGGGGAAACCGCAUGCAGAGCGCGAGACAUGACCCGAUAUGACCGGAUCCAGAUCCAGAUCCAGAUCGACAGCAAACCACACCCACCCAAAGGAAACGUGCCUCGACCCGCCCGCCGUAACCCCCGUAAAUCCGAGAAACCGGGUUGGGUGUGCGAGUGGCGGAGCAGCAGUACCUCGGCAGCAGCGCCCCGCCCUCCACCCUUUCAAGCCCCCCCCCCCUCUCGGCAUACCACUCCUCCCCCCGCCCCGCCCCGCCCCCGCACCUUGUACGGCCCCGCCUCGCGGCAGCCAACCCGGUAGUCCAUGAAGGACUGCGUGGGAUGGAAGUUGAACACGAACACGAGGUCACCCCGCUCGAACACGAUCAACUUGUCGCCCUCAUCCUUGCGGCUGAUGUAAGUGUUGGGGGCGCAAACGUAGCCGAACGCCUGCGCAGGCAGCAGAUACCCGGGGGGUGGGGGGGAGGUAGUGAGUAGCGACGAGAGUGCAGUGGUGUGGCGGUGGUGUGGUAUGGUGGGAGGGGCGCACGCGGAGGUGCAGCGGGAGAGAAACUAGAUGGAUAGCGGCAAAAAUCAUAAAACAUCCCGAGGAGGGGGUGGAGGGGGAGGAGGAGGGGGAGGCGUGUGCAGCCCGGGGCAGGGAAACGGACAAAAGAGAAGCGAAGAGGGGGCCGCCUAGCCAGUGCCAGGCCAGUGCUGGCAGAGCAGGCGCCUGUCCCCACGUCUCAGGAUGCUCGUGCACACACACAUACAUACAUACACAAAAACUCAGCAUGUGUGUUUGUGUAUGCGUGCGGGGGUUGACACACCUUAUCGAGGUGGCACAUGGCCCGGUCGAAGGCGUUCAGGAACUUGUACUUAAGGAAGUCGGAGUCCGCCAGGUCCCAGCGCCGACGGCACAGAUGCAGUGAGCCGCCAUUACCUUCGCCGGCGUCGGAGAAAGGGUGCGAUUGAGUGGGGGGUUGGGUGGGUGGGGAAGGUUGAGAUGCGGAGAGGUGGUGAGAUCGAUGGUGGGGGCUAAAGGAGAAAUCAUGUGAAAUGAUAUGCAAGGAAACAGGGAAUAUCGUAACACAAGGAGAGAGAGAAAUAAUAAAGGCGCAAGCAGUAUAUAAACAUGCCGCAGCCGAUCCUGAUCUGGUGUCGUAUUGGGACUAAAGCAACUAACCAAACUACCGAAGUGUCAAGCCUGAGUGUCCACUUUCCAACACUCCCACGCGCUCAGGACUUGCACACGUUCAUAGCUACACGAUGCUUCACAAAUUUCUCAGACGGCAAAGGCUUCGUUAGACAGUCGGCCACCAUAUCUUCGACCUGCAAUCUACCAUCACAAGCGUACCGAGUGNNNNNNNNNNNNNNNNNNNNNNNNNNNNNNNNNNNNNNNNNNNNNNNNNNCUCCCGUACAAAAUGAUAACGCACAGAAAUGUGCUUCGAUUGCAGGUCGAAGAUAUGGUAGCCGACUGUCUAACGAAGCCUUUGCCGUCUGAGAAAUUUGUGAAGCAUCGUGUAGCUAUGAACGUGUGCAAGUCCUGAGCGCGUGGGAGUGUUGGAAAGUGCCCUAAGGUACACUCAGGCUUGACACUUCGGUAGUUUGGUUAGUCCAGCACUCCCACGCACUAGCACUCCCACGCUCUAGCACUCCCACGCCCACCCCCACUCCACCCUCCACCCUCCACCCUCCACGCCCACCUCCCCGCCCACCUCCACCCCCACCAUCCACUCCCACCCCCACUCACACCUACCUGGCACGAAGCGGCCCGUGGAGGGGUCGUAGCUGUCCACGCGGGGGAAGUCGAUCCACUCGGGGUGGCCGAACUCGUUACCUGAUCAGGAUACACACCACAUAAGACAUACAGAGUCGGACGCUGAGGAUGGUGCACUGUGUGACAAGAAGGCGCUGGUUUGGAGCCGCAGGUGGGCGCCGGGGUGUAUCAAACAUUUUGAAUUGCACGUUCCUGGCGUGAACUGACACCAACUUCUCCAACCCUCACCACCCAUCACUCACCUACCCGUCACUGCUGUAACCCCUUUCUUUCCAAGCCACAGGCGACCCAGAGGAGCUGAAGGCCUUCGUCGAUAACACGACGCGAUGAUUUUUAAACAUCCCCCCAAUAGAAAAACACAUCCCUACAUACACACCCCCAGACUGCUCGAUACCAUAUACUACGAAAGACACACAUACACGGCGCUGCAGAGCGCGUCCCACGCCCAACUUGCCCGCCCCCAGUCCCGCCCCCAGUCCCGCCCCCAGUCCCGCCCCCAGUCCCGCCCCCAGUCUCGCCCCCAGUCCCGCCCCCAGUCCCGGCCCCCCUCGUCCAGUCUCUCUAGGACUCUCUAGGACUCUCUAGGUCCACCCCCCUCGGGCUCGCCCUCCCUCCAUCCCUUACUCCCUCCGUCCCGCCUACCCUCCCGCUCUCGCUCUCGCUUACCCAUGAAGUUGAGGUAGGACUCCCCUCCCAGGGCGAUGGUGAUGAGGCGGAUCAUCUUGUGCAGUGCAAUGCCGCGGUCCACAAUAAGAGACUGGGGGCCCAUGCCAGGUACGGCCUGUACGACAAAACAAACAAGUUAGGGUAGGGAGUGGAGGAUGUAAGGAUUGUUGGAUCAGCCGGCGAGUCAGUAGGCAUUCCAACACCGCGGCCGCGACGUGAUCACGGUCGGCAGGGGAGCGGGAGAGAAAACGAAGGAUGGGUGGGGAGUUGUAUGAUGUGAAGCAAAAGGUAAACGAUAAAGCUAUCGAGGUAACUUAGGGUUCGUGGGUGCGUAUUCUUGAGGAGAGGACAACCGUCUAGUCUGAAGAGAUGCAGCACGCGGAGGGUUGGGGCAGCGGAGCGGUCCUCCCUAAGACUGUCUGCGGGCUCCCGAGAGCUAAGAUGGCCCGAGAGACACAGAGCGCACCAGGGGACCCGGAAAUACAAGUACCCCCCCCCUUUGGUGGUUACUUUCUGAGACUACUCGUGCCUGGAGUUUCGGAGUUGUUUCGUGUCCGAGUUGCGUCCGGAUGAAAUGACCAAACUGGUCAGGGUUACCACAACACAACACAACAAGCCUUUUCGCUCCCAUACCGCACUUCCCACCCCAUCCCGCGUCGCCGCCGCGCAACGCUGGCACCACUUUGCCUUAGCUCGCCACCCCAAAAAAAACCGAUCUCCACGCUCUGCCGUACCAUGUAAUCGUACAUAUCCUUGUCCAUGAGCCAAAAGGCGAUGGUCUUAUCCCCCACCAGGGCCUGGUCAUGACUCUCCGCGUAGCCCACACACGCCUCCGCGUACCUGUUUCGAAGAGAGGAGAAGAGGGAGGAACAGGGCGGGGGCCAAGGGGGAAAGGGAGGGGGUUAAGAGGCCAGGUCAGUGAAGUGAGGCAACCAGCGAUGGCGUCCCCAGCACCAACCAGCCCCAAGCAAUAGCCGGGGGGGGGGGGCGGGUAGGGAGGUGAGAAGCAGCACACGAGGAAAUAUGGUGCGGGGACCGACUUGCGAUCUCAUCAUCAUGAAUCUCAUGAAUCUCAUGCAUGCAAGGGGAGAGAUGGCUCGAGAGACUACCGCAGCCUGGGCCUUCACAGCAGACCCCUUGCCGGGCAUACUAACAUAACGCAUGAAAAAACAUACAUACAUAGCGCCCUGACUUGCUACACACUGAUUCGCUAUGACCAGUACCUUCCCAAUCGCCCCCGCACUAGCCCCCUCGCGCCUGACCGGCCCUCACGCCCGGAAACACCUGGGGCGGGCCCCCGCCCCUCCCGCUGCCACUCUCCCCGCCCCUCUCUCACGCGCUCCAGAGUCUCCCGCCCGCUACGCUACCUGCGGUUCGUGAGCGUGUGCACGAUGUUGCCCAUGUUCCAGGCGAAGUCGUCGUGCAGCUUCAUCACCUCGAUCCACUUGUCCGCGAUGGCCAUCUGGAGGCGGUAGUCGAAACCCACACCGCCCUCGUGCCUGAUGAUGAUGAUGGUGAUGAUGGCGAUGGCAGCGACGACGAGGCGUAUCAAAUGAGAGACACACACGUGGAAUGGGGUGGGGGCGAUUGCGGGGCACGGUUAGGUUCGGUGGUUCGCGGGGUGAUGGGUGAGGAGACAAGCCAGACAGACAGACAGGGAGACAUUGUAAACAGACAGGGGCUGAGAACGCAGUGUCCCUGAGCUCCACCUUAACCCCCCGGGUAGACAGGCAGGGAGAGGGAGGGGAAUGGGGGGAAGGGCCAACCUAUACAAACGCGAGGGGGGAAAGCCCUUUUCCCGCCUGCUUCCCUCUCUUCGGGCGUCAGCACUGAUUUCACUUUUUGACUUUGCCACCCAUAUAAUCACCCCUAACCCCCUUCCCCUCCCUNNNNNNNNNNNNNNNNNNNNNNNNNNNNNNNNNNNNNNNNNNNNNNNNNNNNNNNNNNNNNNNNNNNNNNNNNNNNNNNNNNNNNNNNNNNNNNNNNNNNNNNNNNNNNNNNNNNNNNNNNNNNNNNNNNNNNNNNNNNNNNNNNNNNNNNNNNNNNNNNNNNNNNNNNNNNNNNNNNNNNNNNNNNNNNNNNNNNNNNNNNNNNNNNNNNNNNNNNNNNNNNNNNNNNNNNNNNNNNNNNNNNNNNNNNNNNNNNNNNNNNNNNNNNNNNNNNNNNNNNNNNNNNNNNNNNNNNNNNNNNNNNNNNNNNNNNNNNNNNNNNNNNNNNNNNNNNNNNNNNNNNNNNNNNNNNNNNNNNNNNNNNNNNNNNNNNNNNNNNNNNNNNNNNNNNNNNNNNNNNNNNNNNNNNNNNNNNNNNNNNNNNNNNNNNNNNNNNNNNNNNNNNNNNNNNNNNNNNNNNNNNNNNNNNNNNNNNNNNNCACUUUCUCACCAGUGCCCCACCCUCCUCCCUCUCCCCUCCAUCCCCCUCCCUCCCUUACCAUGGCCGGCAGAAGGAAGGCAUGCCGGACACGUCCUCCCCAAUGCUGAUGCAGCUGGGGAACAUGUCGUGAAGCAGGUUGUUCACCAGCAUCAGAUAAACCACCGCGUCGACGUCCGUGUUCAUGCCGAAGUACUCGCCGUAGUUGCCUGAGUAGGUGGGUGGGUGGGUACGGGAUCCGGGUGUGUUCGGCGGGGAAAGGUGUACGGGGAGUGGUUGAAACGGCGGUGAAGUGAGAGAAGACUGGUUUAACAACCUGCGCCGUGAUGAGAAUCACAGCGAUGGGUUGUACGGAAGUAAAGGUUUGGAAGAGAGAUCCUUAGUCCAGUUUGCGUGUGUGUGUAUGUGUGUGUGUUUUCGAGCACGUGCGCACAGGAGGCCGCGACUUGCGGGUUGACUCCGCCCGUCAUUGAGCUGAAAAAGCCACCUGCCCUCACAAGCCCUGUGGCUCAGAUCGGCAACACUAAACAUUAACCGUGUGACAACCCCUGGAGUUCCAUUACCGUACAUACCGGUGAACGUGUACGACAGGCCGUGAUGGUGGUACAUCAUGGACGUGACGCCGUCGAAACGGUAUCCGUCAAACUUGUAUUCGUCCAUCCACCAGCGGGCGUUGGACAGCAGGAAGCGCAUUGUCUCCCAGUUGCCUAAUCGGGCAUAUGAUGGAUGACACAGAUUGGACAUAUGGCAUGUAAUGUAAUGUUGGACAUAUGGCAUGACACAACACAGCAUGACACGGCAAGCAUAGGGGGUGGGUGGGGGGGGAAGAGGUUCAUCAGGCGUAAUGUAAUCAGAGUUAAAAUUUGUUGCGUAUUCAACAAAACGGACUGUAAUUAAGGAGCUGGGCACCUUUUUCACAUCUUCCACUUCAAAACCCCUUCCUAGGAUGGAUACAUCCUCUUUCUUCCACAAUCUCUCUCGUGCUGCCAUGUCUCCAUUACUCCACACACACACACACACACACAUACAUACAUACAUACACAUACACACAGAUCUGGCUGACCGAACCAGCUCCAAGUGGGAAGAGUCAACAGAUGGGCCCCCCCUCGAGCAGUUCCCCCACACCCCUCCUCAUGCCCCCGCGGGGUGUAGCAGGCAGCAGGCGUACGGCAGGUCCUUUCACCUGGGAUCCAUGCAGCAUCUCCGAUGGCAGUGAUAUAUAUACACACACAAAAACACACGCACGCGGUCCCUUCCCCCCUCUACCUCAGCUUCACUCGUUCGUGGUUCUUCUUCCCCCCUCCCCUCCCCUUUCCCCCCCCCCCCCGCCCCCUCCUCUUGCCGUACCGUAGUUGAAGCAGCGGCUGUCCCACAUCCAGUGGUUGCCCCGCGGGCCGCCGUGGAAGUACAUUCCGUCGGUGCCGUCGAACAUGUUGAUACCGUCGUUGGUGUUCUUGGAGGCGUGGCUGUGCACGAUGUCCAUCAGCACCUGAGGCACAGGAGAGGCAGGGAGGCGGUCGAGGGGUGGUUGGGAGGGGGUAGGUGGUUGGAGGGGUAGGAGUGUGCAAGCAUGGCUCAAGUGGGACGUGUACGCAACGAAAAGAAUGAAUGGGAGGGGGCACCGCCAACUCCAACGGCAAAAACAAAACAAAACAAAACAAAGCGAAGCGAAGGAUUAAAACAGCGAAAGUGACACUACCAGAGCCGCGACUGCUCGUCGCCCAUCCGUCCCUCCCGUCCGGUGACUGAAGACCGCAGCGACUUCAAACUGCCCCAAACCAGGCCACGGAUAUCUUGAGGUAUCCGUUUAUGGCUUUCCUUCUCGCAAAUCGUCUGUGCUUUGUCGUACCCUCCGGGGCCCCAAACCCUACAGACAUCAUUGCUCCAGGGGCGCAGCUUUCCCCCCGAGCAGUACCCGUACCCCCGACACGGUCGUGCAGCAGCCCGCGAACGCAACAAAGCCCCCUCGGAGAGGGCUUCAAAUGGGGGACGUUCCCAGUCCGCCCUCACCCCCCCUCAUCCGCCCCAUCCUUGACUGAACUAGUCAUUAGGCACCCAGAUGACGAUAUUUCAUGUAAUGACCCUUCAUGCCAUUUCUGAGGCUCUUAGGAGCCUCUGCUGGCUCGUGUAUGGGCCCCUAGGUUACACACCUCUCCAUCUGGGUAACGCAACCUGGAGGUGUAACAUGCGCGCGCACGCAUACACACGCACACACGUCGCCGUUUGUGUUUUAUGUAUACCGUCUAGCUUCCCGCCUAGGGUUGAGCUCGGCUCGGCUCUUUUGAGCUUCGGCACUGUAAACCUUGAAAAGCAACACCCAACCACGCCUUCGAUGUGUCUCACUGCGCCCCCGUCUUCCCCCGCUCCCAGGCGGCCCUCCAAUUCCAGCUGGUUCCUUUGACCUGUUUACUUUUGCAUGUAACCUUUUCCCUUUUUUCUCCCUCCCCCCGCCGCCAGACUUGCCCCAAAAACACACGUGCACACACCCUCCCUCCCUCCCCCCUCCCCUCGCCCGCCGUACCCACCACGAGACCCAUGCGGUGAGCCUCAUCCACCAGCGCCUUGAGCUCAUCGGGUGUACCGCAACGGCUGCUGACCUGAGGCAAGAGCGUGUGCACGUUCGUGUGUGUGUAUGGGUGCGUACGACGACGCCGCGGGGGAGGAGUGGUGGAUAUGAGGAGAGUUGGAAAUGGACUACCGCAACUGGGUGUGGGGUUCCUGGCAGGUACGACAUUUGUCAACGCACAUUGCAUAUAUACAUACAUACAUAUAUACAUGUAUGUGUUGCAUACAUACAUAUAUACAUGUAUGUGUUGCAUACAUACAUAUAUACACACCUUCACAAGGCCGCGCGUUUACGAAUAUGAGGACAUGGUCGCGUUGCACUAACAAACAAUCGCAAGAGCCGUCCUCCCUCUCCUCCCCUCCUCCCGAACUGCGGGACCGCUCCGUUAAGAGAUAAUAGUCGGUCUCGGAAGGACAGACCCUCCACACUACCGUGGCCAUACACACCGACACACACAAAGAUGCACAUACACAUACACACGCACACACACACGCAUGCAGAGACAUUCUCCAGAAUCUCGUCACCAUCUUUCCAUCUGCCUCGUUGCCCUCCCCCGCCUCCCCUCCCCUCCCUUACCUCUCACUCACCCGCCUGCAGUGUCCGACAAGGUUCCCCCCCUCCACAUCCCCCCUCUCACCCCCUGUAUCCCCCCCUCCCCUCCCCUUCCACGUCCCCCGCUUCCCCUCCCCUCCCCUCCCCUCCCCCUUCCACGUCCCCCCAUCCACAUUCCCCCGCCAACCCACCCCAAAGAAGUUGGUGACGUGGUAUCCGAAGGAGCCGUAGUAGCUGUGCUCCUGGAUGGCCAUGAUCUGAAUGGCGUUGUAGCCCAGCGCCCUGAUGCGCGGCAACACGUCCUUCCGGAACUCCAGGUAGCUGUUCACCUUGGGCUCCUGACUGCUCAUGCCCACGUGGCACUCGUAAAUACGCAGAGCGCGGGGCCUGGAGCACACAAGAGGGUUGGAUUCGAAUACGGGAGUAGGGGACACACGGAAGAGGUUGCGUGGAGGUAUAAUGGCGUCCAUAGGAUGUACGUAUUCGAAGGAUUAAUACAUAUAUACCCAUAUAAUCCAAUCCACAAUCCGAAUAUUUGAAAUCCCUCCCCCUGCCCUUCCCGCCCCCUCCCUACGCGCAGUCACAACCUCCAAAGAAGCCCUCCCAUACCGCGUAAAACGUCCCCAAACUCUCCGGACUCCCUUUCACCCCUUUUCCCCCCAACCCCCAUCCCACCCCCGCCCCAAACCCUACUUGGGCGGACGGGGGUACUUGAAGGUGUAUGCCUUGUUCUCCGCCACCUCGCCCGGGGCGCCCUUCUCCGGGGGGUCCCAGUGCACACCUGCGGCACAUCACGACGACCGUGAUAACAUCAAAACAUAACGAACAUGAACAUCAUGGACACAGACACAUGUACCUACCAGACACACCCGAAUACAUUGACUCAUUCACUCGCAUACACAUACACCCAUACAUACACGCAUACAUACAUACAUACAUACAUACAGCACCAGAUUCAUAGCACCGCUAACCUACACACGGAAGCCACCACCGCAAGUCCGCGAAGAGCAACCAACCCGCCCAUUUGGCUAACGGAGAUUUUGUUUUUGGACUGGGGAUCUUAUUAUCUAUCGGGAACCUACAAUCGGGAACGCACACCACCAUGUAGAGGGGGGGUGAGAGGGCGGAACCCAGCCCAGGGGUGAACAAGGCCCAAGGACACAGUCGGUAGGUCUAUCCCUCGCCCCUCGCAGCCUAGCCCCGGGUAAACAGCCCUGCACGUGUGUUUUGCCGGCACCGCACACCACCACUAGGUGUGGCGCAUCUCGGUGUGCGCACGUGCUGCACCGCACGCGGACAUGUAUCAAAACACUGUGCGCCACUACCACUACCAAUACUUCGACGCGUUUCCCCAUUUCGACUCUAUGAAGUCCGGCCACAGAUUAGCUCGCAUGGCUAAGCUACUCAUAUGCAAUGUAUCAGACUUUUUAAAAAGCGCGCUCUCCUGGUGUAUCCACUGCGCACAGCUCUGAGUUAAAGAAACGUUUGCGAAAGGGAAGACUGAGGGGAAAUUGAGGUGGUGGAAGGGGCGGGAUGGUGGCUGGGAGGACAGCAAGACAGGGUCGCUCCUGCUUCUCCCCCCCCUUUGGAGCUCUCCGCGCCUCCGCGCUCUUUUUUUUCACCUUUCCCCUUAACUUCUUUUUUUCUUCUCUUACCGUUAAAGAGGAUCUCGUUCCACUCCUGGGUGGCCCACUUGAUCCAGGCGGGGAUCUUGUCCAUCCAGUGGCCGUCAGCAGUCUCCAAACGACACUUCACCUUGGUCCUGCGGCCGCGACGUGGACGGGGGCAGGGCAGGGAAUCAUACGCAAGGGGAGGAAAUCAGAACUGAACCGGGGGCAGGGAGGGAAGGGAAGGGGGAAGGGGGGAAAGACGAACCACACACGAUUGAAGCUGCUGCCAGGGCAGGGGAGGGGGAACGGGGGGAGGAAAUAUAUGCUGAAUGUUGGGUGCAGAGACGCAUCCUUUCUGCCAAAACUACUGCCCGAUGUCCAUCAAUGUGUCAACUGCGGAGGGAAGAGAGGGAUGCCAGGAGAGCCAAAUGGAGGGCGGGAGAGGGAUGCCAGGAGAGCGGAAAAAUGAUUAUGGCUGGAAAAGCUGCGCGGGGGCGGGGGGCCCAAGGGGCUGCGUACGGCCGAGACCAGGAUAUUCUAAGCCCUCCGGACCCAAGAGAAAAAAGUCACCAAGACAUUCACCAUAUAGCCUGUGAUUGUAUAUCAGUCUCGUCCGCUGCACCGGCCGCAACUCAACUCCCAGCUCCGAAACCCCCGACCACAGCUACCCCCCCUGCUGCGACGCCCUUCCCCUCCGUAAAGCCCCCGAGAAGGUCGACCCACGCCGCCAAACCCCCCUCAUGUCUCUUUCACAAGUGAAUCCAAGGUCGUGCAUGUGCAAAGUUCCACAUCAAGUUCCAUAUCAAGUUUCGUUUCCCUUCAAGGCCCCACUGCAGCAGUGCUGAGCAGCUCGUUGCCCGGGAUGACUUCCCCUUCUUGUUCUUUCCCGAGAGGAGAAUCCCAUAAAAGUCAUCUUCAUCGUCCCCCACCUACCAAUGACCCCCUCCCCACAAGCCCCUAUCCGCCAACUCCCCCACCCGUCCCACCUGUGCGGGAUGGCGGGAGUGCCGUCCGGCAUAUCCGGCAGGAAGAGCUCCCAGGUGCCGAACUGGUUCUUAAAGGCCCAGUGGCUGUCAGCCGGGGUCCAGUUAUUGAAAUCACCAACCAGAGCCAGAGCCUGACAGACGACAGACAGGCAGACAGAGUGAAAGAAGUAUUGGCAGCGGGGAAGGUGCAAAAUUAUAAUGAGGAACGGGAACGGAGAGAUGAGACUAAAUGCGGAAAGAAAUGAAACGAUGAAAGCAGCGAAACGGGAAGAGGAAAGGAAGUGGUUGGGGGAACGUCUCUGGGUUUUACUUUGGGUAAGUACUGUUUCCUUUGGGAAGGCAUUACUCAUCAUCAUCAUCAUCUUCAUCAUCUUCGUCCCGUCCUAAAUCCCAAUUGUCAAUCUGCACUACCAGGCAUUCGUACCUUGGCUCCCGGAGCCCACUCGCGGUACCAAAUACCGGUUUGGCCGUUGCACUCCCCGCGGUUGAAGCCGUAGUAUUUAUAACCUGAGAAAAUAAGAAGCGGGAUGCUAAUAAGGGGUGUGUGAAGAUGGUGCGGGAAGUUCGGCCCCGAAACCCAGUUAAAUGGCCGUACAACCCUAUCGGAUCCGCACGGCCAAGUUUGGAUAAAAUCCAGACACGCACCGAAUAGGUUAAUAAGCUAUGGAUGGUACUUUUGAACUAAUGUAUCCCACACGCGUUCAGAUGCAUACCCUCUGUAAACUUCUCAAAGCCGCCCUCGUUCUGGUCGAUGGCGCUGCGGAUGUUCUUGAAAACGUUCCACCGGUACUGUGCGAUACCGUUAAUGUCGGCGGGUUAGUAUGCAAGGAAAGUUACCGGGUUCGACAACUUGCAAAAUAUGGAGAACGACCCUUCAAGCAUAAAUAAGAGCUCGAACAAAUUUAUUUGGUAACAGACGGUGGCAAACAAACCUUAAAAUGCUCGGCCGCAGACCAGAGUGUGUUAUCCCACUUAAAGCACAUCGUCCCAUCGUGGUUGGGGAUCGGCGAGAUAGGCCCAUAUUCAUCAACAUACUCCAUGUUGUCUGGAACUUCAACACUAGGGCUCCAAUACUCCUCAGGGCGCUCGAGCAUAGUCACCACACCGCCCAGCUCGUCAAGAAGGCUCAACCCGACACCGGCAUCGCUUCCCAGCGCCACCUCCUGAACUGACUUGCUGGUCAAAUUUGCUACCGCUGCACCAGUAGCGGGUGCCUCCGCGAUGCUAUCGAUGGGGACGUUAGCGACAUCAAGGGUUUGUCGCAGUAGUUCGUUCUCACGGCGCAGGAGCUCCAACGCUGACAGCUUCUCGCCCGGAGCAGCUGUUGCGGCCACAGUUCUAGGCACAACCCCUGCGAUGGAUUGCUGUCCGUCAACACCCUCGAACGCAACGAGAUCCCAAGCACUCGAACACCCUUACCACGACGCGCCUUGGGCGCGAUGCCUCCUGCAUGGGGCCUGCUUCCAGUUUGAAGCUUUCCGAGCUGCAUUUUCAAUUUCACAACGCGAUGUUGACAGCACCAGGCAGGGUCGCCUCGUUUGGGCGCCGAGCCACCCGACGAGGGCAGCAAUUGAGCAAUGAACUGUAGCUCUUAUCUUAGAAUAAUUUCCUGAUAAAGUAUAUAACAAUCUUCUCAACGCGCCAGCUAGCGUUGAGUUGGCAUCAAAUCUUCAGCCCUGAGGACUUUAUCUUCUUCAACGGCCGCAGUUCGCGCCGUACCACAAAUAAAAUUCUGUUGGUUGAGGAGCGUAUAGUAUUCCCUAUGAUAUGAGCCGUAUAAUCAAGAAUGUAUCCUGCAUGCUGAGAAGUUACAAUGCAAGAGCUUGGCAGGUACACAAUCAGCCACUUUUGGACUUCUACACGCGAAUCUGUGCACGUCAUUCUUGCAUACUAAGUUGCAGCUACGCAUACUAGUAUGGUGAUUCAUCAAAGGUUAUUACACUCGUUAUACCAGCAUGGCACUGGGCAUCCACCAGUGACUAGGCAUGGUAGUCUGUUUCCCGAAUGGACAACGAAGCCACUUUCUGAUGACCCGAUGGUCCAAGUCCAAGGCUGUAAGAUCAAGGCCCUUGCCCGCAUGGGCCUAAACGCCCCAUACAAAAAACAUGGCAUUAGGCUGGAUUUAAUCGUCGCCUUGCGCGCCACAUGCCGUCAUCAAUCUACGUUUCCUGGGCUACUGCACUCCUAUGCAUGUGUAUACAGCUCUAGGUCGCACAGCUCAUUAGAAUACUUGACGCAGUAAUAGAUGCGGUGAGCCCUGGUCACUCAAUACACAACACGGGCUAAACACCGCAUCAUCCGUUGCCUCGCACUUCGCAGCAGGGACAUGUUGCAGCUCACAACGUCUGCCAUAGAGCAAAAGCCAUGCCCCCUGUACACUGCAACAAAAACAUUUUCUACCCACGCCCAAAUACUGAAGGCAACACCGUCACCUUGAUAACACACGAAAUUACUGUAUUCAUGCACACGAUGCACACACUACUCAAGGAUCACGCCGUCAAUGUCGCAAAAUCACGGGGUCAAAGAUGCCACUCCCCAGAAGGUGCUAAUUCCCGCAAGAACGCGCACGCAACCAAAUUUCCAUGAUAGAGGUACGAUGAAAUGCCUUCACAAUCUCCCUUGCCGGAAUUUCCUCAAUCGCGAAUCAGGAUCGCGUGAUGAUGAUAGACCGUACAGGGACAAGUACCGUACAGGGACCGCACCAGCCCAUAGUAGAGCACUUGAGGUGGCACUCUGCGACUCGCGGAGAGCGGUUGAUAACUUGAUCUGUCAAAAAAUGUCGACUCGUGUAACAAAACAGUUUCGUCACAUCUGUUGUAUAAUAUUCUGUGUAUACUUCGGCACAUUGCUGCGCUGUCCCAAUCACUGUGCAUGUCAACGCUGAGAGGUUCGUCGUCACCACAUUCUAUAGCGACGGCUUCAGACGCCGCACGACGCGGUCCCCAUCGGCGGCUAGUGCGCCGCCACGAGAUGCAUUAGGCGCCUGUCGUCCGCAGGCGCCGCCGAGCUGUUGCAGCUGUCUUGGCCUUGACGGGUACGACACCCGCCACCCAGGGUACGAAUUCGGGGGCAGUUCGAUGCACCGCACGGAAAUCCGCAGAAAAGGCGCCUUGGUGGUUGAUCUCCUGGGCCGGCGCCAGUUGUCAAGUGCAAACGUCAGAGUGCGGCUUUUACCCAUGCAGCAAUCAACACCUAACGCAACAUCUUUACGCAACAUCUUUACGCAACAUCUUUACGCACGUAAAGAUAUUGCAAGCAACAACACCUGCCCAUGCCCCCAAGCAGCCGUGCAUCCAAGCAGACGGUGGUUUCUUUCUCGACUUGCAAUGGCGAGCAGGGCGGUGCAUAGGCGUUGCCAGGUGGAUGGCCUGGCAUGCGAAAAUCUCACCGUGGAUGCCACCCGGGCCCGGGUGAUCCCCUUCAUCCUUUGCUGACAGUUGCUGACUCCAACCCCGCUUGCAUGACGACCUCCUCUGCUUAAAUCCGGCAUACCAUUUUUGCAGGUGUGGGUAUACACCCGUCGCAGAAGACUGUCCGCGCGACAUCGCACCACCCCGCUACAGCACCCGUCAACCAGGGCCCUUCCCUUCCCAGCCCGAGAUCCCAUUGACAUACCAGGUUUGAUUUAGAUCGAUCUGGGUUGUUGUCCCACUUCGCCUGAUGCUUCAACCAACAGUCCCCAGUCGUGUGGUUGUGGAUGUCCUUUUGAGGGAAGAAAAGCAGAUGGCAGAGGGCAGAGGUGCAAAACGUCGCAGCUGGUCGCGGAAGGGGCGGAGCACACAGUGCACCGCAACCCAACCACCACCGCCCUACCGCCCGAAACAACUCCCGCCCAGACAUGGCAACAAGGUUGGCAAGCUCUCAAGGACAGCCUUAAUCCUUAAGGAGGCGGUGGUAGUGGCGGUGAUGGUGGCGGUGAUGGUGGCGGUGAUGGUGGCGGUGAUGGUGGCGGUGGUGGUGGCGGUGGCGAUUCCUUGGUGGUUGUGCAAUGCUACCUGAGUACCUAACAAGAAGUGUUGGGGUACGAGAAAGUGUCUCUCGUUCAUUGGAGCCCUCCCAGCAGCCUUUCCGUUACUCUUCGUUUGGUCCACAGGUUGGACCAAUGCUCUAGCCACUGGCCCCUUCGGCUCUCUUUGGCAGUAUGGUACAUCGGAGGUGAUCCCUUUCUGAGGAUCCCAUGUGGCGAAGGGCCAUUCAAUUUUGCUGAAUCCCUACCCUCCUCAACCUGGCCAGCACACAACCACCUAGCCAACACGGAAAAGCAACAUCAUACUUUACGCAUUUCCAAGGACCCUCUAGCAUCCCCAGCCACACCACCAGACGCGCUACCCACUGAACCAGAGCCCACUAAGCUCACCAUGGUCCAGCAAAUCCCGCUAGGAUCACCUGCACGUAUAGAAAAGGGCAGUCACAGCGCGCAUCGGGUCGUCUGCGGGAUGGAUAGCCACAUGCAUAGUUGCCCUACUCACCAAACCUCUUGAAGCAAACUCCGCAAAAACCAAUAGGGCUUCUCAUGACAGACAGCGCACACCGAAGGACCCACACGCUAGCGUGGCACGCUGCUCGCAGAGGAUCACAGCGUCGCGAUGCCCGUCCCAUCCCCCAACCCCCAUCCCACCCACACACACACACAAACACGCACACGACACACCGCAUUCAAGUGCUUGUUGAACGCCCAGUCUGCCCCGACCGGUGAUGUAUACAUGCAUUUAGGCAGCAUGACAGCAGCCGAGGCUCGAGACUCACCGCACCAGACCCAGAUGUUGCAAGGCAUGUUGCCCCCGGCCUUCAGCUGGUGGUCUCUGCAGGCCUGGCAACACUCAGCUGCUGAUGCCCUCUUGUGGCCGAGGCCCCACACCACCGCGUCACCGGCAUAAUCUGUGUGCUGGGGUUUCCGACAAAAGGACGCAGCGCCUCAACAUGGGUACGUUUUGGACAUAGCCCAGAGAGCGAUGGCUCCCCAAUCCCUGGAAGCUACAUUACACGGCGCUUGUAGGAGUGCUGAAGCCAGGGUUCGGUCCGUCCCGGAACAUGGUUUACUGAUCAUGGGACGACCUCCUAGGCGCGACCCAGGUGCAUAGCGACAGCGCAGCAUGGCACCGGUGCGGCGGCAAACCACAUGCGCCCGGAGGUAAGAGGUGCUGGCGACCGAGAUACGUCCGCUGCAUGCCAUUCACACACCUAGCCAUGCACAUCCAUCGGUCACGGACAUGAAGCAACCCGUAUGGUUAGCUUUCCAACUCUAAUGGGUAGCUUUCCAACUCUAAUGGGUAGCUUUCCAACUCUCUGACAGUGGGCUCUGGCGCCAAAGGCCGGCUAGGAAGCCAGUCGAAUGGGGCCCCAUAGGCAGCUAUGCAUGGGGCCGGGUUGCUGUCCCUCGCCAUGAUGAAGCGUCUGAGUUAAUGUGCGCGUCCCACGGAAAAAGCAAUGGCAAGCUGCAUGUGCCAGCAGCUGAGGCUACGAGCCUGGAACCCAAUCCCACAGCUAUCUACUGCUGACCUGUUGCGGAUAGCAGUCCUCCGGAAUGGGAACGUCCAAGAUCUGCGGGCCAGUGGGUAGGACAGCUUUUAACCCGAAGCGCAAUACGAUGAAGCAGCAGAGGCAUCGCUCCGAUGGAUUCGGUACGGUGGGACAGCGUGCUGUGCAGGGCAUGCUUCCUGAAAUCAUGGGGUGCAUUUGCCACCUCGGUCAUCGUACACGGGGGUUUGUUCGGUCGCUGGGAUGCCAAACCCUACGACUUGCCUGCAAUUUGCGUCCCUUAUCUUCGAUCUCAACGAUAACCCUUUGGGUUACUUCAGAUGACGUGCCAGCACCAGGUCCUAUAGCUGCGCCGGCAGCAGCUUUUCCUGUGCUCGUGGGUCCUUUCACCGGCGUCGCUUUUUGAUCAACAGAGGGUUGCACAGGUCUGCCUUGACCAAACUGCACAGCGAGAAGUGAGUGAGUGGAGCGCAACGACUACGAAACGGGACGUCGGAAUCCGCACCUGUGCGGCGACGAAAGCUCCAGAUGCUGCGCAACCGAAAAAAUGAGGAUGUACUUAAGCAUCAUAGAGGAGGAUUAUGCGAAACUUACCCUCAACGGCAGCUUUCAACUGAUCCCGACCAGCCCACGAGGCGAACCCGAUUACAGCAAGAAAUAACGCCAACGGUGCAGCAGCAGCUAUCCGCUGCGCUACCGUUCCGGUCAUAUUAGGCCUAGUAUACAUCUUGGAAGCACGCAGGUCACAAGAGGGGUUUUAUUGGUAGCCCAGCGGACGGGCGGCAACAGUGUAAGCGCUAGAGUCUAUAUUUAUUUAGAUGUAAGGCAUCACGUUGGGUAAGGAAGUCAGCCCUGGUGCUACGGAACCAAGGGGCAGGACGGCAAUUGACGCAGAGUAUGCGCUUGCGCAAAGAACUAAGAGUGUUGCAGGGAUGUGACCUAAAGCGAUCUUACAUUUGACCUCAUAAGACCAGGUAUGCCAAUUGACUAGUCCGCGUUGGUAGGCUCGAGCAUGCUGGGAAUGCUGUAACGCCGUGCAGGUUGUACGUGCAUUUUUAUUCAUGCACGAAUCCAGUCAGUCACCGAUCCGUGGUAGGUAGAUCACUGUGACCCAUACGUGCCUAAUUUGAGCUAGUUGCGGGCAAAGCACAAGCUUGACCUGUCGGAACGCUUUGCUAUGGCUGGAAAGCCAGACGGAAAUGCGACCUCGUUGUCUGCAACUAUAGAGGCUUUAAGAAACGCUGCUGAGCAGAGCAUAUCUGACAUCCAAAAGCAGGCAGACGCAGCUCUGAAGGAGGCGGCAUCUCAGCUGGUAGCCGGAGGUGCCGUAAUCGCCGACUUUGUCCGGCAAGGAGUUUCUGUCACACAGCAGUAUGCAGAUCAGGGAAAGGUAGAUAGCUAAGGCUAAUAAAGUCAUGUUGGCGCUGUCAUGACCCGCUGGCCACGUACCCGGCAAACAGGGCUAUAUCGGCUACGGCCUAUGCCAGCUGAAAAGGGCUGAGGAUGCAGCGAUUGCCGAGAUCAAGUGUAAGUGCCGGCUUGGGGAUUGUCGCUGAAAAGCACAACCCGAACUCUUGAACCCCCUGCCUGACUUCGUAUUUCACCCGACCCAACCAUUAUCCCCUGACGCCUCUUUCCUACCUCCCUUCCGGAUGCGUCAUAGGCGGCCUGGAGCUUGUCCAGAGCAACCCGUACCUUUCCUACCCGCUCCUAACCACCGGGAGCCUUAUGCUUCUGCCUGGUACGGCUCGGCGCACACGUGUCCCUUUCAAUUCCUACGCCCAUAGAACACAUCACACCUCUCCAGCUCUCUACACACACCUGCCCCCGUCCCCGCUAAUUAUCUUAACACCAACACAACAACAUGUACACAUGAGAAGCACUACCCGUUACCGGCGACGUCACACACGCAAAGUGCCGACCUACCCCUGAAGAUAAGGCCAACAAAGAACAGGCCGACACAAAUUGCGUAGCAGUUUCGCGUUUCAAUUCCCCCCCCCACACACACCGAUCGGUGCAGUGGACUCGCUCCUUUCUAGAUGCUGACGACUGCGUGUUAUAGAACUCGCCGUGUUUGUGUCUGUCGCAGCGCUGCUCUUCCGCUUCCCAACUCCCAACAAAAACCAACGUAAUGCAGUAAUGCAAUCCAAUGCACAAAACCCAUUUCUUUACGCAACCCCAAAGUCCACCAAAUGAAAUCAAAUCAAACCAAUAUCAAUAUCAUUCGCAGUCACUCGUCGGUUCCUGUACCGAGCCACGUUGGGUCGGCUGCGCAGUCCGGACAACAUCCUGAAGGGCUGCGAAGGCAAGGUGGAGGGGCUCCGUGUCAAGAUGGCCGACUACUCCACGGAGGCCAAGAAGCUGCAGGUGUUGGCUUGGGGCCGCUGGGGCUUGGGGCGGAAAAACGAUAGGUUGGUGGGUGAAAUGGGUCUCGAUCCAACGGAGGGAGUAAGGAAUGUGGUGCAAGGUAGGGGCCCGGUCUUGAGGGGGUGGGAAGAGGUCGGUCGGUCGGGUCAUUAGAAGCGCUGCCAGGGGUUGCGGGAUAGGGGUUCUUCCAGGGAUGGGGAGCCGAGAGAGGACGAGAUAGAACUUGGGACAGGCCAGGACAGGACCACGCAUUGGGGGAGCCACUGGGGCGGACAUGACAUGGGGGAGGAAGGAGAACGUGUGGGGGGUAAAUGACGAGGUGUUUUGACACGGAAAAGCAGCAUCCCGAGAGCGCAGUCGCAAUGCCUGCUCGAAGCCUCGCAGUCACUAACCUCAAGAUUUUUUUCUCUCAUUUCCGAUUGCUGGCUAAGAAUCGCGCCGCUUGCUGGAAAGCGGAUCGGUCAUCUCCUUCGUCCCUCUCCCCGGUUCCGCAGCUAAUUGGGUCAGGGCUGCGACACCGCUUUGAACUGCUCGGGCUCCGGCAGCCGCGGUGGUGCUUUUGGACCAAUCGGCUGUUGCUCUCCUUACCUGGGCACAUCAGUAUAAGAUUUUUUUCUCCUCGCAGCGUACAAAAUUGCUGCUCUUUCUUCCUCCCCUCUCCUCUCUACUUUCCUUCGCCCCUCGUCAGGAGCGCUUGGUGGCGGCGGAAGAAGAGUACAUCCGGGGCAGGGCGAAACUCAAGUGAGCGGGUGGGCCAGCAGCGGGUGGGCGGGUGAAAGGGACGUGACACUCGCGAAAACAGACCGGCGAAGGGGUGCAAGCAGCGCAAAAAGGCACGUCAUCAUCAUUGUGCGCUGUUCACAUCGCCUGCCGUCCUGCUCCGACCCGUCCCUUCCUUCACAUGGCCCGUCCGUCGGCGGCGAAGUUGGGCGCCGCCGGUUGUUUCUCCGGCUUUGCUGCCCUGGCGCGCCAAUUUAAUGCUGCCCAAUUUAAUUCGGCUCCCUCUUCCCGGUCUUGCGUCUUUAGGGCUACUCGGCACGAGUUGACUCGGCUGGCAUCAGUGGUGGGCAAGAGCGAGCGGGCGGCUGCAAGUGGGUGGGGUAGGGUUGAGAUGACACGCAGUAGGACUAGGGCCAGUCGGAUCUGUGUCGCCAAACUCUGCCGUCUGGUCUGGCCGUUACAUGGGUCUACCUAUCCCCCCCCCUCCCGCCGCUGCGUCCGAGGAGUUUAUAAAGUAGAGUUGCUGCCACCAGGUUGCCGCCUUUGUUCCCCGCUGCUCCUUUACUGGUUUCCUGCUUUACCUUAAGCAUUAGGUUCCGACCCGAUUGAUGACCCGACAAUUUACGGCGUCUUGUUUGUUGCUGGGUCGAAUUCGUGCUGGCGGCGUAAUUCGCUUGCGCCGUGCUGAUGAGCCCCCUGAGUGAUCUAUUGCCCUGUUAUAACAAUGCUGUGUGUGAUGUGGGUUUUGCGUUAUGCGCGUGUGCAGGUGUGCUCGAGGACCUGCGUAUCAUCCGGAAGCUGGACCAGGCGGUGCAGCUCCGAGCCGAGGUGGGGCGCCGGGGCGGUGAAGAGUGGGGGCCGACGCAGAGUCCUGUGUAGCCCUGUCCGUGUUGGCAUCCGUGCAGUCCGCCGGCUACUGCGGCCCCAGUGAAGGGCCACUGUUCGGUCCCACAAGACUUGGGACGAGGACCUUUUCCAAAUCCCCUGGGCUGCCUGACCACCACCACACCGCGGGUCGGGCCUCCGGUACUCUUGACUCGGCGGACCUGUGGAUAGGCUACUCUCUGACGCGUUUUGAUCAACUGACUUACUAAGGGUUCGUUCCUAACCCACAACCCGGAUUGUGAUUGGAUGUUCCCGACCGCUGGCAUCACACACCCGCGCAGGCCGCGUCGCAAGUUGCGGACCUGCGCUCGCAGCGCAAGACGUUGCUGCAGCACGCUGAGCGCAUCGCCAAGAGGGAUAUCUAAGGGGAGGAGCAGGAUCAUGAUCAUGAUCAGGAGGGGGAGGAGGAGCAGGAGUGGUGGGAGUUGAUUGACCGCUCGAAAAGGGCCCUGGGGGAGGAAGGGGAGGAGGAGGAGGAGGGGGGAAUUGAAGUUACCGGUAGAUGUAGCUGCGGUGCGUUGGAAGACCCUCCAGGUCAGCGGGGCCAGUAGCAGAAGCUAAUAGUUGCGGAAUGCGUGAGGCGUUAUCGUUUGGGUGGGCUAUGGCAUGGGGGGCUGGAAAAGGGGUUGGAAAGGAAACAAUCGGCUUUUGCGUGCGAGGUAGGGGAGAGGUGGGGACGAACACUGUGAUGGCGACGGGGGGGACGCCGUGAUGUCCACAUGUACUUGGCUUGGUGCGCAGGGGGAGCGCGUGCUGUGCCCGUGCUGAGCAUGGUUUGGUCCAGGGAGGGAGGGAUUCCCGGUGGAAUGGAACAUAGGUACGUGAAGGGUUUGAGGGUUUUGGAAAGAUGUGGCAUCGCCGGAUGGGAGCGCUGGAGUUUGUUUUAUAACACGCAGACGGAGUCUAGAGAACUGGUGGGAUGUGCGUAUGCGUGAGGGAGUGCAGCGUGCUUUAGUGUGCUUCAGGUUUUGCUCUAAGCUUCCUGUUGUUGCGUAGGCAUGGCCGCGCAGUUCAUUCUUUUCCCUGCGUGCAGGGCCGCUCGCGCUCCUUUCGGGGGUUUAGGGCUUUGUUCUGUCAGUCAAGGGGGUUUGCGGGUGAUGUGAUGUUUUUAGUGUUCAAGAGGAUUUCGGAGUGGGGGGUAGAGAAAGGCCGACCAGGGACCACACAUCUCAUACUGAGAAGUAAUUCGCGGAUUGGGUUGGCUGCCCUGACCUGUUGGCCUUCAGUAAUUGUAGCUUUCACGGCUGGAAGCAAAAACUUUUUGUGAGCGACUUAAUGCAGUUUGCUGCGGUAUAUCCACAAACUGAACAUCAGCAAUAUCAGUAAAAAGGUUCAGCAAACGUAAGAAGCUAGGCAGGUUACGACCCCUGUCGUUUUAACGGUCUGGUGCAGCCAAUGUGUGCAUGCAUUGUAUGUAUGUACACGUUGCGAAUAUGUACGACAUACAUAUGGCACGGUACGAUGACGGCGAUCGGUAUAAUCCGCGCUGUCCCGACUCAAACGCAACUCGUAGCUCCUGGUUGCUCCUCGCACACAGCUGCUUGAAUGUGGUGCUUGGACGUACUUUCCUCUUCGCCGUGCAUGCUCUCAUGUGCGACAGAUCCCCCCCCAAGGAACCCCCCAGGGCCCGACCGGACACCUAAACAGUUGAUUCUUAUGCGCUCCUACAUUUGUAGCCCUCACAGCAGCCACCUGCGGAGACGGCUUAUAUGGAUCCUGCUUACGUGCUCAGUUGCAUUAUACGGUGCUACGCUGUAUGUUUUCAUAUACUAGCAGACGAGCGUAGUGCUUGCGUGCAUUGGCGAUGCAAGGUACACUUUUCCCGGAGUUUCCUGAUCAGGAAACGGUCGCGUGUUUUUGUGGCACGCUUGAGCAGGAGAGCAAGGGAGGUGCCCGUCCAAGGCCUUGAGUAGGUGUGUAGCUUUCGGGGCGGCUUUUAGGCAGCAUCUUUAACUCUUGGGUUUGGGAGUCUUAUAUGUCUUUUGGAGUCGCCUUCGCUUUGCAAUUGUGGCUGUGAGGUUGUCUCAGAUGUCCAAGCUCGGCUGUCUCAGAUCGAGGCAGCUGCUGUGCUAUAUUCUUUCAGUUGCUGUCUGUUCCCGUGUGCGACACGAAUAGCGUGUUGGUUUUAGCGUGUCUUUCGGCCACGUAUAGAUAAGAGUUACAGACCGCGUACCUGACAGGGCCGUUGAGCCGAGUGGCAGUUAGCAAGCCGCGUAAGCAUGUGCCUAUAUUUCUCCGCUGUUUAAGUGCAGCGCAGACUAAAGCCGCAGACUGCUUUAUAAGGCUCUGCUGGGCCUGCUAGCCAGCUCGCUGACGCUCACGCAGACAAUCGCACCCUCGGCCGUGGGCGCCUGGCUGGGCCUGUGCUAAUGUGCUCAGCUUUUUAGGGCAUUUGCGCGUAAGGCCGCGUAACUUGACGACGCACGUACUUUGUCUAAUAAGCUGUAGCCUUGUGACGGGAGAAAUACCGUAAGAGCAGCAGCAGCAGCAGCAGCAGCAGCAGCAAUAACAACACGUAGAGCCGCGCGCCCGGCCCUGCGCUGGUGUGUUUCGGCCCCCGGUCAGGGCCCCCGGUGCUCGUCCUUUCUCGGGCGAGCCGCCCACAGUGUAACACCCCCCAUCAACAACAACAAUAACAACAGGAGGGACGUCGCGAAGUUUGAAACCCCCCAGGGGACAGGGACAGUGCCAAUCGAGGGAAGGGCCACGCUCCUCCCCACGGCCUACCUCUUAGCCAUACAACCGCCCGAAACCCCGGGGGGGGGGGCCGUCUUCAACAACGUUGGGCCUGACGUCCUGCUCUCGUCCUCCACUCCACACAUCGGUUGAAGUCAUUGCGUUAAUUAACAACCCGUCAAAACACACACACAUACAUACACACACACACCCCGGCAAGCACACCCCGGCAAGCACACAGCCGCGCCGCGGCCCUUUUCUCGGCGCCUACUUCGCCGUUGCAGCCCCUGCCAUCCAUGACCCCAACUGCCAGCCACUGCCGCAUUCGGAGUUACUCUUACUGCUAGUUAUAUGACCGCUCCGUCCUAAGCCGCCAAACCAUAAGCUGUGUGAGUUAAGACUCCCAACCAAAAUCCCCAAAGCCACAACCAACUCACCACCUCCUCGUUUUCGCUCGUGGCGGAUUCCUUUUCCCCCCCAUCCUCAUCCCCAUCCCCACCCCCCCAAAAAAUCAAAACUUCACCACGGAAAGCAACUCGAAGCGGAAAACAGGUUGUGAAACCUCUGCAGCUAUAGAAAGGAAAAAAAGGUCCCUGAAGCCCUAGUUGUUUUUCAGCAAACCGCACCGCAGGAAUGCAACACUCCGGGGGGUUUGGUAGAGAGGAAAGGAACACCGAAUGCAGGUGCCGCCAAGGUGUACGGCAUUCGGUAACUCUGCAACGGUCCUGCCGUACAACGGCUUGUUAAUAACUACUUCAACUACACAUACACACUCUUUCGCGCCACAAUGGGACGGGACGGGAUGACUCAAAAGUAAAGUCAGGGCCGCGUCCUCUCUCUCCCUCUCCCUCUAUCUCAAGCGAGGGUAGCCGGCGGCCGCAUCACAACCCCACCUCCAACCUACCCCAAUCAAUCAAAUCAGGGUGGCUGUUACAGACCAGUUAUAAGUCUUCCCCGCCCCCCGCCUCCGUGCGCUGUCCCCAGAGCUGAGUCUCGAACCGAGCCCCCCGGGCCCCAAGGCGCCCCCCCCGGGGGCCCUUGUUACAUGAGCUGGCCAACACAGUUGGGGGCGCCGCAGCCGCACUUCAUGUCGUACUGCGGAACAGCGCGGCUGGCCUGCGCGGUGUUCAGAUCCAGAUCGCAUCAAAGGGGGGAGGGGAAUGACUUAAAGGGGGGGGUGACUCUUCAAAAGGGGGGGAACUGCACCACCAAGUGGGAAGGAUAGCUGGACGCAUGGACGCCCGGGGACAGGGGAGAAUCAGUUGAAGAAUUCUGCAUGCCGUACAAAGGCCGUGCAGCCAUUCCGGCAUUCACUCCCAUCGGUGCGCUGCCUGAGUUGCCUUCACCGCCUCCCCCCCCUUGCCCCCGGGGGAGGGGGGAUCACGAGGGGACGGGGGGGGACCGCCCUCCCAGCCGCAGGUAGAACAGAAAAAAACCCGACCACGUUCGGUGGAUCCUCCGAAACCACAGGCUGCUGUGGCUGUGUUGCUCCGGAGCCCUUCUCCACAUCCGUCAUUCCGUGUUUUCGUUGCAGCCACUGCACCCCCCAGCUGCUAACCCGGGGGUUCUAACCCACACGACCCCCUCCUGUCGUACCUGGCUGUGGUAACCGUAGUUGUACGUGAGCUCUGGGGGGGGGGAAGAGGGGGAAGAGGGGGGAGAAGAGGGGGCAAGGGGGGGAGAGGUCGCAGCAGCAAAAGGGAUGGGACAUGUAACGAAUGAACAGCUCCCGGCUGGAGCCCCCAAGACGUGAUCCCCCUCUCGGGGGUGGGAACCCUCUACAAGGUUCCGGCCAUCUGCCCGCCCGUUCCGUACAUCCGACCCUCCGUACAUUCCGUCCAAACACGUCCAUCCCUGACCCUCCAGUCCGCCGUGACAUGGUUGACCACGGCGGCACGGUGGACGAAAAAUCGUCAUCUGCCUUUGCCGUACUUCCUGUUUUUCCUCCUAGUUAACGCACAUCAAGCCCCAUAUCGACACCCGUGACCAGGUGACGUCGCCCACCCACUCGCCCACCCACCCACCCACCCACCCACCCGUCAUUGGGGGAAUGUCCGUACAGGCGUACAGGCCUGUGGGUGCCGGACGUUGUGUCGCGUCAUCGUGCCGUGCGGGUUUCACCCCGGGGGUGCGGGGAGGGGGAAGGGGGAAAGGGAGGGAGUUCGAGCACGGUUUGAAGGUCACGUCCGUGUAAGGGCCCCUCUCACCGCCAUCACCACCAUCACCGCUCCAAACCACCACCUCUCAAAAUUGCUUACACCCGGCCCCCAGCUGUACAAACCCCCCACCGCAUACAUACAUACAUGACAUGGAAAUGACCGACACUCAUAUAUCAGUGAAUGGUAGCCACAGUAAUAGGACCCAACGGGGGUCCGGCGCUUUGCUGGUCUUAACAGGUUAUGAACCCCGAAUGGCGCAUUGCGCUGCCGAGAGAUCGCCGGAUCGAUACCCACUGGCUGUUGCCCAGAGAAUGGGAGACCGGGAUGAGGCACGGGAAGGCCCGUAGCGAGAGAGUGUCGCUCACGGGGGGGUGUUGGAAAUGACCGACACUCAUAUACCAGUGAAUGGUAGCCACAGUAAUAGGACCCAACGGGGGUCCGGCGCUUUGCUGGUCUUAACAGGUUUAGGCAGGCGGCUGGCAGAAGUUAAGGCCUGACUUCUGCUCCCAGUCGAUCCAGUCGACCCGGGUUCAAAUCCGCCUGCCAGCUCCUCGGGUGAUUGAGGAGUGAUGAAAUGGGAGGUGGCCCCCCAUCAUAUGGACGGUGUAGGACGUGAUAAUAUCAACUUGCGAGCUGACCAGGAACUAAGUUGAUGCGCCGUUGAUCCGCUAGAUUUGGUUUGAUGCUGGUGGUGAGUUGCCGAACCCAACGAAUACAUUCUGAAGUCGGAUGGGGUGACGGAUUAGGGUGCCCCUCUAGCAGGGGAGAGCAGGGACUGCCCCGGGAAAGGGGGCCGCUGGCGAAGUUAACCACCCUGUAACAACAUACAUACAUG